UUUCAUUCUCCUUGAUAAUGUUAAUUAAAUCCUCCACACUUACCUUGUUCUGUUCAAGAAACUGCUGCAGGUACAUUAUUUUGUGGUCUUCCAUAGCUUUUAGGUUUUCCUUACCAUGGUGAACAGGGCCUAUUGAGACUACUCGAGGUGUAUAUGCCUUUUCAUUUAACUUCCGCAAUCGUUCCGGGACUCUGUAGAUGCAGCAUGCCUCGGAGAAAGCCUUCUUGAUCUUCAAUUGCUCCCUCAAAGAAUUGGCUAUCUCGUUGAUAUCAAGCGAAACUUCAUGGCUGUGAUCCAUUAUCUGCUGGUCAGAACUUGAUGUUCGACCAAUUUUCAAACUGGAAAAUAUUAGUCACGAAAAACAUACUUUGUAAACAAACUAAGUGCCAAUUAAGAGAAGAUUCUAGUACUAGAAUAAUAUCAAAUUUGAACUAUAUUCACUUCAAUAAAAUCUGUUCACACAAACAGCAAUAUAAUGGCUAAACGCAAAUAUAAGUAAUAUAUAUGUAAUAUCUGGCCCAUGUUGAACUAACAGCUACGUUACAAAUUUGAACUCUUUAGCUUCUAAUUAUUUGGCCCAUGUUGUUUAAUGUCUAUUGUCUACCUUUAAAAAUGUGUGUAGAGAUGUCACCCAAUUUAAGAUUCAGAGGGGAAAAAAAGAAGACGGGCGAGCAUAUGAAACCACCCUAAAUAUUUAUUUGAAAAUAUAAUAGUGAUUAUUUUUAAAAUAUUUUUUAGUUAGAAAUGUAUUUAAAUAAUAUUUUUUUUUAUUUCUAAAAAAUUAUUUUUUAUAAAUCCAAAAUCAUAAAAAAAAAAAAAAAAAAAAAAUUUGCCUAAACAACACAAUACCAAACGGGCUUAGUGCCGCUAAUAAAUUGUGAAAUAUCUUACAAGAAAAAUCAGGAAUUAAUCGAAAACCUUACAAUUAUCGAAGUCAAUGCAUAUUGUGGGAUUACUCAAAACAAUAAAAAAUGUCAGUAGUUGAGCCUAGAAGAAUUUAGCAAAAAUCUAAUUGUUUUAGAGUGAUGAAGUGAGAUGAUUCAGCUUACUUUUGUGAGCUUUUGACUUGGUGACCUUCUUGGGACUGUUGUGAGGUUUCCAAGAGCUUUGAUGAAGGUGGUAAUCUCAACCACCAUCAAAAGGAAAGCAAACUAAGGCUCAAAAAUCGGCUGCUUCCAUGGACUGCACUAGUACUGUUGUUCGCUAGGCUAGCUGUUUGGGAUUGCUGAAUGGUGGUGAUGGUAUUAGGUGCAGGGUUUUUGGGUGAAUUUUGAUGGUGCUUGGAGGGUUUCGGGUGGAGGAAGCCAGUGGUUUGUGUGUUUGUUCAGAGAUAAGGCCAGUGGCUUGCGGUGCUAUAUAUAUAUUUUGCUGGAAGUGUGUGUGGGUGAUUUCUAUGAAGGUUUCACACUAGAAUGUCGUAUUUUCAUCAUUCAUCUGCCCUAUCUCUGUCGAUUUCACACUAGAAUUUCCAUGUAUAAACAGCCUUAGGUUUUCAAGCUGUCCCUUCUCUUUUGUUGUCUUGUUUAUAUUCACCUAACGUAAAGGGGAUGCUACCUGACUUCAAUGAUAUGAGUCUUCACCAAAAUAUAUAAUUAAUUCAUGAAAGCUCUUGUGAUAAUAAUGUUUUAGAAAGAUUUUAGAUUUGAGACAUAGAUAUAUUUUGUAUGAGAUGGCCCCAAAACAAAAGGAUCCAAUUUUAAUGCAAAACUUCUUUAAAAAUUUUGUGAAAGUUUUACUUUAUUAAUUUUUUGAUUAAUUCUGAUAAAAGGGGACCACCUCUAUUAUUUCUCAUAAAAAGAAGACCACCCUCUAUAAAAGUUUCUUAAAGCAAUGUGAAUAAUUGGAUUCAGAUAUUCAUCUACCCUAUCUAUAUCGAUUUCAGACCAGAUAAUAAGUUUCUUAAAGCAAUGUGAAUAAUUGGAUUCAGUUUUAUAGUUAUCUACCUUGAUCAAGGUUGUUAAAAUCGAGAUUUUAGAACGAAACGGAAAGCCCUUCACAAAAUCGGAUCGUAAAAUCGGAUCGUAAAAUCGUAAAAUCGUAAGGAAUUUUGAAAUACAUUAAAAAAAAUUCAUGUUUCAAAUAAAAAUUCAUACAUAGUUCAAGCACAUUAAAAAACAUGUUUCAAAUAAAACUUCAUACAUAUUUCAAGCCUUCAAAUAAAAAUUCAUAUAUAGUUCAAGUAUCUUAAAAUACAUGAUUCAAAUAAAAGUCAUACAUAAUUUAAAAUAACUUUUCAUUAACUAAUAAUCAACAAACUUAAAACAAACAAUCUGCUGGUGUGUCAUGUAAACUAAAACCAGCUUCAUUCCCUUCAUCUUCCCCAUCAUUCCUUAAGCAUUCAUCAAUAUCAUUAGCAUCAAGAGGAUUAUUAGUAUCACUACUAGUACCAACACCAAUAUUAUGAACAUUAGUGCUACUACUAGUACCAACACCAAUAUCAUCAAUUUGAAUAUUCAAAUCAUCUUCAAUACCAUGACUCUCCAUUUCAACAUCAUUAGGAAUUUCUUCUUCAUCACUUUCAUCUUCAUUACCAUUUUGUCUUCGUGUUGCACUGUCAAUAGCACCAAACAAAUCAAAGUUUGGAUGUUUUUCUCCCUCGGUUAUCCAAUCAUCAUCAGAUAGAAAUAUCAUCUUCUACACCAAAAUCACUAGCUUGCUUUUUGACUUGGUUAUUAUUCAAUUUCAGAUUGCACAUUACAAAUACCAAGUCAUUCAUUUUUCUCUGGUGCAAACGAUUUCUUCGUUUUGUAUGAACCUAAAUAAACAAUUCAAAUUGAUAAGAUUUUUAUCAAAUAUUUCAACAUUUAAAAUAAAAAAAUAAAAAACUUACCAUUUCAAAUGCACUCCAGUUACGCUCACAUCCAGAUGAAGUACAAGUCAAGCUUAGAACUCGGAUUGCAAACCUUUGUAAUUCUGGACAUUCAUCCCCAUAAGAAUCCCACCAUUGAGCUGGAGUUUUUUUAUCUCUAGCUGUCUUGGCAGCCUCAAUGCCAAACAACCCUUUUGCAUCCUUGAAUGAUUCAAGUUGCAAGUCAAUUUUACACCUUUCAUUUGCAUUAGGCACCAUCCUUUCUAAGCAUUGAUAUAAUCCAAUUUUAAUGUUGGCAUUAACCUUAAAAUUGGGAUUAUAAUGAUAAUGAGGAUUCAAAUAAUAAGCUGUUGCAUGUAAGGGUCUGUGGAGUUGAAGUUCCCAUCUUGCAUCAACAAUAUUCCAUAUAGGUAUAUAACUAUAUAAAAAAAACAAUAAAAAUAUCAUUACUUUAUAUAUGACAUUCAUAUUAAUAAAUGAAAUUAUUUGAAAUAAAAAUUAGCAAGAUAUAUACCUUUUUUUCACACGACCAAAAUUCACUUGUAUCUUUUCUUUUGCUUCAUCCAUUGCUUUAUAUAUAAAACCCAUAGCUGGUUUCUCAUCUGAAUCAACUAAUCGAAGAAUUUAAUUAGAGGAUACGCUGUCUUAAUACAUAUAUUGAUAUCAUGCCAAAACCUGGUGUCCAAAACACAAUUUUGAAUUCGUUUCCCUUCUUCUAUUCUUGCAAACCUACAAGAACUCCACUGUUUGGAAGUAAACAUAGUCAUCAGCUGCAUUUUAUGAUCAUUCAAACAUCCCAGCGUCAAAUAUGCAGUUGCAAACCGAGUGGCAGCAGGUCGAAUCAAAUCCCUUCCAUUCGUAAAGUGCCUUAGCAUGGAAAUAAGAAUGGUUCUUGAAUAAAUAUAUGAGGUGAUUUUCCUCCCCUUGGCAAUAGUUACUUGAUGAACCUCUAACUUCUUCUCAAAAUCUUCUAAUAUCAAGUCAAUACAAUGGGCAGCACAUGGUGUCCAAAACAAACUCUUUCUUUUUUCCAUCAAUAAUUGUCCCGCUGCCUUGUAAUUUGCAGCAUUAUCGGUGACAACUUGGACAACAUUUUCCUCCCCAAUCCUCUCCACAAUGGCAUCUAACAUUUCAAAUACCUUAUCAGCAGUCUUGGACAUAUUAGAGGUAUCCACUGAUGACAAAAAAACUAUCCCUUUAGGACUAUUAACCAAAAAGUUACAAAUACAACGUCUUUUUUUAUCUGUCCAUCCAUCAGACAUUAUUGAACAACCUGUUUUUUUCCAUUCUAGCUUGUACUCCUCAAGCAAUGUCAUUGUUUGAUCCACCUCCUGCUUCAAAUACUUCUCUCUAAUAUCAUGGUAAGAUGGAGGCUUGAAACCUGGCCCAUGCCUUGCAACCAAUUCAAGUGCCUUUACAAACUCAGGGUUUUUUACACAAUUAAAUGGAAUUGCACUAGUGUAAAAAAACCUUGCAAUUUGUCGACAUGCUUCUUCUCUAAUAUCCUUUUUUAACAAUUGAUUUAGAGUUGUUUGUGUACUUCCACUCCCACUAACUACUCUCUUUCCUUUGUCCUUGGAGUUAAUUUCUAUAAUUUCAUCAUCAUCAUCAUUUGCACUAUAUUGAUAGGCCUUUCUUUUCUUUUCAUUUGCUUCUAGAUUUUUCACCAAAACACCCAAAAUCUUUUGCUGAACAUUUUCUGGAACUUGCUGACAUGGCUCGACAUCCUUACGAGUGCAAGCCAAAUGUUGUUUGAAACGAAAAAUACCUCCACUGAGAAUUUUUUGACAAUACUUGCACUGAACUUUUUUAGAAUUCUUAUCAAUAUCUAUACCAUGUUGCCAUCCCACAUCAAGUCUAUUACCAGAAGAAUUUUUUCUAGAUGCCAUAAGUUCAAGUGUUCAACAAUUCAAGAAUCAACUCAAAUCAACCCUGUAAUCAAUCCAAAAAUUUUAUGAUUAUAAUUACCAUUUUGUUAUACAUAACAAUUGACAAAAUUAAUUCAGUCCAAUUCUAGGGUGAAAAUUGAAACAGAUGCAAGAAAAAAAAGCAAGCAAUAUUGAAACAACAUAUUUAUAUAUAAAUCAUCUUCUAUGUAUUCACAGCCAGUACCCGAUUCAAUUCAGUUCAGUACCCGAUUCAAGACAGAGCCACAGAAACUUUGAAUCAAAAUAUUACAAAAUCAGAACCAGUCUAACAAAAUAGCUAUCGUGGUUCUCAAAUAUAUAUGACAGCUACAUGAUUUGGAUAUAAAACACAGCAAUACCUUGUUAAAGCAUAGUCCUGGAAUCCAGUAAUUAUGUACUGAGCUUCCAAAGUUCCAAUGCAUCCACGUAAACGAGGCUCACCUCCAUUGACAACUUUCUUCCAAGUGACGAACAACGGGCUGAAACCGGAAUACCACCAUGUCAAAUAUGAUCAGUUCUAGUGUUCAUAACUGACAGCAAAUACUUCUACACAGCACAUUAUCACUUUAAUUCACCUCUCAACAAUUAUAAAAUUUUCUCAAAAAACAUCAAAAACAGCAUUCCCAACAUGUAUGAACUUGUUAAAUAUCAUCUAACACUGAAUUUUCAUCAAGUAAGAACUUAUUAAGAAAUCAACACUUCUAUGGAACCUCACAAAUCAACACUGAAGUAUAACACUGAUACGGCUAGCUAAGUGAAAUGUAGAAUUUUGGGAACAAAAAAAUUGCACUCUUUCACUGUUUCCCCAUAGCAUAAACAAAGAAAUUUAAGCAAACUUAAAAUUUGGCUCUGCAUUUCACAAUAAAAGAUCUAACGAAAUAAUGGAAAAACUAAUGGAACCAUGAUUUUCUUAAAAUACAGCACUUUUGUAAGGUGAUUAAUGGAAAAACUAAUGAAAAAACGAAAUAAUGCAAGAUUUAAUGAACAAAUCAUUAAACAAUACGCAUGCACAGCAUCAUCCAUGGCAAGUACAGUGGAAAAAAAACAGAUAUGGUUGUUUGGUGAAAACUACAAAGAGAAACAAUUAUGCCCUGUCAACAUCCAUUCAAUUUCAAAGCCACGAUGAAUGCCCUUUUCCCCUUUCAUUUGAGCAGUAAACAACAAUAAAAAAGCCAAAAGAAAAAUGCAAUUUACAGACCCAUUCACAAACUGAAUUCUAUGUUCCCUAACGAGAAAUUCACAGACAAAUUUAACAAACUAGAAAUUCAAUUAGCAAACCCAUUCACAAACCCAUUCACAGAUUAAAGCAGUCGGUGACAGACCCGGUGAGCAACCCAUUCACAGACCCAUCAAUUCAUAAAUUCGGACACAGGGGACAAAUAACAGGGGCAAAAUUCGGUCUGCAAUUUGACAACUAAAUCACGAUGCUAUUUGCAGAAGGUGCAAAUUAUAAACAGAAUAACUUACUAUGGCUGGUGCCUGGUGGAGACUGGUCACUAGAGAGUGGAGAGCCGCCGCUUGUUUGAAAUCUGGAUCUCACGGUGGCUGGUGAAAAAAACUGUUGUUGCCCGUUGGUGGUGAACCGAUGGUUGUUGUUGCCCGUUGGUGGAUGGUUGAUUGCUGGAACUUGGACGGCUGAGAGAAGGAGAACAAGGAUUUAGAGACUGAAAAAAGAUGAAGAAUUGACGAGUUGUGCCUGAAAAAAGAAGACUGAAAAACAACUGUUGUGGUUUUGUUCUGCCUUCUGCGUGUGAGUCACACGCAUGGUUGUGCCAAUUCUUGCUUGACACGUGGAGCUGGAGGGAACAGUGGCGCUCAUUUUGUGUUUUGGAGCAGAAACGUACAAUCGUGUCUAAAAUCGCGAUUUUGAGCGAUUUUACCCGAUUUUAAUGAUUUUACCCGAUUUUGACCCGAUUUUAUCAAUUUCCGAUUUCUGUUAACGAUUUAACACGUUUAGCCUACAUUGACUCGUAAAAUCGUACGAUUUUACGAGUUGACUCGCGAUUUUAACAACCAUGACCUUGAUUUCAUUUUUCAUCUUCAACCUUUAUGAGAUCCGCUUUUACAAUAGUAAUCUUUAUCUUCAAUUAAAGGAUGUUUAUUUUAUGUAAGAUAUUGUAUAGGAUAUAAAAUAUUUUGCAAACAAAUCUAGAAACUUAAUUUAUUAAUUAAUUGUUUUAGCUUAAAUAGGUCUAUACAAUAUUUUUUAAAAUAAUAAUCAAAUCUUAAUGUCAUAAAUCUUUCACCUGCCACUACCAUUCUAUCACUGAUUUUGAACACGCUUUUCUUAAAUAUUUUACAAGUAAUACUAUAUUCUAGAAAUUUAGCUAUUUUAGAUAUCUUUCUUAAUUUGUUUACACGGUUAGACAACCCUUAUUUAAUGGUGGGAGAAAUUCAAAGGAGCAGUUGUAGCACUGAUCGAUCGGAUCCGAUAUUUAUUUAUUAUCGUGUGGUCAAGUUGGUGUUUAGUGGGUUUCUUUCGUCGUCGUGAGUUGAAUCCUACGUAACAAUAUUGCGAUAUUAACCAUAGUUAUUAAACCCGGUCCGGGGGUUGACCCGGCCAAGGAGCCGGGUCUUGGGUUUCAUGGGUCAACCCGGGUUGACCCGUAAUAAUUAAAAAAAAAAUUAAUAUUUCAUAUGAAAAAAUUCAUGUAAAUAUAGAUUAUACAUAUUAUAAAUAAUGAAGUUUAAAAUAAUAUUUUAAAAAGUUUUUUAUCCCACAUUAAAAAGAUAUUAUGUUAAGCUUUUAAGUUGAAGUAUUUAAAUUAAAAAAAAAAUUUAUCCUACGUUUAAAAAACAUAACUUUUUUCAUGGGAACAUAGAGUAUAUAUAUGAAAGGGCUUCAAAUCCCACAUUGAAAAGAUACUAUGUUAUCCCUUUAAGUUGAAGUAUUUAAACCAAAAGGUUUUUUAUCCCAUAUUGAAAAAACAUUAUUUUUUCCUUGGAAACAUAGAGUAUAUAUACUAAUGGGUUUCAAAUCCCACAUUGAAAAAACAUAACUUUUUUCAUGGGAACAUAGAGUAUAUAUAUGAAAGGGCUUCAAAUCCCACAUUGAAAAGAUACUAUGUUAUCCUUUUAAGUUGAAGUAUUUAAACCAAACGGUUUUUUAUCCCACAUUGAAAAAACAUGUUUUUUCCUUGGGAACAUAGAGUAUAUAUACUAAUGGGUUUCAAAUCCCACAUUGAAAAAAUAUAAUUUUUUUCAUGUGAACAUAGAGUAUAUAUAUGAAAGGGUUUCAAAUUCCACAUUGAAAAGAUACUAUGUUAUCAUUUUAAGUUGAAAUAUUUAAACCAAAUUUUUUUUUAUCCCACAUUUUAAAAAAAAAAAAACCCGGGUCUCGUCCGGGUUUGCCCGGGUCACCCGGGUUUGCCCGGGCUGUUGCCACAGCCGGUCUUUUAUUAAACCCGAACCGGUCCAGCCACCGGGUCCCGGGCCGGGCCGGAUUUAAUAACUAUGAUAUUAACUACUUUUUAUCAUAUUUAAAGACUAUAGUCUCAACCACUCUUUUGAGUAUUAUGAAUAUAUAAAUCCUUCCAUGUGGGACAAAUUGUGAUAUUCCAUACUUUUUAGCAUGGAAUAUCGCAAUUUGACGUAGAAUAUGUCGUUAUGAGUUUCUAUGUAUUAACAAAAUUGCGAUAUUCUAUACUUUUUAGCAUGGUCGCAUGUGCUACAAUUGAAUAAUUGGAUUCGUAUAUUCAUCUGCUCUACCUCUGUCGAUUUCACACUAGAAUUUCCACGCCCUUAUUCAAUGGUGGGAAAAAUUCGAAGCUACAUGAUUUCUUAAAGUUUUUUUUUUAUAGGAUAAAAUAAAAUAUUAACAUCCCAACCGGGUCAAGUUUUUUAAAUAAUUAAAAACCCAACUACUACCGGACCGGAUUAAAAACGAUCAACAGAAUUUCCAUGUAAAACAUAGGGUCUCCAUUAUUAAAGUUUAAUGCAAGACUAUAAAAGUCAUGCACCAUGAAUAAUUGGCAAGACUUUCCACAAAGCCUACUCUUAGGCAGGGUAGAGGACUGUGACUGCAGGUAUUGUUUUUCUGGCAUGACUUUCCACGAAGCACAGAGAAUAAUAUUUUUAAAAUUCCCCUUUGAAAAUUCAAAAAUCACAAAUAAUAUUUUAAUAUCAUUAUUUUAUUAUUAAAUAUAUAUUGAGCCGAACAAUGCUACCGGACUUUAAUGACACGAGUCUUCGCCAAAAUACAUAAUUAAUUCAUGAAAGCUGUUGUGAUAAUGGUGUUUUAAAAAUCUUAAAGCAAUGUGUUGACUCGCACGUUCAUCUGCCCUAUCUCUGUCCAUUAUUAAACAGAAGCUAGCAACCUAUAAAGUUUAAUGCAAGACUUGUAUAAUAGUUUUGUGGAAGUUUCAUCUCUCUAGUUAUCUAUCUUGAUGACAUUUUUCAACAUCUUCAAUCUUUAUGAGAUCCGCUUUUGCAAUAGUAAUAUUUAUCUUCAAUUAAAGGAUGUUUAUUUUAUCUAAGAUAUUGUAUAGGAUAUAAAAUAUUUUACAAACAAAUCUAGAAACUUAAUUUAUUAAUUAAUUGUUUUAGCUUAAAUAGGUCUAUACAAUAUUUUCUUAAUAAUAAUCAAAUCUUAAUAUCAUAAAUCUUUCACCUACCACUACCAUCAAUCACUGAUUUUUGAACAUGUUUUUCUUAAAUAUUUUACAAUUAAUUCUAUAUUCUAGAAAUUUAGCUGCUUUAGAUUCCCUCCUUGAAUUUAUUUACACGGUUAGACGACUUUUAUUCAAUGACGGGAGAAAUUCGAAGGAGCAAUCUACUACAUGAUUUGUCAAAGUUUUCUUAAAAGAUAAAAGAAAAUAUUAUAUAUCAUUACAACUAGUGCAACUGGCAAGCUGUGUUUUGUGGCUUUGAUCUUGAACCAUUAAGAAGAAAAGUUCAAAGAGUUUGUCUUCCUAAAAUAUUUAAUAUUAAAAACAAAACAUUUGGUGUAGCUAGGUAGGGAAACCGGAACAUAUAUUUGAUAUCCUUAAUUGAUUUAAUGUAAAAUGAUAUUUUACCAUUAGAAACAAUUAUGAUAAAGAAAUGUGAAAAAUAUAUGCCAUGCAGAAAGUAUAAGGAGAAAAGAAGCAGCAGCAGCAACAGAGAUGCCGGUCCAUGGAUUGUUGAAAUAAACCUGCUUCAAGGUUGCCUUCCACUUGUGCUGCUUGUUUAUUUCUCCUUGUACUCUCUGUCAUACAAAUGGUCUGCUCUAUCCUUCAAUUGUGAUAGAUAUUUAAUCCCUUUGUAUUUUUCUUUUCUUUUUAUGAUUGGAAUGUACUUAAGAACAUGAGCUAAGAUAAAUUUUAUAGUGCUUAGUGAAUCACUAAUAAUAUCCUUUCAAUUAUUUUCUCCAUUUAUUUUAAAGAAAAAAAUUAAUCUAUUUAUUAUGACUGAUGAUUGUUAUUUAAUAAAAAACAUUAUUAUGAAGGGACAAGUAUGAUAUUAAGUUGGUGGAGGGACCAAUAAAAUGUUGUUUUAGUAGUGGAGGGACGACCAUAUUCUUUCUCUAAUUUAUUAAUGUUUUAAUUUAAUUAUAUCUUUAAAUUAUUAAUAGGUAAAUUUUAUUUAAAAAAGGUGUUCAUGUGCUACCAUGGAACGAAAUUAUGGACCAGUCUGCUUGAGUCCAAGUCCAAUGUAUUCUCAGUAAGCCUGGACAUGAGUUUUGGAUCAAUUGGGCUUGAUUAGGCAUAGUUUUCAAGGCUGAAACAUGGGCCUAGCUCAUAUCAGCAAUUUAUAAGGCUAUAUAAUUAUAAUUUAGAAGGCAAUUUCCCAUACUGGCUGCAAAAAUUUAAAAAAAGAAAAACUAAUAGCAAAAGAUGAAAAAGCUCAUGCGAGGAAACUUUAGAUUUUUGAUAGCCAUAGCAGUUAAGUAAUUUAUUGGGUAUAAAAAAUUGAAAUCUCUGUGAAUUUAAGCCCCCUCCACCAUCCUAAUUAUAUCAAAAAAUCCAUUACAAAAAUACCAAAACACCCCUAAUCAUGAAUGGAAUUUUAUUUUUUAGGGAUAAUUUAGCUAUUAUAAAUUGCAUAAAAAGUUGAAAAUACCAAAACACCUUAAGCUUCAACUUUAAAAAAUUUAAUUUUAAAGGUAAUGAAAUCAUUUUAUUUUGCAUAAAAAUUUGAAAAAAUCGAUCUAUCUCCCAUAUGACUAAUGUAUUCAUGUGAAAAUAGUAAAGCACCUGCCAUAACUGGUUAUACAUGAACUCUGUCCAGAUUCUGCAAAUUUUAGCUGAGGCAAGGAACAGAUAGCCUGGAUAUUCUGAUACUGCAUUUAAUUCUUUAGAUGUUGGUAACAUGUUAUUUCUUCAAAUUUUGAUUAAAUAUUUUGCCUGCGACUGCAUGAUCAUGUCAUCUGGAAUAGCAUGACAAAUCAUUUGCUUUGAUCUUAUAUUAAUCAAGGAUAACAUUCUGAAGCGUAGUGCUAGUUGAUAACUGGAAACUUAUACAUACUAAUUGAGGGGAAAAAACAAAACAUGAAAGAAACAAGCAUUGAUCACACAGCAAUCCAAAUCCAUGGAACACUUAAUUGAAAUCCUGGAAGCUACACUUGCAUAAGAGAACACACAGUUUGUACCAUAGUGAGUAUGAGGAGAAUCAAGGCUGCGAUAAUAGAGAUUAUGGCCCAUGGAGUACGGAAAUACUCUUGUUUCAAGUUUGCCUUCCAUUUAUUCCAAGGCCUCCUGCAGUAUGCUUUCAGAUCUUUAACGAGACUAGCGAAGAUGAAAUGAUGCGGGGAGAGAGGAUUUCCCUUAGAAAUAUUAUGAAGAAGACUCGUAACUGCUUCAUAGUCAUGUAUCCAGUUGUCUAUAAUUCCAUUUCGAACAAGGAUUUCCACAUCCUUAGGAGUAAUGACAAGGAAAUUGAUCAUUGAAAUAUAGUUAGCUAUAUACUUAUUGUGGCAAUAAUGGCAUUGCUCAAAUACCUGGAGAUUCCUGAAUAAGAUUUCUGUGUCGUCAUCUAUUUUCAAUAGUGGCAUUUCCAGGAUCCCUCUAUCGAAUUUCAGGUCGAGAAAACUUUGGCCCGGUUUAAACCUGAACUUAACUCCAGCUUGAUGGAGUUCAGUUAUACUUGGUACGUUUAUGGUCUCGAGUUCUUUCUUCGUUUUAUCUGACUCUGAUGGCUUCUGACAUUUUCUUAUGAAGUCAACAAAAUGUGCUACUCCAGACGAAUUGAUUUCCUCCAAAAUUCCCUUUUUCAAUGUCCGAGGCCCCAGUCUCCGUCCGAAGAACUUGUAUGUAAGCCCAAUCAAUAUUGAAUAUUCCACUUCAGCAGGGCUAUAUCUGCUUAUUCUGGAUGCUUCAAGCAAAUCCUCAAGAAUGAAGAAUGGAAGCUGAUUUUCAAUCAAGCACAUGUCAAGUGAUAUAUCGUGCAGCAUCCAUGGUUUAUUGAAUAUACGGUCAUUUCUACUUUCAAAUCCUUCACCACAACCAUUGAGCAGGACCACAAUGAUGAAGGAGGCAUCUAGUAACAUCAUUUUCACAAAGUCUUCACUAACAAGAUCGAUGGUUUCUGCGUAACAAUUACGCAAUUCUUUCUGUCUCCCCUCUACAACUCUAAUUAACUCCUCCAUGCUUGCCUCGCUCCAUUUAAGAAAAUCUUGCAAGUACAAUAUUUUGUGCUCCUGCAUUGCUUUAAGCUCUUCUUUUCCAUGGUGAAGUGGACCAAGGCUUACUACUUGAGGUGUGAAGAUCUUUUCAUUCGACUCACGUAGUCGAACAGGGGCUCUGUAGAUACAACAUUGAUCGGAGAAAGAAUGCAACCUUUCCAUAUCCGCUCUCAAGGACUUCGCCAACUUGUUCAUAUCAAGUAUUGUUACCUGCUGAUCAUCAACCGAUGUUUCUACAUCCUCCAUCUUGUGGGGAUACUGACCAAAGCGAUUCAAUUGUCAGACUCCAUAUAAAAAAUUUGACUACCUUUAAUUAAGUAGUCUCAGACUAAAUCUGAUUGCUUCAGUUUAAAAAAAAUAAUCCGGUUGCUAAAAGUAUGGACCGGGGAAUAGCUACCUAUCACUUCAAGGUUGCAUUUGGUUGCAUUCAAUUUAAUUAAUUAAAUUAUAAAAAGUUUUUUUUAUUAUUAUUUUCAAUAACAACGAUAUUAAUAAUAAUAUUAAAAAAUUAUUAUGAUUAUUUUCAUUAACAAUAAAUAUUAAUUUUUUAAAAUUAAAUGUAUCAUUAAUAUAUUUAGUUUAUAUUCAUGUUAUUUUUUUAAAAUUUAUAUUUUAUAAUAAUUUAAAUAAAAAAAGAUGUUUUAAAUUGAUAACAUUAACCUAGCUUUUUUAUUUAAAAUAUUUGUAUUAAAAUAUUUUACUUUUAUAAUAUUUUAUUUAAGUUGAAUUAUUUUAAGUUAAAAAUUUAUUUAAUUUUAACUAUUUAAAAAUAUUUUAAUUUUUAAAAUUAUAUUUUUUGACAUUAUAUUUGUAAUGCAUAAUUUAUAAUUAAUUUAUUUUGAAUUUAAAUUUUAUAUAUAUAUAUAUAUAUAAACAAUACAAUCUCAAAAUAAUACACAAAACACUCCAAAAUUAAAAUAUUUUAUUUUAAUUAAAAAAAUAAAAUAUUUAUCAAAAUAGAAUUGAGAACUUGAUUACAACUAAAUUAGAAGGUUGCGCAUUCGCACAUAACUUGUUUUGUUGUAUCACCUUUCAUAAUCAUCAAUUUACAUUGCUUCAGGUUCAUGUAGAAGAUAAAACUAGACGCAGGAGGAUUUUUAGGGAAAAAUUUAUUUAUUUAUUUAUUUAUUAUUAUUUUUUAUGAUGAUUUUUUUUUACUAUUUAGUUUAGAAAAUCAAGUAUUGAGAUUAUUAAUAUAAUUUUUUUAGAUUUUUUAUCACUUUUGUUUUAUUUUUGGGAUUAGUAUUGAGAUUUUUUAGAUUUGGUUCUUCAAAUUCAGUCUCUCCCAAAAGUUCUGAAAUUUAAAAAUAGUCCUUGGCAAAAAUCAACAUUCCAAGCUGUUUUCUGAAAUUUUAACUUUAAAUUGAAUUAUUUGUUUCUUCAUUUCAAAUCAUAAUGGAUAUCACAAAUGCAUCAAUUGUGAUACCAAGACUCACCAAAGAAUACUACGAUAAUUGGUAUAUUCAGAUGGGAGCCCUACUAGGCGCUCAAGAUAUCAUGGACGUCGUAGAAGAUGGGUAAGAAGAAGCAAUAUCCAAAUACGCUAAAGCAUCCAUGUUAGAUGCUCGAAGAACGAUCCUUCAAGCCGAUAGAAAGAGGGACACCAAGAAGCACUAGGGCCUUGAUGAGGCCACAUUUAAAAAUCAUUGCCUCUGCAAAUACAUCCAAAGAAGUAUGGGAGACCCUCAAACGAAUACAUAAUGAAAGAUACAUCAUUGACAUGUUCAUCGAUUAAGAAACCUAUCGUAAUGUCUCUUUGUAAAAUAAAAGGGUAAACUUCAAUGAUUAUCCUUAUAGAUUCAUCAUUAUUCUACUUCUACUCUUAUAAUUUCAAUUUUGCCACUAUAACCCUUGUAGUUUUCAUAAAAUUCCAUUAAUAAAGACACAAAAAGCCUAAGGAUAGAAACUUGCAUACCUAAAAGCUCUCGACAACCGGCAGUUUUAGAAGUUUUUCUCGUUUCAAAUGAUGACAAUCUAUUCUCCCAUGGCUGGACCUUGGUGGCUAGCUGCUUCCUAGGGGCAUUUCCUCCGGUUGAUUUUCUUGCUGUUUGCUUUGUGCCGUUGAAGUAAGUGAAUUGGCAAAUAGGGCUUUCGGAUUCCUGUUUGUUUCUCGAGAAAGCGAAGGGAGGUUAGGGAAUUGAAAGUUUUUGGCGGGUAGGGAUAGGAGGUUCUGGGGAUUUUUAUAGGGCAAGGGGAGGGGAGAGGUGAAAGAGGAAGGAAGGAGACAGUGAAAUGGGAUUUGAGCUGUUGAUCGGUAAGCUAAUGGGCGGUGGAGAUGGAGAUCCGUGUACACGUGAAGCGGCCAAUAGGAUUGCUUCAUUUAGGCGGGUUCGUUUAUAUUAGCAAGAUUUUUCAUCUGAAAUAUCAUGUAGCAUUCCACUUUCAACAAAACCUUAGAGUGUGUUUAAAUUUAAAAAAAAAUAAUAUUUUUUAUAUAUUUUUAAAUUGUUUUGAUAUAAUAAUAAUAUAAAUAUAUUAUAAAUAAAUUUUUAAAAUUAAAAAAUAUAUUAUUUUAAUAUAAUUUUAAACAAAAAGUAGUUUGAAAACCAUAGCCCCAAUGAAUUUAACUAUGAACUAUUUAGGUUUUAUUUAGUAUCGUGAUCCAAUUAUGUUUUUAAAAAUAAAAUUAGUUUAAUUUAAAUUUUUUAUUUUUAAAUUAUUUUGAUAUGUUGAUAUCAAAAAUAAAUUUUAAUAUACUUUUUAAAAUGUUAAGUUAAAGGGCGAUGGGAAUGGAAAUCAACAUGCAUGUGAAGUUGCCAAUAUGAUUGUUUUUUUAGACCCUUUUAAUUUUUGCAUUUUAAAAAUAUUUAAAAAAAAAUUAUUUUUUAUUUUUUUUUUUACUUUAAAUUAAUAUUAUUUUUUUUAGUAUUUUUAGAUUAUUUUAAUAUGCUAAUAUCAAAAAUAACUUUAAAUAUAUAUAUAUUAUUUUAAUAUAUUUAUAAAUAAAAUACACUUUAAAAAUAAAUCCCAACUGCAUUACCUAACAUGCUUGAGAGUGUUUUUCAAAAGUGCUUCCGAAAAAAUUUGAAAUUUUUUUAUUUUAUUUUUUUUGCUUUGAAUUAACAUGUUUUUGAUAUUUUUAAAUUAUUUUGAUGUAUUAAUAUCAAAAAUAUUUUUUAAAAAAUAAAAAUAUAUUAUUAACAUGUUUUUCUAAAUAAAAAGUAUUUUAAAACACUCCAUAAGACGGACUCGUUUUUCAUCUUAUGGAGCUCCUUAGACUUUCUGGACCGCGGAUUUUGAAGGGAUCAAUGGUUGUGAAUGUUUAGAGAAGCGCGAUGGGGAUCGCCACCUGCGUACUCUGCUGAGCGACCAAUAGAAAUGCUUUAUCUGCUUCCUUUUAACAAGUUAAAUAAACAGCCUUGGGUUUGCAAAAUUUCCCUUUUCUUAAACACACAUUUAUGAGAUAUUUAUUAUUUCCGUCAAUCCUUCUAUUAGCUUUUAUUACGUAGUAGUUAAUUUUUAAAGUUUUUUUAUUUAAAAAUAUAUAAAAAUAAUAUUUUUUUAUUUUUUAAAUUUUAUUUUUGACAUUAAUGUAUCAAAAUAAUCUAAAUAUAUUAAAAAAAAAUUAAAAAAAUUAAUUUUUUAAAAUAAAAAAAUAAACAUACACUUAAUCAAUAAAUAAUUAAACUUUAUUUUCCAAUACAACCAAACCAUUUCCAUACUUUUGAAUGGUUGGCUCUUUAUUAUUCUUCUCUCCAAGUAGUUUUUAAACCCAACUCAAUAAUCGAUCCGAUUUAAGGGUUGAGUCAAGUAUAAAUUUUGAUUUUUUUAUAAAUUAAAAUGAUAUAAUUUUAGUUAAAAACAAAUAUUUUAUAGAUUACAACCGGAUUUUAAACCUGAUCAAUGGGUCAAUCGCUCAAAUCACCCAAAAUUUUUACUUUUCUUAUAUUUUUUUUAAACUCGAUCCAGUUUCAGCCUCUAAUUAAUCAUUUCCUGGAUUGACCCGCUAGGAUAGAUCAGGUUUUAUAUGGCCAAACAAUUAUUAGCUUGCUUAUUAGCAAGAUUUUUCAUCUGAAAUAUCAUGUCGAAUUCCCACUUUCAACAAAACCUUGGUGUGUUUGCUUUUUGAGGUUAGAAAGUUUUUUUUAUAAAAAAAAAUUAUGUAUUUAGAUUAUUUUAAUAUAAUGAUAUAAAAAAUAAAUUUAAAAAUAUAUAAAAAAAUUAUUUUUAAAUAUUUUUAAAUAAAAAAAAUUUUAAAAAGCAACCAUUAUCAUAAUCCACAUAGAUUUAACUAUCGAUUAUUUAGGCUUUAUUUGAUAUUGCGAUCCAAUUAUGUUUUUGAAUUUAUUUUUGUUUUAAUGGAUUUUUUUCGUGUUUUUAUAUUAUUUAAAUUUUUUAGUGUAAAAAAUAAUUGUUUUUUAAUAAAAUAUUAUUUUAAUAUAUUAUUAAAUAAAAACUAUUUUUAAAAAAUACUGUAAUUUGUGUGUUUUUUAAAAAACAAAAUCAACUAUACAUACGGGUUAGAGAUAGAGGGGUUUUACAAGACAGUGUUUAAUGAAUAAAUUUUUUUGGAUUUGAAAAAACCUUAUUUCUUGAAAAGUGUAUUGUAUGGGUUUAGAUAAAUAAGUAAAUUCCUAACUAUUUCAGUUUUUUAUAAAAAUUACACACCCUGAUUCUUACUCAAAACUUACUAUUUAAAUCUCCAAGUUUUUUUAUCGUCGCUCCUUGGUAACGUUUAAUAAAUAACGCAAGAUGCAUAUCGAUAAGUUUAAGCUCGAGAAAAAAAUUGCGCGCUUCUGAAAAAAACGAGUCAAAGAAUUUGUAUUAAUAAGCAUAUAUUUAUAAAUCAUUUUUUUUUAUCGAUCCAUCAAUUAGCUGAAUAAAUAAAUAAUGAUUCUACAAUUUUCUAUUUCAAUAUACCAACAAACCAUUUCCAAUUCUUUUUUUCUUUUUUUUGGAAUGAUUGGCCCUCUAUAAUUUAUCUGAUAAAAGGGGACCACCUCUCACUUCUCAACCAAACAGUGCACUUCUACAGUUUUCCUAAAGACUUUUCUAGUCUUGUACCUUAUCUUCUACAGUGCUGCACCACUUGAAAAUGUAGCACUUUACAACUUUCAUUCCACUUAUAUAGCAAUAAAAAGGCAACAGUAAGAGCAUCUCAUAUGCAUAUAUGCAAAUUGAUAAAAUAAUAUUUUAAAUAGUUUAAAUAUAGUUUUUUUUAUAAGAUGUAUUUUAAUGAAAAAAAACAUUUAAAAAAUCAAUUCUAUUAGAGAAGAAAAAAUAAGUGUUUUAUUUUUUUUAAUGAUCUUGAUGUUUUUUUGACAUGACUAGAUUUAAUUGGCUUAUUUUUUUGUUAGCUCCACUUUAUUAGUUUUAACUCUUUUAAGAGAUAUAUAGGAAUCGUAUUUAUAAAAAAAGAAGAAGAUAUUUUAGCAUUUUAUUUAGAUUUCCCCUUUGAAUAUGAAAAACAAGUAAAGAAAAGCUAAAAUAUUAUCUUUUUAUUUUUGGCUAUCCAUUUAGCAACUCCAUUGGAGAUGCUCUAAGUGGGGGAAAUGCAGCGACUUUAACGGAUUGUAAAAUAAUAUAAAUUAUAAAUUAUAUUUUAUUUAAUAAUUUAAAUUUUUAAAUUUUUAAAUUGAAUUAAUUUUUUUAUAUAGUAUCAAAGUUUUAACAAUCAAAUAGUCAUGAAUUUUAAUAUUAAUAUUUUUAUUUAUUUAAUAAAAAUUAAGUAUAAGAUAAUUUAAAUAUGUAAAGUUUAAAGUUUAAAAAAUUUUAUUUAAAGAAUAUUAUAUUUUAUAUUUUUAUCUAUUAAUUUAAAAUUUUAAAUUGAAUUAGUUAUUUGAAAAUAAUUCAUCACCAAAAUACAUAUUGAAUUCAUGAAAGCUGUCGUGAUAAUGAUGCUUCUUAAAGCAAUGUGAAUAAUUGAACUCGGAUAUUCAUCUGCCCUAUCUAUGUCGAUUUCAGACUAGAAUUCCCAUGUAAAACAUAGCUAGGGUCUCCAUUAUUAAACAGAAGCUAGAAACCUGAAAAAUUUCAUGUAAGACUUGUAUAAAAGUUGUUGUUAUUUAUUUUUGAGUCUCCAUAAAAAAAAAAAAACUAUUAGGAAGAAAUUUAAAAAAAUAAUAGCAACAAGAAAAGAAUGUUAGAGUGCCUAGAAAAUAGCUAGAAAAUAGUUGAGAAGGUUUAAAAAUACAAGAAUUAAAAUUUGACAGUAUAUUUUUUACCGAUGAGAGUUCUAUUGACAAAGUAAAUUCAAUUUGAAGAAAAAAAGUUCAAAAUCAGAUGUUUAUGGACUCAAUUAAAUUUUAUUAAAGGUUUAAUUCAAUUUAUAGAGGGUUUCAUUGCAAGAAAAAUUGUUUUUUAAGUCAAUUUAGGUUUUAUUUGAAAGAAAUUAAAGUUUAUAGGUCAAAUUAUAAUUUUUAAGAGUUGUUUUGGGUAAAUGCUUAACUAAAAAACAUAUCAAAGUUUGAGACGAUUCUAGUUAAAAUUGCAAAAAAUUAAAAUCUAAAGAUCAAUUUAUAAAUGGUGUUGAGAUGUAAGGGUUCGAUUACAAUUUACCCAAGAACUUGACUAUAAAAUUUCAGAACUUGAGUGAUCAAAUGAAAAUGACCAUUUCACAUCUCAAAACAACACCGUUUCAGAGGACAUUGUCCAUCACCUCUUCAUUGCACCAGGAAGUCGUUUCAGCAGGAAGAAAAAAGAAACAAUUAGCCAUAGCUGUCCACAAUGCAAUACAUUACUGAAAUGCAUGACAUUUAUUCGGCUAUGAAGCCAUAGAAAGAAACGUCGUGCCAUGCUUGCUAAACGUCAAUGAAAGAGUCGCCGAUCAAUAUUCCAACAUUAAAAUCCAUGCAUGGUAGCCUCAUUAUCUAAGGCGACAUUCUCUGGUUAUAUUAUUUAUUAUUAUUAUUAUUAAUAUGAAUGAUUAAGUUAGUUUACGUAUACCUCGACUAAUUUCACGAAUUUUAAAGUUAAUGAUCAUGUAAGUCUUCAGCGGUCUUAAAAUUUAUGAGACUCAACUACACUAUAUUAUUACUUUUACAAGUAAGUUGUUUUAAUAAAAAGAAUUAAAAGAAAGUUAAAAGGAUGAUUUAUGAAUUUUUUUAAAAAGGUGUUUUCACCGACAAUAUUAAGGUCUCAGACUCUCAGUCAACUCUCAAUUUUUAUUAUUUCUAAAUCAAUCAAUCGUGGCCAUGUUCUCAAAUUUACCUCUCCAUCCGGACAGAUUUAACAACAAUACAUGAUACAGGUAAUGCAAAUACUAAUCUUAAUAAGAAAAACUAGCAUGUAAUAUUUGCAUUAUGAUGAGUUGAAUCCUAUGUAACAAUGCGAUAUUAACUACAUUUUAGCAUACUUAAAGACUAUAAUAAGCUCAUCUUAAUCAUUCUUUUUUACUAUUAUGAAUAUAUAAAUCCUUCCAUGGAGGGCAUGGUCGCAUGUGAUCAAUUGAAUAAUUGGAUUCGUAUAUUCACCUGCCUUAUCUCUGUCGAUUUCACACUGGAAUUUCCAUGCCCUUAUUCAAUGGUGGGAAAACGUACUCCCAUAAAUUCACCUAAAAUCAAUAAAAUCACCGACAGAAUAAUUUUAUUAGUAAAUUAUAUUUAUCAUUACCAACACUAUUCAAUCCAUAAUUCUAUCGGUGUAUAUCAACUGAAUAAUAUUGUCGGUAUAUACCGAUUGAAUUACAUAUGGAAUAUAUAGAAUAUUAAAAAAAAUGGUUUGAUGACGUGGGAGUUUUUAUGGGUAAUUUUACCAACAAAAUGACCGAGGGAUUCAAACUGGGAUCUCUGUAUAGUGACGAGACCAAUUCACCAUCAGAAGUACCGACAAAAUCUUCGACAGAAAUUGUUUGUAGGUGAUUCCAUCAGUAAAAGUUAAUAUAUUAUCACUCUGUCGACCCUCUCCUCCCAUAUUUCUCCUUCUUCUUUCCCAUUUCAACUUUACCCUCCAAAACUACAAACAACCACCCCCCUUAAAAAUAUCAUCUUUUCUUAACAUAAGUCAUAUUUCUUUAAGUUUUGUGGUCACAAUAUCUGUAUUCUGAUUUAUUGUGGAUUUUAUCAUUUUUUGUAAGUAAAUCUAUCCUUUUUAAUUUUAGAAUUUAAAAGUUAAUUUUAUUGUUUUUUGAUUUAAUGUAUUUUGUUAGUGUAUGUACAUGUUUUAUUGUUACUUCUCAAACAAACUUGUAAUAUGAAUGUAUAAUUUUGUACUUGUUAUGGUUUGUUUAGAUUUUGUAAAAUUAUAUUUGUUUGUAAAUUGUUGAAAUUUUGUUGAAUUACCGAAUUACAUGUGUUGUGAUGAAAUAAUUAAUAGCUUGUUUAACGGGUUUAUUUUAAUUUUUAUCAAUGCUACUUUGGAGUUGUAAUUUCCGUAAAUUUAUAUUUAUAAAUUUAUAUAGACGUUGAUAAUUGAUAAUGAAUAUUUAUGAGAAGUUUUAAUUAGUUUGUUCGAUAAUCUCGAGGUAAACCAAUAUUUUUGCUAAUUUAUUUACCUAACAUAGUUAAUUAAUACAUGUUGUCAUCAUAAUUUUAUAGAGGUUCAAUAGAAGUAAUGGAUGUAUCGAGAUUCACCCCAAGGAUUGCAGAUGAUGAAUUAUUGUAAUUGGAUUUAGAGUUUUAUUAAUUUCGCAAUAUCUAUUCCUAUAAAUUUUAUUGGAGGCGAUAUUAAGUGUCCAUGUAGGAAGUGUGAAAAAAAAAUAUCUACAUCUAGAUAUUAUAAUGAUACAUCUUCUACACAAAAGAUUUAUGGAGGAAAAAAUAAUGGUUAGGUAUAACUUUUAGUGAUAACAACGUGCAUAAAUAACCAAUUAUCUCGCUAGCUUGUCACUGAUCGGUUGAAUCUUGUCCGUCAAGGUUUGUCAAAUUGGGACCAAGAAAUUUAAGGCAUCGUGGGACCGAGUUGGUGAUGCCUACUUGUUGUGUAUUGGGAGUCUGAUUCUGUUUUGUAUUUCGGAAGGUGAUGCGAUGGCUAAGAUUCAAUUGGGAUGUGUGAUUUCAACAAGUUUGACCAAAUACAAUUAUAUCUAUAAAUAUUAGAGAACAAGGAUUAAUGCAACACGCGGAUUAAUUCAUAUGAAAGAAUUGAAAUUGCAGAAGCUAAACCACUUCAAGUAUAGAGCAGACGGAUUGUAUGACAGUCAGAAUGAGAAGAAUAACAGCUCCUGAGACAGGGACUGCUGCCCAUGGGGUAUUGAAAUAAUUUUGCUUUAAAGUUGCCUUCCACUUGUUCUAUGGCCUUUCGCAGAUGCAUUCAGAUCUUUAAUGAGACCUGUAAAGAGAAAAUCAUCUCGCGACAGUAUUAUGAAUAUAAUAUAUAAAUCCUUCCAUGUGGGGCCUAUCUGCCCUAUCUCUGUGAUACAAUUGAAUCGAUUCGUAUAUUCACCAUUCAUCUGCCCUACCUCACACGCGGUGUUUUGUGAAGGAGGAAGGAAGUGAUAACAAACAUAUCUCCAAGGACUCUGUUAUGUAUAGGACUCUAAUCACGUUGGCUAAGCUGAUAAGCUCUUAGAUUAUUCAAAACCUUAGCUGAUAAGAUCUCAGCUUGUAAUCCAUUGUUCACAGCUUUAGUUGAUAAGAUCUCAGGUUGUAAUCCCUUAGGAGUUGGUCUUCCUGUCAAAUAGGAGAAGUCGGUCAACAUAUGUAACUAUAUAUAUCUCCUCAGUCAAUAAGAAAAAUAUUCCGCUUUCACUCCUAAAACAAACACCUGUUAUGGUAUCAGAGCGUCCUCUGAUCCUUCCUCUGAUUCUUUCUUAAUUUUUCUUCACAACAAAAAUGUCCAACUCCAUUCCAUUAAACACAGACAAUCACCUCAUCACCAUUAACACAGCUGCUCAAGCUCCACUCAAACUGAACUCUUCCAACUAUGCUUCCUGGAAAAUUCAGUUUGAAACUCUUUUUGUUGGCUAUGAUCUUCUUGGCUAUAUCAAUGGAUCAAAGCCAUGUCCAUCAAUAAAUCUCACAGUUGACGGCACAACUGCUCCAAAUCCUGCAUACAGUUUUUGGGUAAGACAAGAUCAGCUCAUCUUAAAUGCCCUUAUUGGCAGUCUCUCCCCCCCACUGAUUUCCUUUGUUGCACGAACCACUUCCUCUCGUGAAGCCUGGAAUGUUCUUGCUGUCACAUAUGCAAAACCUUCACGUGGCCGUAUCAAACAUGUUAAGAACCAGCUGAAAAAUCUUACUAAAGGCACAAUGACCAUUACAGAUUUUGUUUACUUUGUCAAGGCAAGAUCUGAUGAACUUGCUAUCCUUGGUGCUCCCAUGGAUAUUGAAGAUCUUACUGAGAAGAUUUUAGAUGGUUUAGAUGAUGAAUACAAGGAGCUUGUUCGUGCUGUCCAAGCUCGGGAUUCUGCUAUCUCUUUUGAUGAGCUUCAUGAAAAGCUUCUCUCGUUUGAAGCAUCGCUUCAGACACAGUCACGUUCCUCCAGUAUCGGUCCUGUCACUGCCAAUUCCAUGGCUAGAAACUCCAACAACAGCAACUGGCGACCUUCACGAUCCAACUGGCGACCAUCGUUCUCUCCUCUGGGGAACAACUUUCGCUCAUCAACCACCACAAACUUUCGACCUGCUAUGUCCAUUACUCCAAACAAUUAUGGUCGCCACAGUAGAUUGCCUGCACGCCCCUAUUUGGGACAUUGUCAAAUUUGCAAUAUUCAAGGCCACACUGCCAAACGAUGUCCUUCCUUUCAGUUGGUGCCCACUUCAGGUUCUCACAAUAUCAACUCUUCAUAUGGCAUGACCCCAUCAGGACAUCCUCAGGCUAAUUUUACUUCUCCGUCCUCAUCCAAUGCUGCACCGUGGUUGCUAGAUAGUGGAGCAUCUCAUCACGUCACUGCUGACCUGAACAAUCUUUCCCUUCAUGUACCUUAUACUGGUCAUGAUGAUGUUAUGAUCGGCGAUGGUACUACUCUUCCCAUUACUCACGUUGGUUCAGUAUCACUUCCUACACUUAACUCUUCCUUUCAUUUACAAGACGUUUUAUGUGUUCCACCAAUGCAAAAAAAUUUAAUUUCCAUUGCCUUGUUCUGUCAAACUAAUAAAGUGUCUGUUGAACUUUUUCCCACUUGUUUUCAUGUGAAGGACCUACGGACGAAGGCCAUUCUUCUGCAAGGCGAAACUAAAGAUGGAGUUUAUGAAUGGCCAGUUGCUCGCUCAUCCUCCUCUCCUAUUCUUGCCUUCUCCACAGUAAAAACAACAUCCUCCAUUUGGCACCAACGACUUGGUCAUCCAGCAUCUUCUAUUCUUAGUCAUAUUUUGUCAUUUUAUAAUUUGAAUUUUUCUCCCCAUAAACAUUUCUGCUGCAAUGCAUGCUUAAGCAAUAAAAGUCAUAAACUACCAUUUUCUACUUCCACUUUGAUCACAUCUCGUCCUCUUCAAAUAAUAUUUUCUGAUGUUUGGACCUCUCCAAUUAUUUCUCAUGAUGGUUACAAAUAUUAUGUUAUUUUCGUUGAUCAUUUUACCAAAUACAUAUGGUUUUAUCCCUUAAAACGAAAGUCUGAUGUGCAAAUUGUGUUCAAACGUUAUAAAGCCAUUGUUGAAAAAUAUUUUCAGCAAAAUAUUGUGUCUCUCUAUUCCGAUAACGGUGGUGAAUAUAUUGCUCUCAAACCAUUUCUUUCCGAAAAUGGCAUAAGCCAUCUCACUUCUCCACCACACACCCCUGAACAUAAUGGAUUUUCUGAAAGACGACAUCUUCACAUUGUUGAAACAGGUCUUGCACUUCUUUCUCAGGCCUCAAUUCCGACCACUUUCUGGACUUAUGCUUUCAGUACUGCUGUCUAUUUAAUUAAUAGAAUGCCUACUCCCACGCUACAAAUGUCCUCUCCAUAUGAGUCUAUUUUUCACAGCAGUCCUAAUUUUUCAAAACUUAAAGUGUUCGGGUGUUUGUGUUAUCCUUGGUUAGGUCCAUACACAUCUCAUAAACUUGAUCCCAAGUCCAAGCCCUGUGUCUUUCUCGGAUAUUCUCUUUCUCAAAGUGCAUUUCUUUGUUUUGAUAAAUCCACAAGAAAAUUUCAUGUUUCUCGUCAUGUAAAGUUUGUUGAAUCGGUUUUUCCUUUUAAGUCCUCCUCCACUGACUCCUCCUAUUCAUCACCUUACAUAUCCGAUUGGGUCCCUCCCAUCAUUCCUGUUUCUUCCACUCCUCAGCAGCAACUGGUUCUAUCUACGCCAUCUCAACAAAGUCAUGCAGCUGAUCCUUCGUCUAUGGGUUCUUCACUGUGUUCACUUCCAUCUUCAUCUUGCACUGUCGAAGCCCUGCCCAGCACCAUAAUCUCCUCUUCCCCGUUGUCACAGGUACUUCCUUCUUCAUCCCCACUUAAUCCUAUAAUACCUGCUUCUCAUCUACUCCCUCAAGCACCUCCAAUCCCACCUCAAACAACUUCCCACCACCCCAUGGUCACCCGGUCCCGAAAUAAUAUCAAGAAACCUGUUCAGAAACUCACUCUUCACACCAUAAAAUCAGACACCUCCAACAUUGAACCUUCAAAUACUUCUCAGGCCUUCAAAGAUCCCAACUGGCGUCAGGCUAUGUCUGAGGAAUAUGAUGCCCUUGUUCGAAAUGGCACGUGGGAACUUGUUUCCCCUGAUGGUAUCACUAACCUUGUUGGCUGCAGGUGGGUUUAUAGAAUCAAAAGAAAUUCUGAUGGCUCCAUUAAUCGGUUUAAAGCACGCCUGGUUGCAAAAGGAUUUCACCAGCGUCCUGGAGUCGAUUAUCAUGACACCUUCAGCCCCGUUGUUAAACCAACAACUGUCCGGCUCGUCCUUAGUCUUGCUAUCAGUCGUGGAUGGUCUCUUAAACAACUGGACAUCAACAAUGCCUUUCUUCAAGGCAGCCUCUCUGAAACCGUGUUCAUGGAGCAACCGCCAGGGUUUGUUGAUCAAGACAAACCUUCCUUUGUUUGCAAACUACACAAAGCCAUAUAUGGGCUAAAGCAAGCGCCCCGCGCUUGGUACAAUGAGCUACGUCACUUUCUGUUGGCAUCCGGAUUCCAUAACUCUCACUCUGAUACAUCUCUGUUUAUCUUCCAAAGUGCUCCUCAUGUUUUGUAUUUGCUGGUUUACGUCGAUGAUAUAAUUGUCACUGGUAGCAAUGAUGCUGUUCUCUCUCAGUUUGUUUCCAGUCUUGCCAAACGAUUUUCUCUCAAAGAACUUGGUGACUUGUCCUACUUCCUGGGUGUUGAGGUUAUAUCUCACAAACAUGGUCUCCUGCUCUCCCAACGCAGGUACAUCACUGACUUGCUCACUCGUCUGCACAUGCAUGAAGCAAAACCAGUUCUCACACCGCUUCCAAGCUCUGCAUCUGCUGUUUCUUUAAAGUCAGGCUUGCCUCUCCCUGAUCCAACCAUCUAUCGUGAGGUUGUUGGCAGUCUUCAAUACCUGUCUCUUACACGACCGGAUGUGUCCUUCGCAGUCAAUAAAUUAUCUCAGUUCAUGCACCAUCCGACUGAUACACACUGGAUCCUUGUCAAGCGCAUUCUACGUUAUCUCCUUGGUACACUCAACAAGGGCCUUCUUCUGCGCCGUGACUCUCCUUGUUCUCUUCAUGCUUUUGCUGACAAACUUCAUGCCUUUUCGGAUGCUGAUUGGGCGGGCAACAAGGAUGAUUAUUCCUCAACCAGUGCCUACCUAGUAUACCUUGGGAGUAACUUAAUUUCAUGGAGUUCCAAGAAACAGAAAACCAUUGCCAGGUCUUCUACAGAGGCUGAGUAUCGCUCAGUUGCAGCCACUGCUGCUGAAUUAAGUUGGGUAUGUUCGCUCAUUCAAGAACUAGGUGUUGCUCUUCCCACUCCUCCUGUCAUCUACUGCGACAAUGUGGGAGCAACUCAGUUAAGUUCCAAUCCCAUAUUUCACUCACGAAUGAAGCAUGUGGCCGUGGACUAUCAUUUCAUUCGUGACCAAGUUCAGUCUGGUAGGCUUCGUGUUGCUCAUAUCUCUUCUGCUGAUCAGCUAGCUGACCUUCUAACCAAGCCGUUAUCCACCUCUCAAUUUCAGUUCUUUCGUGACAAGAUUGGCCUCUAUGAUCGUGGCCUAUCUUGAGGGGGCAUGAUAACAAACAUAUCUCCAAGGACUCUGUUAUGUAUAGGACUCUAAUCACGUUGGCUAAGCUGAUAAGCUCUUAGAUUAUUCAAAACCUUAGCUGAUAAGAUCUCAGCUUGUAAUCCAUUGUUCACAGCUUUAGUUGAUAAGAUCUCAGGUUGUAAUCCCUUAGGAGUUGGUCUUCCUGUCAAAUAGGAGAAGUCGGUCAACAUAUGUAACUAUAUAUAUCUCCUCAGUCAAUAAGAAAAAUAUUCCGCUUUCACUCCUAAAACAAACACCUGUUAGGAAGGAGACACUGAAGUGGGAUUUGAGCCGUAGAUCGGUAAGCUAAUGGAAAACUAUAAAUGUAAUCCGAAGAGGGGAAAGGUGAAAGUAAUAUUUAAAGACUAUAAUAAGCUCAUUUUAAUCAAGGUUAUCAAUUUCGUUCCAUUCCAUUUAGAAUAGCUGAAACAUUCCGUAUCAAUUCAAAAAACAAAAUAAAAUGGAACAAAUUUCAUCUCAUUUUAAAUCUCGAUCUAUUCUUUUCGGUUAAAUUCUGUCCGGAACGUUCCGGUUUCAUUCCACAUGUUUCGUUCCGCUCUUAAAAAGCUAUUGAAUCAAAUUGAACCUUAUUCAAUUUAAUUAAUUAAACCGUCCAAUUAUAAAAAGCUUUUUUCAUCACUAUUUUCAAUAACAAUGAUAAUAAUAAUAAUAUUAAAAAUUAUUAUUAAUAUUUUCAUUAACAAUGAUAUUAAUUUUUUUAAAAUUAGAUUUAUUACUCAUUCCAUUUCAAUUAAAAAAACAAAAUACUUAUGAAUUAACCCCCUUUUAUCUUAAUCAUUCUUUUGACUACUUUUAUGAAUAUAUAAAUCUUUCCAUGUGGGGGCAUGCAUGCUCGCAUGUGAUACAAUUGACUCAUUGGAUUCGUAUUUUCAUCUGUCCUGUCUCUGUCGAUUUCACACUAGAAUUUCCAUGUAUAAACAGCCUUAGGUUUGCAAGCUGUCUCUUCUCUUUUAUUGUCUUGUUUAUAUUCACCUGACGUGGAGGGGAUGCUACCUGACUUCAAUGACAUGAGUCUUCAUCAAAAUAUAUAAUUAAUUCAUGAAAGCUCUCGUGAUAAUAAUGUUUUAGAAAGAUUUUGGAUUUGAGAUAUAGAUAUAUUUUGUAUAGUGGUAUGAGAUGGCCCAGAACAAAAGGAUCCAAUUUUAAUGCAAAACUUGUUUAAAAGUUUUGUGAAAGUUUUACUAUAUUAAUUUCUUGAUUAAACCUUUCUAUAUAAACCUUUUUAGAUAAACUUUUACAAUGUUUUUUUUAUUAAAGGAUGUUUAUUAUAUGUAAAAUACUGUAUAGGAUGUAAACUAUUUUACAGAUCAAACUAUAAAUUCCAUUUAUUCAUUAAAAAUAUCUUUACCUUAAAUAGUUCUAUAAAAUAUUUUAAAAAUAAUAAUCAAGUAUAUAUAUUUGAGGGAUUAUGGGACAAUUAAUCUCAAUCAAAUCAUUUGUAUUCAUAAACAUAUAUUUAUAAAAUAUUUUUUUUUUAUCGAUCCAUAAAUUAGCUGAAUCAAUAAAUAAUGAUUCUACAAUAUUCUAUUUCAAUACCAAUAAACCAUUUCCAAUACUUUUGUUUUUUUUAAUGAUUGACCCUCCAUUAUUUAUCUGAUAAAAGGGGACCACCUCCAUUAUUUCUCAUGAAAAGGGGAUCAUCUCAUUUCUCACUCAAACUGUGCACUUUUACAGUUUUCCUGAAGACUUUUCUAGUCUUGUACCUUAUCAACUACAGUUGGCACCUUUAAAAAAAAAUAAUUUUUUUUAUAUUUUAUAUAAUUUUAAUACACUAAUAUUAAUUGGUAAUAGUCGUAAUUAUGAGACAUGGUCGCAUGUGAUACAAUUGAAUAAUUGGAUUCGUAUUUUCAUCUGUCCUAUCUCUGUCGAUCUCACACUAGAAUUUCCAUGUAUAAACAGUCUUAGGUUUGCAAGCUGUCCCUUCUCUUUUGUUGUCUUGUUUAUAUUCACCUGACGUGGAGGGGAUGCUACCUGACUUCAAUGACAGUCUUUACCAAAAUAUAUAAUUAAUUCAUGAAAGCUCUCGUGAUAAUAAUGUUUUAGAAAGAUUUUAGAUUUGAGAUAUAGAUAUAUUUUGUAUAGUGGUAUGAGAUGGCCCAGAACAAAAGGAUCCAAUUUCAAUGCAAAACUUGUUUAAAAGUUUUGUGAAAGUUUUACUAUAUUAAUUUCUUGAUUAAACCUUUCUAUAUAAACCCUUUUUAGAUAAACUUUUACAAUGUUUUUUUUUUAUUAUUAAAGGAUGUUUAUUAUAUGUAAAAUACUGCAUAGGAUGUAAACCAUUUUACAAAUCAAACUAUAAAUUUCAUUUAUUCAUUAAAAAUAUCUUUACCUUAAAUAGUUCUAUAAAAUAUUUUAAAAAUAAUAAUCAAGUAUAUAUAUUUGAGGGAUUAUGGGACAAUUAAUCUCAAUCAAAUCAUAUGUAUUCAUAAGCAUAUAUUUAUAAAACAUUAUUUUUUUUUAUCGAUCCAUAAAUUAGCUGAAUCAAUAAAUAAUGAUUCUACAAUAUUCUUUUUCAAUACCAAUAAACCAUUUCCAAUACUUUUUUUUUUGAAUGAUUGGCCCUCUAUUAUUUAUCUGAUAAAAGGAGACCACCUCCAUUAUUUUUCAUGAAAAGGAAACAACUUCUCACUUCUCACUUAAACUGUGAACUUCUACAGUUUUCCUGAAGACUUUUCUAGUCUUGUACCUUAUCAACUACAGUGCACUUUAAAAAAUAUUUAAUUUUUUUUAUAUUUUAUAUAAUUUUAAUACACUAAUAUUAAUUGGUAAUAGUCGUAAUUAUGAGGCAUGGUCGCAUGUGAUACAAUUGAAUAAUUGGAUUCGUAUAUUCAUUUGUCCUGUCUCUGUCGAUUUCACACUAUAAUUUCCAUGUAUAAACAGCCUUAGGUUUGCAAGCUGUCUCUUCUCUUUUGUUGUCUUGUUUAUAUUCACCUGACGUGGAGAUAUAUUUUGUAUGGGAUGGCCCCAUAAUAAAAAUUAUUAUCACGAGAGCUUUCAUGAAUUAAUUAUGAAUUAAUUAUGAAAGCUCUCGUGAUAAUAAUUUUUUAGAAAGAUUUUGGAUUUGAGACGUAGAUAUAUUUUGUAUUGGAUGGCCCCAAAACAAAAGUAUCCAAUUUUAAUGCAAAACUUCUUUAAAAGUUUUGUAAAAGUUUUACUUUAUUAAUUUCUUGAUUAAUUUCUUGAUUAAUUCUGAUAAAAGGGACCACUUCUAUUAUUUCUCAUAAAAAGAAGACCACCCUCUAUAAAAGUUUCUUAUAGCAAUGCAAAUAAUUGGAUUCAGAUAUUCAUCUGCCCUAUCUAUAUCGAUUUCAGACCAGAUAAUAAGUUUCUUAAAGCAAUGUGAAUAAUUGGAUUCAGUUUUAUAGUUAUCUACCUUGAUGAAAUUUUUCAACAUCUUUAACCUUUAUGAGAUCCGCUUUUACAAUAGUAAUCUUUAUCUUCAAUUAAAGGAUGUUUAUUUUAUGUAAGAUAUUGUAUAGGAUAUAAAAUAUUUUACAAACAAAUCUAGAAACUUAAUUUAUUAAUUAAUUGUUUUAGCUUAAAUAGGUCUAUACAAUAUUUUUUAAAAUAAUAAUCAAAUCUUAAUGUCAUAAAUCUUUCACCUGCCACUACCAUUCUAUCACUGAUUUUGAACACGCUUUUCUUAAAUAUUUUACAAGUAAUACUAUAUUCUAGAAAUUUAGCUAUUUUAGAUAUCUUUCUUGAAUUUGUUUACACGGUUAGACAACCCUUAUUUAAUGGUGGGAGAAAUUCAAAGGAGCAGUCUACUACAUGAUUUGUCAAAGUUUUCCUAAAAGAUAAAAGAAAAUAUUAUCAUUACAACUAGCGCCACUGACAUGCGGUGUUUUGUGGCUUUGAUCUUGAACCAUUAAGAAAAAAAAGCUCUUAAUGCUGUUUGUGUAGGACUCAAUCUCUUGUAGCUCCGACUUAUCAGGCAUAUACUUGUAUAUAUAAUCGUUGUAACACUGCAGAAGAAUGACAUUCAUAAAUAAAUUCCUUUCAUUCUUUUGGUUUACAUUCCUUUAAUUUGUUUUCAUGGUAUCAGGAGCAUGGUUAAAUCCUAACGUCUCUACCAAGCUUCCGCAAAUUUUUUCAAUUGAGGAUAGUACUGAUUCAACAAAUGAUACCAAAACACCACCCAUUAGAACAUGUGUUUUUUAACCAAUGAUCCAUCUGAUCCUUUUUUUUUAUCCAUGCCUCAGACCAUCCAGGUCAGAUUUUCUUUCGUCCAUGGAAGUUUGUUGACGUAGUGUGCGAUAUGUGCUUGCUAGAAAAAUAGCUUCCAUUCUUCUUCCUCGGGAAGUUGUUUGAGCUAUCCUGUGAAGCCAAUCCUACGAAUUAUACCAUUAUGGAACUUACAUAAAUGGUAAAAGAGGAUAGUUAUGUUUUACAUGGAAAUUCUGGUCUGAAAUCGACAUAGAGAGGGCAGAUGACUAUACCAUUAUAUAUGUUUGAGUUAUUAAAAGAGGAUAGUUGGAAAAACAUAAAUUCCUCUGGAGUCCUACAUGUCGCACGUCGAAAAAUCCGGCGCGCGGCAAUCGGCUGGCGAUUAUAUGUCUCGUUGUUUGUAUUGCUUGAAUUGGUUCGUUGGGAGUCGCCACCUAGUAUUUAAUUGAGGUUACUAGGAAACCCUGGUGGACUGGUCAUGGUCAGAGAUUUGCGGGUAAGGGACUGAUUGUGGUUAGGGAAGGUGUUAGCACCCCUAACGCACCCUACCUGAGGUAAGCUGCUCCGUGGACUUGAUGUGUUAAAGAAGUUUUAAAAAUUUUGUUUUUUCAUCGGAUUUUAGAAGUACAACUUCCAUACAAGUUUGUAUUUCUACACCGUGAUCCAAUCAAAAUAUUAAAUCCUUCUUUAUUCUUUGUUGUCUCAUCAAAAAAACAAUUCAUUAAACAAAUGUAUACAUGCAUCUUUUAUUAUAUAUUUCUUUCUUUUUCUUUUUCUUUUCUUUUAAUUCAAUAACAUACAUAAAAAAAUACAAACACACACAUACAUCUCUUUUUUAUUAUUAUUUUUUUCUUUUCUUUUACAUUCACCUUUACACAAAAUAAAUUCAAAACAAAUAAAUACAAAUUACAUUAAUUAAUUUAAAUUUUACAAAACAGUCCCUAAAAGUCCAGAAAUUGCAUUGAAGGACACUGUCGGAACUGCCUGAACUCGUGGCGGCGCGUGAACCCACGCGCCGCCGCAAACAUGCCGGAAACGGGCGGAUCUGCCCUAUUUCCUCCUCCUCCUCCCUUCUCUGCUGGUGGCAUCCUGCAAAACAAGAAAAAGGAAACGCAGGCAGUUCAUUUUAAUCCAUUUCUGUCCAGUUCUUGGAUUUUUCCUUUCUUCUCCAUUUUGGAUCUGCUUCUUUACAGAUCGGUUAUUUUCGUUUCCCCUUGUUCUCUGUUUUAGGCUGCCGGCCGAGUGACCAUAGGGCUGCUGGCGGCGUUCAUGGUGGCUCGCGGGGGGAAUUGCUGCGAUGGAAGAGGAAAUCGUGUGUCUGCCACCGGUUGAAGGAGAUGAUGCCAGCGUUGCCCCGGCGCUGAAUCUGUUCGGCCGUCGCUGCUGUGGAGGGAAACCGAAGGAGAAGCAGCCGUGGCUGAGGAGAUCGUGACCUGGAAGGCGCCGGAGCUGGAAGCUAUGGGAAAGAAGAGAAAAAUAAAUCAAACCCGCGGGGAAGAAGAGUUGUGGCUGGUUCUCCGUGGGGAAAGGAGAGUGGUGUUGUUGGUGGGUCUGUGUUGAUGACCGGGCUGUGGAGAAGGAAGGAAAAUGGAGAUGACGGUGGGGAAAUGGUCUGUCUUUGUUUCUGACAGAGGGGAAGUGAGCAGCGUCUUCUCUGGUUUUUGAAAGGUAGGGGAGGCCGUGACUUUUUUUCUUUUUUGCAGAGGGGAAGUCGGCUGGAAGGAGAAAGGGGAGAGUAUGGGUUUCAGCUGAUUUUGGCUUUUUAGCCGAGAGGAAGACUAAGGAGACGGGAAGAGGGCUGCCUUGGCUUCUCUGGUUUCGACUUUGAAGAUGAGAGAAAAUGUGGAAAUGGUGAUGGCUUGACUUGCUUUGUCAAGGCAAAAGGGGGAUUCGUCGUAGCCUUUUUUUUUAGGAGAAGUGAGAGCGGCUCUGUGUGCAGGCGGCUGUGCAAGGGCUGAGGAGAAAAAAAAUUAAAAGGGGAGCUGGCAGCUGUCAUCGGAGAAGAAGGAAAAAAUUUCCCAAAAAGGGGGGGGCCUCCCUGGCGGCUGUUUUCAGCAGGGAAGAAGAAAAGUUUAGUGUUUUAGGGUUCUCUCCUUUCCCCUAAAAUUACAAAAUGAACCCCCCCCACAAAAUGAGUUAAAAACUGCUAUUUAUAGGCAAAACAUUUUUUCGGGUUUCCAAAUCGGUCCCCAAUUUUUUUGUGUUCAAUUGACUUGGUAAAAAUUAAAUUUGAUCUUAAAAUUUUAAUCUUUUCAAUUCAGUCCAAAUUAAGCUCCCAAACUUAAUUUUUCACCAAUUAAGCCCCCAAAUUAAUUUGACCCAUUUAAAGUAUAAUCAAGUCCUUGCACUUAAUUAAAUCCUUCAAUUAGACCUAAAUUAAUUCUUAAACAUAAUUAAAAUUUAAUUUGGCCCAUGAUUAAAUCAAAUUGGCCCAUUAAAAAUUUAAUUAUGUCAUUGGACUUAAUUUUUAUGCAAAUUCAUCCAAUAAUCAUUUGAUUUGACCUUCGAAUAUGCAUUUAAUUUGACCUUCGAUUUUUGCCUAUUUUUGCAGUCUUUUUUUAUUGGAUUUCUCCGCAGUGCCAGCCUUUAUUUUAUUUUUUAUUUUUUUUAUUUUAAAAAAAGUGAAAUUUAGGGAAUAACCCAAAAUUGGGUUAUGACAGUUGCCCCCCUCUUUACAAUGCUUAUGAUAGAAAGUCUCGUAGGGGACUUUAGAUAGUAAGCGUUGUAAAGAAGAAAAAAUGAAGAUGUUUUUUUUUUUUUUUUUUUUAAAUUCAAAGAUUUUGAAAUGGUCGAAUUGUCAUGGGUGACCCACCCGGGUGAAAAACACGAAGAUGUUUUAAAGUGGUGAGAAAUACGAAGAUUUCUAAAAAUGGUUUUAUUGUUAUGGGCAACCGGCCCAGAUGAAAGGUUUUGAAAAAUACGAAGAUUUUUUCAAAUAGGUGAAAAAUGCAGAGAUUUUUCAAAGUGGUGAGAAAUGCAAAGAUUUCUCAAGAUGGUGAAAAAUUUUAGAGGUGGUGAGAAAUGCAAAGAUUUCUCAAAAUGAUGAAAAAUGCAAAGAUUUUUCAAAGUGGUUUUGUUGUAAUGGGCAAACGGCCCAAUUGAAAGGUUUUGAAAAAUACAAAGAUUUUUUCAAAGAGGCGAAAAAUGCAGAGAUUUUUCAAAGUGGUGAGAAAUACGAAGAUUUCUAAAAAUGGUUUUAUUGUUAUGGGCAACCGGCCCAGAUGAAAGGUUUUGAAAAAUACAAAGAUUUUUUCAAAUAGGUGAAAAAUGCAGAGAUUUUUCAAAGUGGUGAGAAAUGCAAAGAUUUCUCAAGAUGGUGAAAAAUUUUAGAGGUGGUGAGAAAUGCAAAGAUUUCUCAAAGUGGUGAAAAAUUCCAAGAUUUUUCAAAGUGGUGAGACAUACAAAGAUUUCUCAAAGUGGUGAAAAAUGCAGAGAUUUUUCAAAGGGGUGAAAAAUACAGAGAUUUUUCAAAGUGGUGAGAAAUGCAAAGAUUUCUCAAAGUGGUGAGAAAUGCAAAGAUUUCUCAAAGUGGUCUUGUUGUGAUGGGCAACCGGCCCAAGUGAAAAAGUUUGAGAGUGGGGAGAAAUGCAAGGAUUUCUCAAAAUUGGUGAAAAAUGUAAAGAUUUUUCAAGGUGAUGAAAAAUGCAGAGAUUUUUCAAAGUGGUUUUAUUGUUAUGGGCAACCGGCCCAAAUGGAAGAUGAAAAGAGUUUUGAAAGAAGUCUGAUUAUAAUGGGUGACCUGCCCGGGCAAAAAGAUAAAAUGUCUGAAAAGGACGACAUGAUAGGACUCGAUGGGGGAACGAGGGCUGAAGAGCGCACUCGAAAGGAGGUAGGGUUAGAAAAACACACUACCUAAGAGGUGAAUGCUCCAAGGCGCACUCUAAAGGAGGUAAAUAGGGCUAGAAAGCACACUACACAAGAGGUGAGGGCUCGAAGGAGCUCUCAAAAAGAGAGCAGGGUUGGAAAACACACUACCUAAGAGGUGAGGGCUCGAAGGAGCAUUCGAAAGGAGGUAAGGUUGGAAAACGCACUACCUAAAGUGGUGAGGGCUCAAAGGAGCAAUCAGAAGGAGGUAGGGUUAGAAAAAUACACUGCCUAAGAUGUGAGGGCUCGAAGGAGCAUUCAAAAGGAGGUAAGGUUGGAAAACGCACUACCUAAAAUAGUCGAAGGCUCAAAGGUGUACUAAAAAAGGAGGCAGGGUUGGAAAACACACUACCUAAAGGUGAUCGAGGGCUCAAAGGUGCACUCGAAAAGAGGUAAGGAGGUAAGGUUGGAAAACGCACUACCUAAGGUGGUUAAUGGCCCUAAGGCGCACUUAAAAGGAGAUAGGGUUGGAAAACACACUACCUAAAGUAGUUGAUGGCCCUAAAGCGCACUUAAAGAGAGGUAGGGUUAGAAAACAUGCACUACCUAAGAUGGGAGGGCUCGAAGGAGCUCUCAAAAGGAAGUAGGGUUAGAAAACACACUACCUAAAGGGGUUAGGGCUCGAAGGCACACUAAAAAAGAGGUAGGGUUAGAAAACACACUACCUAAAGUGGUCGAUGGCCCUAAGGCGCAUUUAAAAGGGAGAGGUAAGGUUAGAAAACACACUACCUAAAGGGGUUGUUAGCUUGAAGGCGCGCUAAAAAAGAGGCAGGGUUGGAAAACGCACUACCUAAGAUUAUUGGGGGCUCUAAAGCGCAUUUAAAAAGGAGAUAGGGUUAAAAACGCACUACCUAAGCGUUGAAGGCUCUAAGGCGCACUCAAAAGGGGAGGUAGGGUCAGAAAACACACUACCUAAGAUGGUUGGGGGCUCUAAAGCGCACUAAAAAAGGAGGUAUGGUUAGAAAACACAUUACCUAAGGGGUGAGGGCUAAAAGACGCCCUCAAAAGGAGGUAGGGUUGAAAAACACACUACCUAAAAGGUUAGGGCUCAAAGGCACACUAAAAAAGAGGUAGGGUUAGAAAACACACUACCUAAGGGGUGAGGGCUAAAAGACGCCCUCAGAAGGAGGUAGGGUUGGAAAACACACUACCUAAAAGGUUAGGGCUUCAGCAACUCGCUCAAAAAGAGGUGAUGGUGAGACACCGAUCUAUCAAGGAUGAAAGAAAUGCAUCAUGAUCAAUAUAUGCAUGUAUACUUACCUGAGAAGUAUAGGUCCCCUUUUCUUCAUCGAGUUCUCCUUUUCUCAAGAGUUUGAGUCUCUGAUAGUAAGCUUUGAUGGCUUUUGUCCCCUUGCUUACUCGAGAAAUAUCUUACAAUCUUGGCCUCUAGGAAAGUUGAUGUCAUCACUUCUUUGUUCUCCGCCCCUUUUAUCCCAAGGGUUGCCAAUUUUGCCCAAUAGUUUCUUCGAAAGGGAAUCAUGGAGCCAGCUCUACCAAAUGUUUUUGAUUGCCCCCUAGCUUGAUCAUGCCCCCAAGUAUUCAAUUCGGGUUUGGGGAUGAGGCUAUAUGAAGGAAGGUUUGGUUUUUGACAAGGAGCUGUUUUCAUGCAGAAUUUUUGGAAUUUCAAAGCUAUUCCAGACACAGAAAUCAUUUUGACAUCGAUUCAAAGCGAACUCAUUCUGAAGAAAUUCAAGUGAUUCCUAUGGAGAGGUUUUCAGAAGUGAUGAAAACUUUUUGUUUUGAUUUUGGUGAAAAAAUAUGAAGUGACAUUUGGUUGGUCACAAAAAGUUGAAAUUUCAAUGAAGUGACAUCUGGUUGGUCACAAAAGGUUUAAAUUUCAAUGAAGUGACAUCUGGUUGGUCACAAAAGGUUUAAAUUUCAAUGAAGUGACAUCUGAUUGGUCACAAAAGGUUUAAAUUUCAAUGAAGUGACAUCUGGUUGGUCACAAAAGGUUUGAAUUUCAAUGAAGUGACAUCUGGUUGGUCACAAAAGGUUUGAGUUUCAAUUUGAGGGUUAUUGAGAACCGUUUUCAAAGCAGUCAUUUUAUUUGCAUGAAUAAUGAUUUUAUUUCGCAUGAGAAAGCACUGCCUACCGAUCCAGAUUGCCUGCCUUUGAUCAGAAAGGGCUUCAUUAGGCACGUAAUGUAGGCUUGGGCUUUUGGCUAUGAAGAAAAUGAUAUAUAUAGGCUCAAAAGGUGUUUAAGGGACUUUAAGACUAAGGAUCACAAGUGCUUAUAUCCCAAACUCUUUUGUUCAUACAUUUCUGGACCUUGGAAUUGAUUUGUAAAAAUGUCCACGGUGCCCCCAGUGUUGGGCUUGGGCUCUUUCUCUUUGUUUUCUUCAUUUGAUUUUGAGCAUCAUUGCAUUGGCCUUUGUUUUUUGCUCAAAUUUUUGAUCCUUUGGAUUUUUUCAUGCCACCUAGCUUUGUAUGGGCACCUUUGAUGAUUGAGAUUUCUUUUAUGCCCCCUAUUGUUUGGGCACUUCAUCGUUGAAGACUUUUUCAUGCCCCCAAGAGUUAUUUGGGCACUUUCAAUCAUUAUGGAUUUUUAGCACUUGCCCCCCAGUGUAGGGUGUGAUCCUAGCCAAGGUUAUUUUUCAAGAAAAAUUUAUUAGGCUCAAAAGGGACUGCAAAUGAUAUAUUUCAGCCUUUGAAAGGAUUAUCAAAGAUGACCUUUCUCAUCUCAAAUGCAUGCAUUUAGGAUCGGUAAGCCUUGCUUUCAUGCGAUAUGCAAGUGAUUUCUCAUUAUUCAUGCAAUAAAACCCAGCUUUUGGAGUCACUUCAUGGUGUUUUUUUGGGUUUUCUAGGUGUAUGGUUACCUCUCUAAGGAAUCACCUGAAUUUCCAGAAUCGUUGUUUCGACAAACAUCAACAUGAUUUCUGUUUUGUACUAAACUUUGAAUUCCCAAAAAUCCUUAUGAAAACAUGGGUCCUGUUUUGUUUUGGGAAGAAAAGGGAAACACACCACAAGAUUUGGCGCGUGGUUUCAUGCUUAAAGUUACGCUCAAUGUGUUAUUUGCAUGAAACAACAAAAAAUGAAAGCAUGUGAAAACACAGAAAACACAUAUAUAACAAGAAAGGCUCAGGACAGGAAAGUCUUGUGGAAUUUUGAGCCAAAUUACCAACAAAAACUGGAUAGGUUGAAACAAAAAAAUCAAGUUUUGGAGGCAUGAUCAAACAGAGGUAGUUAUUGGCAGAGCAAGAACAGCUCUUCUGCAACGGUGAUGCAAUUCCCCUUCAGAAUUGUGUUGAGGCUUUUGAUCAUGUGGCCCCUAAUUUCUUCGGGUUGAGUUGGGGCUGAACAAAAAUACUGGCAUUGGAAGACCUUCACUAGAGCAUCUAUGUCUCGAGUAAGCUAAGUGAGGAGCCACACUGCUUUCAGAGACCUAACUCUUGAAAUGGAUGCUGCGGUGAGCACGCUCUUUGUCUCCAAUGUUUUUUCUCUCAAAAUCAGGUUGUAGACUCGGAGGGACCUACUUAUUCUGGUGCAUGCAUGACAAAAUGUAUGAACAUGAAGUCUAUAUGAUGAACUCGCCCUUCGAGGUACAACAUGGUCGUAACUCUUGUAUGAUGGAACAAGAAUUGAUUUUUGCCCAAACUCUACAAUGAAAAUUUUCCGAGUGACGACCAAUGUGUCACCCACAAAUCUUGAGUUCAAGAUGCUUCAAGAAGGGUUCGCCCCGAUGCAAAUAAAUGAUAGCACAUACAACCUAAGAACAAGUUCUAUUCAUUGUGUGAACAUGGGUAGGUUUUCUACCUGGUCUCAAAAGGGUCUAUGAAUUGCCCAGUGACGACCUCACGUGAAGGCAGUAUAGGGGUUUACAAGGAAUGGUUGGGGCACCAUGUGACCGCCAUUACCAAAAUAAACACUCAGCUCAUAGUUGGAUGUUUCACAAAUCUGAACCCCGACUGAAAGUCAUGAGGUAGACUGCUACUCCCCACCUAACUUAGAAGCUUGUGUGUGCUUUCAAAAAUAAAUACAAGUGAUGCGUGAAACAAUUCUAAAAAUGCAUGCAUAAAAUAAAGCAAGACAAAAAUAGCAAAAUUUAAACACAUCAAAUACACAAAGCUUAGUCCAAUAUUGUCAGAAACAGUACCUCCCCAGUGGAGUCGCCAUUCUGUUGCACGUCGAAAAAUCCGGCGCGCGGCAAUCGGCUGGCGAUUAUAUGUCUCGUUGUUUGUAUUGCUUGAAUUGGUUCGUUGGGAGUCGCCACCUAGUAUUUAAUUGAGGUUACUAGGAAACCCUGGUGGACUGGUCAUGGUCAGAGAUUUGCGGGUAAGGGACUGAUUGUGGUUAGGGAAGGUGUUAGCACCCCUAACGCACCCUACCUGAGGUAAGCUGCUUCGUGGACUUGAUAUGUUAAAAAAGUUUUAAAAUUUUUGUCUUUUCAUCGGAUUUUAGAAAUACAACUUCCGUACAAGUUUGUACUUCUACACCGUGAUCCAAUCAAAAUAUUAAAUCCUUCUUUAUUCUUUGUUGUCUCAUCAAAAAAACAAUUCAUUAAACAAAUGUAUACAUGCAUCUUUUAUUAUAUAUUUCUUUCUUUUUCUUUUUCUUUUCUUUUAAUUCAAUAACAUACAUAAAAAAAUACAAACACACACAUACAUCUCUUUUUUAUUAUUUUUCUUUUCUUUUCUUUUACAUUCACCUUUACACAAAAUAAAUUCAAAACAAAUAAAUACAAAUUACAUUAAUUAAUUUAAAUUUUACAAAACAGUCCCUAAAAGUCCAGAAAUUGCAUUGAAGGACACUGUCGGAACUGCCUGAACUCGUGGCGGCGCGUGAACCCACGCGCCGCCGCAAACAUGCCGGAAACGGGCGGAUCUGCCCUGUUUCCUCCUCCUCCUCCCUUCUCUGCUGGUGGCAUCCUGCAAAACAAGAAAAAGGAAACGCAGGCAGUUCAUUUUAAUCCAUUUCUGUCCAGUUCUUGGAUUUUUCCUUUCUUCUCCAUUUUGGAUCUGCUUCUUUACAGAUCGGUUUUUUCGUUUCCCCUUGUUCUCUGUUUUAGGCUGCCGGCCGAGUGACCAUAGGGCUGCUGGCGGCGUUCAUGGUGGCUCGCGGGGGGAAUUGCUGCGAUGGAAGAGGAAAUCGUGUGCCACCGGUUGAAGGAGAUGAUGCCAGCGUUGCCCCGGCGCUGAAUCUGUUCGGCCGUCGCUGCUGUGGAGGGAAACCGAAGGAGAAGCAGCCGUGGCUGAGGAGAUCGUGACCUGGAAGGCGCCGGAGCUGGAAGCUAUGGGAAAGAAGAGAAAAAUAAAUCAAACCCGCGGGGAAGAAGAGUUGUGGCUGGUUCUCCGUGGGGAAAGGAGAGUGGUGUUGUUGGUGGGUCUGUGUUGAUGACCGGGCUGUGGAGAAGGAAGGAAAAUGGAGAUGACGGUGGGGAAAUGGUCUGUCUUUGUUUCUGACAGAGGGGAAGUGAGCAGCGUCUUCUCUGGUUUUUGAAAGGUAGGGGAGGCCGUGACUUUUUUCUUUUUUGCAGAGGGGAAGUCGGCUGGAAGGAGAAAGGGGAGAGUAUGGGUUUCAGCUGAUUUUGGCUUUUUAGCCGAGAGGAAGACUAAGGAGACGGGAAGAGGGCUGCCUUGGCUUCUCUGGUUUCGACUUUGAAGAUGAGAGAAAAUGUGGAAAUGGUGAUGGCUUGACUUGCUUUGUCAAGGCAAAAGGGGGAUUCGUCGUAGCCUUUUUUUUUUUAGGAGAAGUGAGAGCGGCUCUGUGUGCAGGCGGCUGUGCAAGGGCUGAGGAGAAAAAAAAUUAAAAGGGGAGCUGGCAGCUGUCAUCGGAGAAGAAGGAAAAAAUUUCCCAAAAAGGGGGGGGCCUCCCUGGCGGCUGUUUUCAGCAGGGAAGAAGAAAAGUUUAGUGUUUUAGGGUUCUCUCCUUUCCCCUAAAAUUACAAAAUGAACCCCCCCCACAAAAUGAGUUAAAAACUGCUAUUUAUAGGCAAAACAUUUUUUCGGGUUUCCAAAUCGGUCCCCCAAUUUUUUUGUGUUCAAUUGACUUGGUAAAAAUUAAAUUUGAUCUUAAAAUUUUAAUCUUUUCAAUUCAGUCCAAAUUAAGCUCCCAAACUUAAUUUUUCACCAAUUAAGCCCCCAAAUUAAUUUGACCCAUUUAAAGUAUAAUCAAGUCCUUGCACUUAAUUAAAUCCUUCAAUUAGACCUAAAUUAAUUCUUAAACAUAAUUAAAAUUUAAUUUGGCCCAUGAUUAAAUCAAAUUGGCCCAUUAAAAAUUUAAUUAUGUCAUUGGACUUAAUUUUUAUGCAAAUUCAUCCAAUAAUCAUUUGAUUUGACCUUCGAAUAUGCAUUUAAUUUGACCUUCGAUUUUUGCCUAUUUUUGCAGUCUUUUUUUAUUGGAUUUCUCCGCAGUGCCAGCCUUUAUUUUAUUUUUUAUUUUUUUUAUUUUAAAAAAAGUGAAAUUUAGGGAAUAACCCAAAAUUGGGUUAUGACACUACAUAUCGUUGACUUCCUAAGAAAGUGUCAGCAGCCAACGGAACAGUAUCUUCCAGCGAAAAAAACUACUUAAGCGCACCCACAGCAACGGAGCUCCAUCAAUCUGGAGUGAAGUUUAAGAAUCCAGGAAAAAACUCACUAUUUGACAUAAGAUUCAGUAAUGGGAUUCUAGAAAUUCCACAACUAAAAAUAGAUGACAGCACAGAAAUCUUAUUCAGAAAUCUCCAGGCCUUUGACCAAUGGCAUCAUAGGUUGGAGUAUAUUUUCGUAAGUAACUAUAUUACUUUCAUCGGCUGCCUCGUCCGUGCUCCUAAUGAUGUGGAAGUGCUUGCUCACAAUGAGAAUUUGAAAAAUAUGCUAAACAGUGACGAAGCAGUGUCAAAUCUUCUUUACAGCAUCGACAAAGAAUAUGUUGUCACUAAAAAUAGUUUUCUUUCGGGUGUCUGCGAAGACCUGAAGUCACACAAAGCGUAAACACAAGUGGAAGGCAAUCUUGAAGCAGGUUUAUUUCAAAAAUUCAUGGACUGGCAUCUCUGUUUUUGCUGCUUGUUUUCUCCUUGUACUCACUGUCAUACAAACGGUCUGCUCUAUCCUUUAAUUGUGAGUGAUAUUUAAUCCCUUUGUAUUUUUUUUUCUUUUUAUGAUUGGAAUGUGCUUAAGAAACAUGAGCUAAGAUAAAUUUUAUAGUGCUUAGUGAAUCACUAAUAAUAUCCUUUUAAUUAUUUUCUCCAUUUAUUUUAAAGAAAAAAAUUAAUCUAUUUAUUAUGACUGAUGAUUGUUAUUUAAUAAAAAAAUUAUUAUGAAGGGACAAGUAUGAUAUUAAGUUGGUGGAGGGACCAAUAAAAUAUUUUUUUAGUAGUGGAGGGACGACCAUAUUCUUUCUCUAAUUUAUUAAUGUUUUAAUUUAAUUAUAUCUUUAAAUUAUUAAUAGGUAAAUUUUAUUUAAAAAAGGUGUUCAUGUGCUACCAUGGAACGAAAUUAUGGACCAGUCCUGCUUGAGUCCAAGUCCAAUGUAUUCUCAGUAAGCCUGGACAUGAGUUUUGGAUCAAUUGGGCUUGAUUAGGCAUAGUUUUCAAGGCUGAAACAUGGGCCUAGCUCAUAUCAGCAAUUUAUAAGGCUAUAUAAUUAUAAUUUAGAAGGCAAUUUCCCAUACUGGCUGCAAAAAAUUAAAAAAAGAAAAACUAAUAGCAAAAGAUGAAAAAGCUCAUGCGAGGAAACUUUAUAUUUUUGAUAGCCAUAGCAGUUAAGUAAUUUAUUGGGUAUAAAAAAUUGAAAUCUCUGUGAAUUUAAGCCCCCUCCACCAUCCUAAUUAUAUCAAAAAAUCCAUUACAAAAAUACCAAAACACCCCUAAUCAUGAAUGGAAUUUUAUUUUUUAGGGAUAUUUUAGUUAUUAUAAAUUGCAUAAAAAGUUGAAAAUACCAAAACACCUUAAGCUUCAACUUUAAAAUUUUUUAAUUUUGAAGGUAAUGAAAUCAUUUUAUUUUGCAUAAAAAUUUGAAAAAAUCGAUCUAUCUCCCAUAUGACUAAUGUAUCCAUGUGAAAAUGGCAAAGCACCUCCCAUAACUGGUUAUACAUGUAGUUUUGAGAUGGGCCAAACACUGGAAAAACACUGUGGAGUGUUUUGCCCUCACGUUUUAUAUUUUCUUUUAAUUUUAAUACUAACCAGAUCCUGACCCAUUAAAAUACAUGAACUCUGUCCAGAUUCUGCAAAUUUUAGCUGAGGCAAGGAACAGUUAGCCUGGAUAUUCUGAUACUGCAUUUAAUUCUUUAGAUGUUGGUAACAUGUUAUUUCUUCAAAUUUUGAUUAAAUAUUUGCCUGCGAUGCAUAAUUCCCUCUCUGAUUUCUAGUGUCCAAACAUAGAUGAGCUUACAGGUACCUAAACGCAUAAAAAUCAAAUCAUGUCAUCAGGAAUAGCAUUCUGAAGCAUAGUGCUAGUUGAUAACUGGAAACUUAUACAUACUAAUUGAGGGGAAAAAGAACUUGUAUGUAAGCUCAAUCAAUGAAUAUUCCACUUCAGCAGGGCUAUAUCUGCUUAUUCUGGAUGCUUCAAGCAAAUCCUCAAGAAUGAAGAAUGGGAGCUGAUUUUCAAUCAAGAACAUGUCAAGUGAUACAUCGCUCAGCAUCCAUGGUUUAUUGAACAUACGGUCAUUGCUACUUCCAAAUCCUACACCACAACCUUUGAGCAGGACCACAAUGAGCAGGACCACAAUUGAACAUAGGGUAUUUUUUUUCGCGCCCCUUCGUGCAUGGACUAUCUCUGGCUUUUAUAGCCAGAGAACAAAGCCGUUUCUUCAAGCCAUAAAUUGUGUUAAUUGCAGGUGUAAUGGUGGGAGCGGCGGUUAGCGGUUCAUUUCAGACGGGAAGAAGAUGAACGGUAAUGGGAAAACGACGCCGUUUCUUGUGUUUAAUGGCUAUUUGCAUUUUGGACCUUGAAUGUUUGAUAAUUUUGUAAUUAAGUUCCUAGUUAAAUUUAAUUGGACCCUGCAUUUCGGUGCCUUUUACAAGUUAAUCCCUAGACGUUAAUCUGUUUCAAUUAUGCCCCUAAUUAACCUCUAAACUUUGAUAUUCUUCAAUUAAGUCCCUGAUUUCAUUAAUUUAAUUAAAUCCAAAGUCCAAUUAAGUCUCAAAACUUAUCAAUUCUCUAAUUAAACCCUUAAUUGGAUUAAUUAAAUCAAUUCCAAGCUUAAUUAAGUCUCAAAACUUAUCAAUUCUCCAAUUAAACCCUUAAUUAAAUUAAUUCCAAGCUCAAUUAAGUCUCAAAACUUAUCAAUUCUCCAAUUAAACCCUUAAUUGGAUUAAUUAAAUUAAUUCCAAGCUUAAUUAAGUCUCAAAACGUAUUAAUUCUCCAAUUAAAUCUUUGAUUGCAUGAAUUAAAUCAAUUCCAAGCUUAAUUAAGUCUCCAAAAUUAUCAAUUCUCCAAUUAAACCCUUAAUUGAAUUAAAUAAAUUAAUUCCAAGCUUAAUUAGAUUAAUUCCAAAGUUUAAUUAAACCCCAAAACUUCCAAUUAUAUUGCUCUUAACCCAAAUUUUAAUUCAUUCUUCAUUUAUUUCAUUUUACUUGUUUUUCCAUCAUUAUUAUCAAUUGUUUUUUUUAUCUUUUUAGUAAAUAAAAUAAUAAUAAAAAUAAAAAUAAAAUGGUCAAAAAUUGGGUUAUGAGAACAAGGCUUACUACUUGAGUUGUGAAGAUCUUUUCAUUCGACUCACGUAGUCGAACAGGGGCUCUGUAGAUACAACAUUGAUCGGAGAAAGAAUGCAACAUUUCCAUAUCCGCUCUCAAGGACUUCGCCAACUUGUUCAUAUCAAGUGAAAGUUGUGUAUCCUGAUCAUAUUCUGUUACCUGCUGAUCAUCAGCCGAUAUUUCUACUUCCUCCAUCUUGUGGGGAUACUGACCAAAGCAAUUCUAUUGUCAGACUCAAUAUGAAAAAUUUGACUAGCAUUAAGUAGUCUCAGACUAAUUCUGAUUGCUUCAGUUUUUUAAAAAAAUAAUCUGGUUGCUAAAAGUAUGGACCGCGGAAUAGCUACCUAUCACUUCAAGGUUGCAUUUGGGUAACAUCAUGGAACAUAAAAGACAAAAACGUUUUUGAUUAGAGAGACAAAUAUAAAAAGUAUAAAAAUAAAUCUAUCUCUUAGAUUCACAUUCUCUUUCAAAACAUCUAUUAUCUUUAUUUCUUGUAUCUUGAGACAGUAAUCCAAUGCUACCCAACAACUUUGAUUUGUAAUGUCAGAAGUAACCAGCAAUGUGUUCAUCUAGAACUAAAGCACUUGCAAAAAAUUGCUGUCCCAGAAGAUAGUGGUUCCCUGUUUCUCCGUGAAGAGUUGACUUCCUUUUAUUUUCCAAUGGUCGACGUCAGCAUAGUUCUCACUCUAAAUGUAACACAUUGUAUGUAGCAAACACUCGACAGAUAUAAAGUUAAAGGAACUCUCACUUUAACUUUAUAUCUGUAGAGUACUUGACAUGUACUAAUCUUAAGUUAAAGAUGACUCUCACUAAAAAAAAAAAAAUUGUUUUAUUUGCCAUCCACUGCUAGCAUUUUAUAAUAUAAUCGACUAUUACUACAAAAAUAUCUCCACAAAAACAAUUACUUCACUUUCUUAACUGCUGAACCUAAUCUUCUUGAUUAAUAAAAAGGAUAAUGACGACUGCAACAUGUAAGCACGCUAAGCGAAUUGCAAGCUGUCACCUGUUUGAAAAAUCAAGAAAUUAAAAUUUUUUUUAUUAAAAAAUAAUAUAAAAUCAUUUUUUAGCUUCAUCCAGUAACUUCAAUUUUAAUUUGAAAUAUUAUACCUUAAGCAUUAUGCGGAUAUCAUAUUUAUGAGUGUGUUCAUCAUAACAUUAAAAAAAUUAAUAUAUUAUCAAAACCUUAAUAUAUAACUAAGAAAGGAGGAGCUUAACAUGACAUUUAUAAAAACUCAUUUAAUAUGAUCUUUUGGAUUAAGAUGGUAUUUUAACAUAAACUAGAUAAUUAAUUAAAAAUGGCAGCUACACCAUUUUGAAACCACACGAGCGAAAUGAAAUUAUGAAGAAUUUGAUGUUGUACAUCAACAGAAAAUUUAUUAGAAAAUAAUAUAAAUUAUAUAUUGUGACCUUACCUAAUAUCAUAAAUUAUUGAGUUGAGAUGGUUAUUUGACAUGGUACAGAGCCUUGAUGACCAAGCGAUCACGAGUUCAAAUCUCAUCAUCAUUAUUUAUUUGAUAAAAAUUAAGCUAUUGGUUGAGGUAAUUUUUUAUAAAAUUAAAAAAUCCAAUAAAUCUCUUUAUUUCAUAUAUCAUUCUCACUUUAGCUCUAGAAUUGUGACUUUUGCUUUCAUUUAGUAGGGUCAGGUCAAUUCUAAUAACUUUUUAUGGAGGAAAAGUUCGAGUCUACAAUGAAUUAUUGACAAAAAAAUCUCAAUUAGUUGAGUGAAAAUUUGUAAAUAAAAAGCAAACUACGUCAAAAUAUCUAGUAGUAUUAGUAGACUCAUGCAAAGUUUCGAGGAAGAAACAAAAGGCAUAAAAUGCCUUGUGCCAACCAACUAUACAUCCCAUCUCCCUUUCAAUAGCUUGUAGGUAAAACAAAAGCUGGGGCUUAAACAAAUUACAAGUUCAGAAAAAUCGCAGCAAGAUGAACAAAUGCUAUUCCUUAAAAAAGAAGAAAAAAAAAACAGUGAAUGGAGACUUAAAAUGAAUAAUUACAUAGAUUAAGUAUCGAAUUAUCUAUAAACAAUGUUAGGAUACUAGCAUGCAAAUCCGACAAGACAAAAGGUAAAGGAUAUGAUAAAAUGAGAAAUGAGACACACAAGAAUUUACGUGGUUCACCCAAUUGGGCUACGCCCACGGGCAAGUAUAGAAGAAUUUUAUUAAGUAAUGUGGGAAUUACAACCUCUCUUUACUAAUAGGAGAACAACUGAAAUCUCUCUAUUACUAGGAGAAAACACCUCACUUACUAUCUCACAAAUACCUCACAAUUUUGUAGGAUUACUCUCUCUUCACUCUACUCUUCUUCUCUCUUCCUUGGUGUGCAUAUAAGGCAAGGAUGCACUGCCUAUUUAUAGGCAAGCUUCCUUGCCUUUGCCUUGCAAAUGACAAGAGCAAGGCAAGUGGGCAAGUGGCACCAAUUCGAUGCCCAUUUUGUUGACUUAGUUAGCACCAAUUGGUGCCAGCUAGCUUCAGAUUCUCCCACUUGAAGACUUUGAUGAUUUAAUCAAGUCUUCACACUUGAUCAUCUGUGAUUCUUCUAUCCUUUUUAUACUUACCAUCUUCAUGCUGCUUACGUUUCUGUUAGGUCGUAAGAGGAUUUGCACCAUAUAAACUUGUUAGUGUUGACUGGUUUAGUCAAAGCAUCUGCUGGGUUUUCUUUUGUAUGAACCUUCUGAAAAUCCACACUUCCAUCUUCCACCACUUCGCGAACAAAGUGAUACUUGUCGCACCCCAAAAAAAUCAGCGCGCGGCAUCGGCUGGCGAUUUAAAUCUCGUUUGUUGCGUUUGAUUGAAUUUGGUUCGUUGGAGUCGCCACCUAGUAAUUGAUUUCGGGCUACUAGGACACCGGAUGUACUGGUCUUGUCAGAGAUUCGCGGGUAAGGGACUGGUUGUGGUUAGGGAAGGUAUUAGCACCCCUAACGCACCCUACCUGAGGUAAGCUGCUUCGUGGCUUUGACGUGUUAAAGAAGUUUUAAUAAUUGUCUUUUCUUCGGAAAUUAGAAAUAUCACUUACGUAUAAGUUAAUAAUUCUUAACCGUGAUCCGAUCAAAAUAUUAAAUUCUUCUUUAAUGUAUUUGCAAUCUCAUCCUUAAAAAUAUAUACAAAUGAAUAAAACAAAAUACAAACACACACAUACACGUGUUAAAGAAGUUUUAAUAAUUGUUUUUUCAUCGGAAAUUAGAAAUAUCACUUACGUAUAAGUUAAUAAUUCUUAACCGUGAUCCAAUCAAAAUAUUAAAUUCUUCUUUAAUAUAUUUGCAAUUUUAUCAUUAAAAAUAUAUACAAAUAAAUAAAACAAAAUACAAACACACACACACACUUUCACUAUUUUUAUUCUUUUCUUUUACAUCCACAAAAUACAAAUACAAAUACAAAUUCAAAAUAAAUAAAUAAAAAUACACCAACACACACAUCCCCUUUGUUAUUAUUAUUUUCUUUUCUUUUCUUCUUUUUUUUCUUUUACAUCCAAAUACAAAUACAACUUCAAAUUCAAAAUAAACAAAUAAAAAUUACAUUAAUUAAUUUAAAAAUUACAAAAACAGUCCCUAAAAUUCUAAAAAAUUUCAGGGAAGGACUUCUGCAGCCGGAACAGUGUUCGUCAUGGUUUCUGGGCUCGGGAACAGUGGGGGCGCGUGGAUCUCACACGCCACCACCACUGGCGGCGCGUGGGUCCACGCGCCGCCACAGAAAAUAAAACAGCAACAGGGGGUCUGGAUCGCCUUCUUCCCCUCUUCCUUCGUCGCCGGCGAUAACCUGCAAAGCAAACCCCCAACACAACAAGCAGUUGAUUUUAUUUUUUUGUCUUAGAUCUGCUUUUAAUUUUUUUGUUUUCUCCGAUCUGUUCCUUCUCCUUCUCUUCUUCUCGGCUUCGGAUCUGCUCCUUCUACAGAUCGUUCUGUUAUGGGUUUCUUCUUCUUCUCCGGUGGCAGAUCGGUCGUGGAGGAGCAGCUGUCCGUGGUCGCUGGGUUUCGUCUUCUUCUCCUGUGCUUCGGGUGGCAGAUCGGGCGGUGGCUCCGUGGCUGCUGAAGCUGUGGUUCUGUGGCCGGUUGAAGGCAGUGGAACGGGCGAAAGUGUUACCCCGGUGCUGCUGUUCUUCCGCCGCUGAAGAAGGAAACCGAAGGGGAAACCGCGUGGCUGAGGAGGGUGAGGGGGAGUGAGCGGCUGUGCAAGGGCUGAGAUGGAGGGAAAUUGGGGAAGAAAAGUCUUGACCGGCGGCUGUUUGGCAGGUUUAAAGGAGAAGAGAAAAAAAUCAAAAGGUGGGGGCUGUUUGGCCGGCGGCUGGUCUGUACGGAGGAAAAUGAGCAGCCGAGAGAGGGUGUGCAGUGGUGGCUGAGCAAAGGGCUCAGGCUGGCCAGGGAGAAGAAGAGAAAAAAAAGUGUGCGGCUGUUUGGGGGGGGGAGGUGCUGUUUGGCUGGUUUAAAAAAAUGUCAGGGGCCGGCGGCUGCCUUGAGAAAAAAUGGGAGAAGAUAGGUUUAGGGUUGAGUUUUUUUUGUAUUUUUUUUUUGGUGUUUCCAAAAUUAGCCCCCCUCCCCAUUUGCAAGUGUUGGAAACCAAUAUUUAUAGACAAAAUUUUACUAGGUUUUUCAACUUGGUCCCUCAACUUCUUUCUUUUUGUAAAUUUUGAUUUUUAUUAUUUUUUUGUAUUUUUUGAAAACGAGCAAUAUCAACGUCGACUCAAAAUACAGAAAAUCAAUGAUUUUAAAAAUGACGCGUGAAAAGUCGAACGCGUUCGAAAAUCUUUUGAAAAAUUAAAUUCUUUAAAUAAAAAUUAAAAUCUUUUUAGACGACGCUGAAAAUGCUAAAAUGACGAGAAUAUAUUAAAAAACAUAUUUUUUGGAUUUUCAUUGCUUUUCUCAAUUUUUGGAUUUUUUUUUGAAAAUAUAUCAAAACAUGGGUCAAAAAUUGGGUAGCAACAGAUGCCCCCUCUUUACAAUGCUUACGAAGUAAAACUCUUCAAAAUUUUGCAUAGUAAGCUUUGUAAAGAAAACAAAAAGAAAAUGAUUUCAUUAUCUUGGGCGACCUGCCCACACACUCACACUGAUCUGUUUUCACGGGCGACCUGCCCACGCAUACUCACUCUAGUCUAUUUUCACGGGCGACCUGCCCACACAUACUCACUCAAGUCUAUUUUCACGGGCGACCGACCCACACUCUCCCAAUAGUCUAUUUUCACGGGCGACCUGCCCACACAUUGGGUUUACCUGAGAUCCCAUCUGGCGACCUCAUUCAACUGGAACGAAAAUAUGUGUAACUCGGUUAACCUGAAAUCCCAUCUGGCGAUUCCCUUUAACCAAAGUUACAUGAGAUCCCAUCUGGCGACCUCAUUCAACUGGAACGAAAUAUGUGUAACUCGGUUAACCUGAAAUCCCAUCUGGCGAUUCCCUUUAACCAAAGCUACAUGAGAUCCCAUCUGGCGACCUCAUUCUGGUCUCAUUGUACGGGUGACUAACCCUCGAAAAAUGCUGGUCUCAUUGUACGGGUGACGAACCCUAGUGCUGCUGGUCUCAUUGUACGGGUGACGAACCCUAGUGCUGGUCUCAUUGUACGGGUGACGAACCCUAGAAAAAUGCUGGUCUCAUUGUACGGGUGACGAACCCUAGAAAUAUGAUGGUCUCAUUGUAGGGUGACGAACCCAGAAAAUGAUGGUCUCAUUGUAUGGGUGACGAACCCAGAAAAUGAUGGUCUCAUUGUGGGUGACGAACCCCAGAAAUAUGAUGGUCUCAUUGUACGGGUGACGAACCCCAGAAAAAUGAUGGUCUCAUUGUAUGGGUGACGAACCCCAGAAAAUGAUGGUCUCAUUGUAUGGGUGACGAACCCAGAUGGAAAAAUGUGAAGUGGUCUCAUUGUAAUGGGUGACCUACCCAGUGGAAAAAAUAUGAAGUGCGGUCUCAUUGUAAUGGGUGACCUACCCAGAUGGAAAAAAUAUGAGAAGUGGUCUCAUUGUAAUGGGUGACCUACCCAGAUGGAAAAAAUAUGACGAAGUGGUCUCGUUGUGAUGGGCGACCUACCCAAAUAGAAAGAAUGUGAAGUGUGGUCUCAUUGUAAUGGGUGACCUACCCAGAUGGAAAAAAUGUAAAAGUGGUCUCAUUGUAAUGGGUGACCUACCCAGAUGGAAAAAAUAUGAUGAACGGUCUUAUUAUGAUGGGCGACCUACCCAGAUGGAAAAAAUGUGAUAUGACAAGUGUGAAAAAUAGGACUUACCUGGCGAAGUCGAGGGAUGACAGAAGAAAGGCUGGAAACUUGGUGCUUCCUGAUAAUUCCCGAUCAUGGGGUUUGAAAACUCGGUGUUUCCUGACUGCAAGGUUGAAAACUCGAGGCUUCCCGGUUGCAAGGUUGAUCUAUUCAUUUCUUUGGGAUUUUCCUAAUGGUAGGGUUCCCCAUCUUCUUUUAUUCCAUGAUCAAAACCGAUUCUUUAUAUUCAUCACCACAAUGCUUCUUUCUCUUUCCACCAUCUUGCUGGACCUCAUUAAGGAUUUUCCUGUAACAAUUCAAAAAUAUGUGCAAAUGUUUUUUUUUUUUUUUUUUUAGGUUAGAUGAUAUGCAUGCAUCCUUACCUGAUUUGAAAAUAGGUCCCCCCUCUUUGAUGCUCCAUCGUCAUAGGGUGCCCUUGUUUGUAUCCCAAAGCUUUCUUUGUUCUUCCGAUGCAUUGGCUCAUUCAUGUGCUAGCCAUCCACUCAGCUGUAAAUGCAGUGCCCAUCCCGGGCUGUCUUCGACAAUUACUGCUUGCAUCGUUCAUCAAGCUUGACCCUGCCCCCAAGUGUGGUACUGCUUGAUUCAUCAUGAGGAUUUUCUCUCCUGGCUUCUUCUGAGAAUUAUCCUCUGAUUGAUUGUGUGCAUCAUGCCAACACCCAUCAGUUUGUUAAUCAGUCAUGAACUUGCCUUCGGUUGAAACACCAUUCAAGUAUGUAUGGUCACCAGCCUUCAUGGAACUGCCAAGUCAUCCAGACAUGAUCUCAUGCUUUGCAGUAAACACUCAUCAUUGUAAGCGCGAUGUAUUUCUCUAUGGAUUCCUCUUAGCUUGUCAAAUCAGAUCGUGAAAAUACUGCUUUGGCAUCAUCAAUGAUGUUCAUGUUAUCACCCAUAUUCAUGCGGUGAAGUGCGCAUUUGAGCUUCAGAAUAGAUGGUCCCAUCAAUCUUGGUGGUAUGCAUAUGUUCGAUGUUCAUCAAAUGCACUCACCCGAUAACAUCUGUCCGGAGUCAUAGCCAUGUUUUACAAAGUAACCUAAGAUGAAGAUAUGAAAAUAUCUUUCUAGUGCAGCGUUGCUCAUCAAUUGCUGCUGAAGUGCACUAGAUCAUGGAUUGUCUUUGAACAACAUUGCCCCAGUAUGAUCUGAAGGUUCAUUCAUCGGUUUAUACUCAAGAAGGUUUUUCUUUGUCAUUGUCAGAUGCUAAACAUAACUUUGACGACUCAUCAUAUGAUUCUUUCUUUGCCCCCAGCUGAUCUGGAUACUGUUUGCUUUCCUUCUUAAGGUCCACUGUAUUGCCCCCAGGUGGUCAACGUUUCAAGGAGUGUCGAGAAAUGUUGAUGUCAUUUUUGUCAAGAUUUUGCAAACUCAAUUGAUGUUCUUGUUUGAAAAUCUUUCUUGUUCUGGAAUCAAAUCUCACAUUUCAACGAUCAUGUCUAUUCAAGUAUAAUUGUUGAAAUGAAAUCAGAGAGAUUCAGUUUUUGAAAAGUUAUUUUUGAAAUUCAAGCUUCUUUGGUCAAAGACCCAACACACUAUUCAAUGCAGUCCUUUGAUUGUCUUGUAUUUUGAAAACAGAAAUGACCCGUUGUAAGAUUUAAAAUGACUUUUUCAUGGUUCUUUGUGUCCACUUUAAACUCUGAUUUUGGGUAUAUCUUUUGAUGGUGUGGAUGAGGUGAUAUUUUGUGAAUUUCAAAACAAGAUGCUCAGCUUGAUAAAGAAAGGUUGUUUCUUUUUUAGUAUUUAUUUUAUCAGCAUGCAUAAUAACCAGUAGCUUAAUUCAUGAAGCCACGACUCUUAUGGAAAAACUCUUCAAGUUUUGAGAGCGCCAUUUAUGGUUCAAGAUUGCUUGCUUGAUUAAAAAGGGCUUUUAAAAGCACGUAAUGCAGGCUAUGGUUCAUGGCUAUGAAAGAAAGGAAUUUCAAAGGCUCAAAAGGUGUUUGAGGGUUUCAAAGACCUAGGAUCAACAUCAACUAUUCAUCAACUCUUUCUAUUGUUGUCUUUGUAGAGAAGUGACAUAUAACCUUGUUAACCUCAAAUAUCAGACUUCUUAACAUAAGUCAUAAUGCAAAUCCACUUUUUGAUGAAUAACCAACCUUAAUCAUCUGAUAACAUCGUAGGCUUUAUAAUGGAUACCAAAAGUCAACGCUUAUAGCUUAGUCUUUUUCUGGUAUUGACUUUUGUUGUGCCUUUCCUUGAUUGAAAUUUCUUUUGCUCUUCAUAGACUUGAUAGGCGUUCUCCUUCCUUUAUCUUUGACUUGUAUUUAAAUGAGGGCAAUUUCAACUUCUUCUUCUUUUUUUUUUUUUUUUUUUCAUAGCCUUCCUCAAAAUUUUCUUAUAUGCCCCCAGUCUAUGUGUUUUCUUUUAGCUCUCUCUCAAUCAUUGGACCUUUGUUCUAAGCCUUCCCCUUUAUCCAUUAAUUAUAUCAAUGUCUCCAAAAUAUCUCUCAUUUGCCCCCAGUGUGGGGUGUGAUCCUAGUCAGGGUUUCUUUUUGAAAGAAAAUAUUUCACCAGGCUCAAAAUGGGACUACAAGGGAUAUAAUCUUUAGAAAGUGAAGGGAUAUCAAAGAUGGCCUUUUCUCAUUUCAAGCAAGGUCGGUUAGAACCGAUAAAUUUUGACCUCAUCCAGUGUAAUGAUUUGGACUUGUAAGAAUCAUGAUUCACGAGUCCAUAACUACCGAAUCCACUACAUGUCAUUAUGCAUACUGUUAAAACUUAGCUAUAUGAUGUGUGGUUCAGUUUCAGGAGGUAUGAGUUCAAAAUUGUUUGGUCACCUCAUGUCAUUUUCAAGCAUAGAGUCAUUUCUGUAAUCAAAACACUUUUAAUCUUCCGGAUUGAUUAACCUUCAUCGCAUGUUGGAGUUUGAUCAAAAUAUUUUGUCAGAAUAAAAUGCUAAACAUCUGUUGAUUUCAAAACAACAAAGAGACAAAAGCAAGGCAUGUUUCGUUGAAGGAUGAGAUGUGAUAUCAAAACAAAAAUGCAAAAUCCAUAACAAAAAUGCUUGACAAUUUAACUCCUUCUUGGGUCAGCUUCUCUGGCAAUAUCUAUGUUUUGCCGAGCAAUUCCGAUCACUUGUCAUUCUGAAAAUGAUUGAUGACAUCAUCUUUCGCAAAUUGAGCUCGACUCUUGAAACUCUUGCAUCUGUUUACUAAAAUGGUCGAGGACCCCACCAUGACAUCACAUCUCUUAUCUGGAUUAUACCACCUAGAAAUUGGUGGUUGCAUGGGAUUUGUCGGAGUCAAGCAAAAAUUCUGGAAUCUGGCAGGUGUUGGCCGACAAACAUAAGUGGCAGAGGAAUGUCAAUCUUGGCAAAGACAUUUGAGCAAUUGAUGCUUGAGCGAGACUUGACUAGGCAAAGUAACUGAGGUUUCUCAAUCGAGAGUCAUCUUCUGAUGCACCUCUCAUCAUUGUUCUGGAAUCCAUGGCAGAUCCUUCAAUCUUUCCUCUCUUCAUAGCUUGUUCAAUUCUUCGGCAAAUCCUCACAACAUCAUUUCAAUGUUGUUGUGGUUGGUUGAGGAUUGUUAGAAAACUUUCAAUAGCUUGGUAAUCUUGGCAGCGCCUAGAAACUCGUACUAUCGCCGCUACCGACGUGUGGAAUCACAUUGUCUCUAUUGAAGAGCACCUGAUGAAUCUAAAACUCCUUUGUCCCCUCUUCAUUUCUCACUGACAGUGCAGCAAACAAACACCUAUAGAGGAAGUCCUGCUCUGUUGAAGUUUCAGUCUUCUUCAUGUUUUUCAGUCUAGGCAUGUCUCUUCUCUCUACUUUUGCAUUUUAAUACUGACACUGUUGGAGGAAAAUCAUAGAUGAUCUGAAACUACUGUAUUCCUUCUUGGAUUUCCCAUUUGCGAUCUACAAACAGAUUCCUGUGAAAGAGCUUGCUACGUUGAAGUUUGAAGUCUGCUCGUAUUUUUCAGACCAGGUCUGGAUCUUCAAUGUACUAAAGUCUUCGUGCUGAAACUGAUGAGAGAAAUAUUUGUAGCAUAUGCAACUUAUAAAUCCCUCUUGCAUUCCCAAUUUGCAGAGCCAUAAAUGGAUUUUUAUGGAGAGCUCUGCCACAUUGAAGUUCAGUGUUCAAUCAUGGUUUUUCAGACCAUCUUGUGCUGCUGAACUGGAAUUGAGCUCAUAAUCGGGAUGGCUUCAAGCAGAUAAUGCGCCAUGUACAGAGGCUAGUAGUCGUUUGGUUCCAUUAGAUGAUGUGGAGGCGAUGAACAUUUAACAGUGCAACUGGAAAGAACCAGAGUUGUCAUUAGUUGAUGACUAAAGGCAUUGUUGUUGUUGUUCAUGACGAAAAAGGAGAGAUACAGCUUCAAUUAGGAUGUGAACAAGCAGUGUUCCCACAGAAACUGUGCAGACAUUCUCUUUCCAUUUGAUGCUCAACACUUGUUCGAGCAGAUCUGAGUCCGCUACUUCACUUUGAUGCUCUCAACCUUAAUCUGAUAAUGAACCUAUAUCUGACUCCUUUGUUCACUUCCAUUAUCUUUCUUCAAUCUCGUGCAGCACAGCUUGUGUGGGGGACCUACCUUUCAACCCGGUACAUGCAUGAUAAAUGUAUGAACAUGUAAUCUAUAUGAUGAACUCACCCUUCGAGAGGUGACAAUAUGGUCGUAACUCUUGUAUGAUGGACAAGAAUCGUGAUUUUUGCCCAAACUCUACAAUGAAAAUUUUCGGAGCAACGACCAAUGUGUCACCCACAAGUCUUGAGUUCAAGAUGCUUCAAGAAGGGUUUGCCCUUAUGCAAAAAACGAUAGCACAUACAACCUAAGGACAGGUUCUAUUCAUUAUGUGAACAUGGGUAGGUUUUCUAUCUGGUCUCAAAAGGGUCUCAUAUCUGCCCAGUGACGUUCUUCGUAAAGACAGUAUGGGGGCGUUGCAAGGAAUGGUUAAGGCACGUAUACCCACCAUUACCAAGCAGGCACUCAGAUAUGAGUUGGGUGUUUCACGCAUCUGAACCCUGACCAAUAGUCUUAGGGCAGAUCGCUAGUUCCCCACCUAACCUAGAAGCUUGUGUGUGCUUUUUAAAAAUAAAUACAGGUGAUGCAUGAGACAAUUCUAUAAAAUGCAUGGAAAUAAAUAUUAACAAAAAGAUAAAAAUGCAAAAACUUAAACACAUCAAAUACACAAAGCUUAGUCCAAUACUCGAAAAAAUACCUUCCCCAGCGGAGUCGCCAUUCUGUCGCACCCAAAAAAAUCAGCGCGCGGCAUCAGCUGGCGAUUUAAAUCUCGUUUGUUGCGUUUGAUUGAAUUUGGUUCGUUGGAGUCGCCACCUAGUAAUUGAUUUCGGGCUACUAGGAAACCGGAUGUACUGGUCUUGUCAGAGAUUCGCGGGUAAGGGACUGGUUGUGGUUAGGGAAGGUAUUAGCACCCCUAACGCACCUACCUGAGGUAAGCUGCUUCGUGGCUUUGACGUGUUAAAGAAGUUUUAAUAAUUGUCUUUUCUUCGGAAAUUAGAAAUAUCACUUACGUAUAAGUUAAUAAUUCUUAACCGUGAUCCGAUCAAAAUAUUAAAUUCUUCUUUAAUGUAUUUGCAAUUCAUCCUUAAAAAUAUAUACAAAUGAAUAAAACAAAAUACAAACACACACAUACACGUGUUAAAGAAGUUUUAAUAAUUGUUUUUUCAUCGGAAAUUAGAAAUAUCACUUACGUAUAAGUUAAUAAUUCUUAACCGUGAUCCAAUCAAAAUAUUAAAUUCUUCUUUAAUAUAUUUGCAAUUUAUCAUUAAAAAUAUAUACAAAUAAAUAAAACAAAAUACAAACACACACACACUUUCACUAUUUUUUAUUCUUUUCUUUUACAUCCACAAAAUACAAAUACAAAUACAAAUACAAAUACAAAUUCAAAAUAAAUAAAUAAAAAUACACCAACACACACACAUCCCUUUGUUAUUAUUAUUUUCUUUUUCUUUUCUUCUUUUUUUUCUUUUACAUCCAAAUACAAAUACAACUUUCAAAUUCAAAAUAAACAAAUAAAAAAUUACAUUAAUUAAUUUAAAAAUUACAAAAACAGUCCCUAAAAUUCUAAAAAAUUUCAGGGAAGGACUUCUGCAGCCGGAACAGUGUUCGUCAUGGUUUCUGGGCUCGGGAACAGUGGGGGCGCGUGGAUCUCACACGCCACCACCACUGGCGGCGCGUGGGUCCACGCGCCGCCACAGAAAAUAAAACAGCAACAGGGGGUCUGGAUCGCCUUCUUCCCCUCUUCCUUCGUCGCCGGCGAUAACCUGCAAAGCAAACCCCCAACACAACAAGCAGUUGAUUUUAUUUUUUUGUCUUAGAUCUGCUUUUAAUUUUUUUGUUUUCUCCGAUCUGUUCCUUCUCCUUCUCUUCUUCUCGGCUUCGGAUCUGCUCCUUCUACAGAUCGGUUCUGUUAUGGGUUUCUUCUUCUUCUCCGGUGGCAGAUCGGUCGUGGAGGAGCAGCUGUCCGUGGUCGCUGGGUUUCGUCUUCUUCUCCUCUGCUUCGGGUGGCAGAUCGGGCGGUGGCUCCGUGGCUGCUGAAGCUGUGGUUCUGUGGCCGGUUGAAGGCAGUGGAACGGGCGAAAGUGUUACCCCGGCGCUGCUGUUCUUCCGCCGCUGAAGAAGGAAACCGAAGGGGAAACCGCCGUGGCUGAGGAGGGUGAGGGGGAGUGAGCGGCUGUGCAAGGGCUGAGAUGGAGGGAAAUUGGGGAAGAAAAGUCUUGACCGGCGGCUGUUUGGCAGGUUUAAAGGAGAAGAGAAAAAAAUCAAAAGGUGGGGGCUGUUUGGCCGGCGGCUGGUCUGUAAGGAGGAAAAUGAGCAGCCGAGAGAGGGUGUGCAGUGGUGGCUGAGCAAAGGGCUCAAGCUGGCCAGGGAGAAGAAGAGAAAAAAAAGUGUGCGGCUGUUUGGGGGGGGAGGUGCUGUUUGGCUGGUUUAAAAAAAUGUCAGGGGCCGGCGGCUGCCUUGAGAAAAAAUGGGAGAAGAUAGGUUUAGGGUUGAGUUUUUUUUGUAUUUUUUUUUUUGGUGUUUCCAAAAUUAGCCCCCCUCCCCUAUUGCAAGUGUUGGAACCAGUAUUUAUAGACAAAAUUUUACUAGGUUUUUCAACUUGGUCCCUCAACUUCUUUCUUUUUGUAAAUUUUGAUUUUUAUUAUUUUUUUGUAUUUUUUGAAAACGAGCAAUAUCAACGUCGACUCAAAAUACGGAAAAUCAAUGAUUUUAAAAAUGACGCGUGAAAAGUCGAACGCGUUCGAAAAUCUUUUGAAAAAUUAAAUUCUUUAAAUAAAAAUUAAAAUCUUUUUAGACGACGCUGAAAAUGCUAAAAUGAUGAGAUUAUAUUAAAAAACAUAUUUUUUGGAUUUUCAUUGCUUUUCUCAAUUUUUGGAUUUUUUUUUUGAAAAUAUAUCAAAACAUGGGUCAAAAAUUGGGUAGCAACAAUACUGAACAUCUAUGUGUUUUGUUCGUGAAUGAAACGCUGGAUUUCUUGCAAUAUGCAAGGCACUUUGACUAUCACAAUACAAAAGAAUCUUCUCUUGUUUGUGCCCGAGCUCCUCCAUAAGUUUCUUCAUCUAUAUUGCUUCUUUACAAGCUUGUGUAGCUGCCAUAUACUCAGCUUCUGUUGUGGAUAAAGCUACAAUAGUCUGAAGUUUAGAGACCCAGCUCACAGCUCCUCCUGCAAUUAUGAACACAUAGCCUGUAGUGGAUUUUCUUUUCUGAAAGUCACCAGCAAAAUCUGAAUCAACAUAACCUCUGACAGUAAAUUCUGAUCCUCCAUAACAUAUUGCAGCAUAUGAGGUACCCUUGAUGUAUCUCAAGAUCCUCUUAAUAGUAUUCCAAUCCUCUUUACCAGGAUUUGCCAUAUAUCGACUAGCUGCUCCCAUUGCUUGUGUAAUGUCUGGUUUUGUACAUAUCAUGGCAAACAUUAAACUUCCCACUGCUGAUGCAUACGGUACUCGAGACAUCUCCAUCCUCUCUGCUUCAUUGCUAGGAGACAUACUUGAGGAUAAUUUGAAGUUAACAGGAAGUGGGGUGGAAAUUGGCUUACAAUCUUGCAUGUUGAAGCGUCGCAAGAUCUUCUUCAAAUAAUUCUUCUGAGAAAGCCAAAUCUUCCUCUUACUUCUGUCUCGGUGAAUUUGCAUCCCUAGAAUCUUGUUUGCUGGUCCCAAGUCCUUCAUAUCAAACUCCCUAGCCAACUGUGCCUUCAAUUCUUGGACUCGAUCUUUGUUGGGGCCUAUUACCAACAUGUCAUCCACGUACAACAACAGAAUGAUGAAAACAUCAUUUUCUUCAAACCUCUUGUAAUACGUACAAUGGUCUGAACUGAGUCUGUUGUACCCAAGGCUAAUUAUGAAGGAAUCAAAUCUCUUGUACCAACACCUCGGCGCCUGUUUGAGACCGUAUAGAGAUUUGUUCAACCUGCAAACCAAGUUCUCCUUGCCUGUUUCAGCAAAACCCUCUGGUUGGAGCAUAUAAAUUUCUUCUUCAAGUUCUCCAUGAAGAAAUGCAGUUUUCACAUCUAACUGCUCUAAGUGAAGAUCAAAUAUAGCACACAUUGCCAAGACUACUCUGAUUGUAGUAAGUCGUACCACCGGAGAAAAUAUCUCAUUAAGUCUAUUCCUUCUUUCUGAGCAUAUCCUUUCACCACCAAUCUUGCACGAUACCGCUCCACUUGAUCAUUGCCAUCACGCUUUAUCUUGUAAACCCAUUUGUUGCCAAUGGCCUUUCUUCCUUGUGGUAGCGGAACAAGAUCCCAAGUGUUAUUCUUGUGCAGAGCUUCAAUCUCCUCUUGCAUUGCUGUCAUCCACAUAGAUACAUCUGUGCUUUUGAUAGCCUCAUGGAAAGUUGAUGGCUCUCCAUCCUCUGUUAGAAGACAGUAUGCAAUGUUGCUCUCAGUAACAUAUUCUGAGUGCCAAGCCGGUGGUCUUCUUUCACGAGUUGACCGUCGAACUUCAGGAGUUUCAGACUCUAUUUGUUCUUGUUCUUCAUGCUCUGGUGCAGCUUCAGAAGAAGUAUGAUUCUGAGUAUUUUCCAUCUGGACUUCUGUAGUCUCCUUUAAAAUGCUAUUAUUUUCUUCCAUUUGCAUUUUAUCUUCUGCAAAUAUGACAUCUCUGCUGAUGACUACCUUGUGGGCAGUGGGAUCCCACAAGCGAUACCCCUUCACUCCAUCAGCAUAUCCCAAGAAUACACAUUUUCUGGAUUUUGAAUCCAGCUUGCUGACUUCUUGAGUAUUGUACAUCACGUACACAGGACUUCCAAAUAUAUGCAAUCGAGAAUAAUCAGCUGGCUUUCCAGUCCACAUCUCCAUCGGUGUCUUCAACUCAAUUGCAGUUGACGGAGAUCGAUUUAUCACAUAACAGGCGGUAUUGACUGCUUCUGCCCAGAAUGACUUUUCUAGACCUGCAGCCUUCAACAUUGCUCUUGUUCUUUCCAAUAGAGUUCUGUUCAUCCGCUCUGCCACUCCAUUUUGUUGUGGAGUGUAUGCCGUUGUGAACUGCCUUUUGAUACCUUCAUGUUGACAGAAGUUAUCAAAUUCAUCACUGGUAUAUUCUCCUCCAUUGUCAGUCCUCAAACACUUGAUCUUCUUUUCAGAUUCAAGUUCUACCCGCGCUUUAAAGGUUUUAAAACUGCGAACACAUCUGCCUUCCUUCUAAUCGGAUACACCCAACAUCUCCUGGAGAAGUCAUCUAUGAAUGAUACAAAGUAUCUUGCUCCUCCCAAGGAUACAACCGGUGCUUGCCAAACAUCAGAGUGAAUCAGGUCUAAGAUGCAUUUGCUCUUAGUUGUUGACGUGCCAAACUUCAACCUGUGUUGUUUACUUGUAACACAGUGCUCACAAAAAGGUAAAGUAACCUUUGUAAGCCCAGGAGUAACUUCUGAUCAGAGAGAACCUUUAAACCUUUCUCUGACAUGUGGCCUAGUUUUUGAUGCCACAUCAUCGUCUUCUCUUCUGCAGGACUGGCUGAUGCGAUUGAUGCUUCUGCCCAUGAUGUGUUUCUCCCAUUAAUACAAACAUGUUUGCAACUGUCUUUCUUGCCUUUAAAACCACCACGCGCCUUUGACAAUUUUCAUGAUUCCAUUGUCUGUUCGGAUCUUACAGCCAAGACUAUCAAAUUGUCCUACGGACAAAAGAUUCUUCUUUAAGUCUUUCACAUGUCGCACUCCUGAAAUAGUACGAAUUAAGCCAUCAUACAUCUUCAAUUUGAUGGUGCCAAUGCCAGAAAUCUCUAAGCAUGAUUAUCACCCAUGAACACUGGCCUCCAGAGAUAGGUUCAUAUGUAUGGAACCAAUCUCGUUAGGGUCAUAUGCCAUGUUGCUCCUGAAUCCAUUAGCCAGACCUCAGUGAGCUCUUCUCUAUCUGUAGAGAUUGUUGCUGCUUCACUAUAUAAAAUCUCCAUCUUCUGAGGUGCUUGCAACACAUCCUUGAGGUCUUGAUGACUCUGCAGUAUUCUCUAUACCCUUUUUAAACCAACAAUCCUUUUUGAAGUGCCCUUUUCUGCCACAGUUGUAGCAUUUCACCAUCUUCUUACUUCUUGAUUUGGACCUCCCCUGCCUUUGACUCCCACUGAGCCACGUUCCGUUGAUCUUCCUCUUGACACCAACAACGCCUCUGCUUGGUUUGAACUGUUUCUGUCUCCUUUGUUUUUGCGCCUAUUUUCUUCUUCCAAGAUAGCGGCUGCAACAUCAUCGAAGACUAAAUAGUCUGAGAGGAUAUUAUUGGUCAAGUUGAUAAUGAGCUGAUCAUAUGAAUCAGGAAGACUUUGAAGUAGAAGCUCUGCACAUUCAUUUUCCUCUAUUUGUUGACCCAACGUAGUGAGUUGUGAAAAUAGAGUUCUUAUUGUGUUGAUGUGGUCAGUCACCGACGUGGUUUCUGCCAUUCGAAGGGUAUAAAGUCUCCGCUUUAAGAAAAUCUUAUUGUGCAAAGACUUGGACUCAUAUAGCUUUGUUAGAGUCUCCCAUAUCUCCUUAGUUGUUUUCUUCUUCGCCACACUUGAUAAUACUUCAUCGGCUAAUGCUAAAUAUAUUUUUUUUUGUAUAACCAAGGGUAUCCUGAGCGCACAAGGGAAACUCCAAUAGAGAAACUGAUUUUUGGUAAAAGAGAUGAAUUGAGUUUAUGAGAUCGCACAAGACUUCAAAGAUGUGUUUGUGAGUCUUCAUAAGAAAACUCUCUCAGAAAAAAUGAAUAAUGCUAAUCGUAAACACGAUUGAAUGACAAACUCGUUAUUUUCAUUGAAACUUUAGAAAAUAAGUUCAACAAGAAAGAACUUAUGGCAACAUCUUGGGCUGUGAAUACUGGCAUGAUAACAUAUAAAGGGGCUAAACAUUUUAACGAUCAUUGAUUAGAAUUUCUAAAAUAUUUCAAUCAUUCAUUCUCCUCGACAAGGACAUCUUUUCAACAGUCAAUUGAAAUCAAAUGUAGAUCAUUCUUGACCUAAUAUCACCAUAGCUUUAUCUUUAAGAUAGUUGAUUUCUAGGAGUCGAUGUGAAGUAAUUAGCUAUAGAAAUGAUAACUGUCUUGGCAACCAUCUUCAGUGAAACCGUUCUUCUCAGUCGGGUUAGCAAUCUUACCUAUCCCAAUGGCUUGUUCAAUCCUUUUAGCUAUAACAACCAGGUCGAUAAAAUGUUAUGCAUAGCUUCUAACCAAGUAUUCAAAGUAUGGAGCUUUAAAAGUGUUGGAAAAUAAACUGAUCAUUUCUUUUUCCAACAUGGGAGGGUUAACUUGUGCAGCUACCUCACUCCAUCUUCGGGCGUAUUCUCUUAUGGACUCUUUGUUAUCCUUCUCUAUAGCUUGCAAGCUUAACCGAUCAGGGCCCACAUCUAUAUUGAACUUAUAUUGCCCCAUGAAGGCAUCAACUAAAUCCUUCCAUUUUUUAACCUUGGUAUUGUCCAACCGCAUAUACCAAGUGAGGGCACCAUUACUCAGACUGUCUUGAAAGAAAUGAAUCAACAGUUUCUCAUCAUCAACCACCUCAGCCAUUUUGUUGCAGUAUGCUUUGAGAUGAGUUAUAGGGCAUUGAGUUCCCGUAUAUUUGAUAAAUUCUGGCACUCUAAACUUUCUGGGAAUGACUACAUUAGGCACCAAACACAUCUCAGCAGCCUUUAUAGUAUCAUAUAAGUGAAUUCCCUCAAAUGCCCUCAUCCUUUGUUCUAAGGCAAUGAAUUUGUUCAGAUCAUCUUCUUUUACCAUCUUGCCCUUUUGAGAUUCAUUCUCUGUAGAAUCAAUGGUAAACGACAUUCUCAUGGGGUAUGCUGGCUGGAAAUUCAUAGCUUGUUGAAAUUCGGAUGACACCCUAUUUGCCCCCAGAUUCUGUGGAUCGAAAUGAGAUACAUGCAUAUCUUCAGGCUGAGCUAUAAGUGUUGCUUUUCCGGAUUUAUCUCUUAAGGCCUGCUCGAGUAGACUAGUAAGCCUUGCGACUUCUUCUUUAAGAUUGUCCACCUCUUUUUGAUGUUGGGCUUCCAACUGGGCUCUUUCUUCAUCUUCCAUUUGUCUUUUUCUCGAAUGGGUUUCAAUGGGGAACCUAUAUUUCAACCUGCUAUAUGUAAAUCAUACAAUUAUGCAAAAAUGUUGAUUCAAUUAAAAAUGUGUAUGAAAUGCAGACACGUCCUCCACGGGAUGACAACCUAAUAGGAAGAUCCUAAUUGUUGAGUGCAUCAAAGGGUUGGUCAUUAUCUAGUUUCAAAGGGUCUCUCGCAUGCUCAGUGAUCGUCCAUGGAAGGUCGAUAUGAGGCUUACAAGUAGUGUGAAAAUAGAGGCCCUGAGUAAUAUCAGUUUGGCAUAUCAACCACUUCCAAGUAAACAAUCAAACGAGAGUUGGAUGGUUUCACAAGUCUUACCUAGGCUAAAGCCGUUGGGGUACCGUUACUUUCCCACUUAUCCUAGAUUUUCAGGUGUGUGCUCUCAACGUGAUGCAUGCUAAAGCAAUAAAUUCAAGAAAAAUAAACAAAUAAACAUAACAUAACAAACAUUAUAUCAAUUGAUAAACAAAAGGCAAAGCUCCGUUGGGGUACCGUUACUUUCCCACUUAUCCUAGAUUUUCAAAUGUGUGCUCUCAACGUGAUGCAUGACAAUAUAAAUAUGGAUGCAUGCUAAAGCAAUAAAUUCAAGAAAAAUAAACAAAUAAACAUAACAUAACAAACAUUAUAGCAAUUGAUAAACAAAAGGCAAAGCUUAGUCCAUUGAUCCCCAGCGGAGUCGCCAUUCUGUCGCACCUGACAUCGUGGCGGCCCUAAAAUUUUUUAAUAAAUCUUUGGAAAGAACGGAUUUCUGGCAUCCUGUUCUUUGAUGGGAAUAUUCUUUGUUUAAGGAGUCGCCACCUAGUAUUACGGUCACCAGGAACCCUAACUGGUCAACAGAGAUUCUAUGGUUCGGGACUGGUUACGUAAAAGGGAAGAUAUUAUCACCCCUUAAACGUCCUGCCUGAGGCAGGCUGCAUUGCUAGUUUCGUCUUAAAUUGCUAAAUGUUUAUUAGUUUAUGUUAUGAAAAUUUGCUUAUAAUAUUCCUGACUCUGGUGGCAGUGAAUAUUUAACUACAAAUAUUUCCAACUCUGGCGUUGGUAAAUAUUACGCAGCUAUAAAAAACAAAAACAAAUUUAAAUCAAUAUUUUUUUUAUUACUGACUCUAGCGUCAGUGAAUAAACAAAUAAAAUAAAUUUAUUUUUACGCAUGCACAUUUUUUUUUGUUAAAUGAAAAUAAAAUACAAUGAAUAAUAUAAAUUUAAAUCGGUAUUUUUAUUCUUGACUCUAGCAUCAGUGAAUAAACCAAUAAAUUUAUAUUAUUUUUUCUUGCUAAAUAAAAAAUAAAAUACAAUGAAUAAUAUAAAUUUAAACCGGUAUUUUUAUUCCUGACUCUAGCGUCAGUGAAUAAACCAAUAAAUUUAUAUUAUUAUUUUUUUCAUGCAUACAUAUUUUUCUUAUUUUUAUUUUUCUGCCUUUUAUUUUAUUGUUUUAUUUUUUCCUAUUUUUUUAUUUUUUGGGCUGGGCUAGUGAUGUGGACCGAAGAGACAAUCAAGCACGUUAAACUUUCUUACGUAACAGUUGGAGUUUCUUUUCAUUUCAGUAAUUAGCUUUUACUUUCUCUAAUAAUUCAGGACGUUUCUUUCCGUUAUUUUAGCUUUUAUUCCUCAUUAAUUCUGGACUGUUUCCCGACUUAAUGAGGCUGUUUUAGAACUCUAGGAAUUCUGUUUCCUCUAUUUAUUUGGUUGUAAGCUCUUGGUGAAGGGCAGAGAAUAAUAAACAAAAAAAACCCAAAACUCCUUUGAGUAGUUAACUCAAAUAUCUUUCUUUCUUUGUUUUUCUGCGGAAUUACAGAUUGAAAAAACCUUGUGUGUUAGAACGCGUGUAAGUUCCGUUAUUGUCUGCAUCAGGUUGAUAUCAGAGCUCGGCUAGUUAUCGUCAUUAUGCCACCAAGAAGACGUGCGAACCUACCGAACCUUCAUGAACAACCGUUGGAUGAAGUCUACGAACGUGAUGAGAUUGCACGACUACAACAACAAGUCGAGACGUUAACGCAGCAGCUAGCAGCGUCAAUGGCUCAACAUCAGAAUCCAAAUCCACGAGACGUGGAAGAGGAGCCUGAAGAGGAUGAAAAUCCAUUCGCCCAUCAGCUAGUACAAAGGAGGCCAGCGCAUGAUGAAUCAAGGCGCUGGGAGACAGGCCUCAAGGUUGACAUACCAGAGUUCCAUGGUGGCUUGCAAGCGGAUGAGUACCUCGACUGGAUCAAUACAGUAGAUGAAGUUUUAGAAUUUAAACAAGUUCCAGAAGACAGGCGAGUAGCACUGGUUGCAACAAGGCUUAGAGGUCGGGCUGGGGCUUGGUGGCAACAAGUAAAGAAGACAAGGACUCUACAAGGAAAAGGAAAGAUUACGAGCUGGGACAAGAUGAAGAAAAAUAUGUGUUCUGCGUUUCUACCAUACAACUAUACACGGACACUCUAUCAACGGUUGCAAAAUCUAAGACAAGGAAACCGUUCAGUUGAUGACUAUACUACUGAGUUUUAUCAGUUAGUAUCACGAGAUGCGAUCGCAGAAGAUGAGGAGUCACGGGUGGCGCGGUAUAUUGGUGGACUGCGGAUUCAAUUCCAAGAUAUCCUGAAUAUGUUUGAUGUAUUGGGCGUGUCGGAUGCCCACCAGAGAGCAGUGCAGUUAGAGAAACAACUAGUGCGCAGAAAUACAAGGGGGUCUGAACUUUGGAGGUUCUAGUGCAAAUACAAGCAACAGCGGACACGAACAGGGAGUAUGAAUUUGGGGGAACCGGUGCAGGUAGUGCAAGCAGCAGUAGCACACGAACAGCCGUUCCACCAUCUCCUAUUACCAAGCCUCCUAUGCCUACACACAUAACGACACCUAACACAGGUUUUCGUUGUUUUAAUUGUGGGGAACCAGGACACAGGUUCGCUGAAUGUAAGAAAGGGCAGCGGAGAGGUUUGUUUUCAGAUGUUGAGGAGAUUAACAGGGAACAGGAAGGCGAUGUUGAGGCAGAACCAAUUUAUGACGAGGAAGAGCGUUUAGAGGGGGAUGCUGGACCAAUGUUAAUGAUCCGGCGCAGCUGUUUGGCACCACGCGUGAUAGAGGAUGAUUGGCUGCGCACUAAUGUAUUCCAAUCCACUUGUACAAUUAGUGGAAAAAUAUGUCGGUUCAUUGUUGAUUCAGGUAGCUGUGAAAAUAUAGUGUCCGAUGAGGUGGUCCGUAAAUUACACAUGGCAACAGAAUCACAUCCUCGACCGUAUAAAUUAACAUGGCUGGAUAAGAAGAAUGAUGUUACGGUAUCAAGACGCAGCUUGGUGUCUUUUUCAAUCGGCACCACAUACAAGGAUCAGAUUUGGUGUGAUGUGGUCUCCAUGGACGCCUGUCAUUUAUUAUUGGGCAGACCGUGGCUAUAUGAUCGACAUGUGUUGUAUGAUGGGUUCUUGAAUACGUGCACCUUCAUCUUCAAUUCAAUCAAGGUUGUGUUGUUACCAAAGAAGGAAGUUGCAGGCGGCACUCCAACAGGAGAAAACAACAAUUUAUUGACAAUGGCUAAGUUUGAAGCAGAAGUCAAAGAGUCGGGAGUUGUGUACGUGCUGAUCGGAAAAAUGGAGGCUGAGAAUGGCAUUAUUCCAAGCAGUGUGGAGCCGUUAUUACAGGAGUUUGAAGAUCUUUUCCAACAGAGCUUCCUGAAACCUUACCUCCAUUAAGGGACAUUCAACAUCAAAUUAAUUUGGUCCCGGGUGCCAACUUGCCUAACAGGCCACAUUAUCGGAUGAGUCCAAAGGAACAUGAAGAGUUGCGGCGCCAAGUAGAGGAAUUGCUAACAAAGGGGCAUAUUCGGAGAGUCUUAGCCCAUGUGCGGUGCCUGCCCUUCUAACCCCAAAAAAAGAUGGCACGUGGAGAAUGUGUGUCGACAGCAGAGCAAUUAAUAAAAUUACGGUACGUUACAGGUUUCCAAUUCCGCGGUUAGAUGAUUUGCUGGAUCAAUUGAGUGGAGCCACAAUAUUCACGAAGCUAGACUUGAAGAGCGGAUAUCACCAGAUUCGUAUCCGACCGGGAGAUGAAUGGAAGACGGCCUUCAAAACUCGAGAAGGACUCUUUGAAUGGAUGGUCAUGCCGUUCGGCUGUCUAAUGCCCCAAGCACGUUCAUGCGAGUGAUGAAUCAAGCCUUGCGGCCUUACAUUGGUAAGAGCGUGGUGGUUUAUUUUGAUGACAUUUUAAUUUACAGUGUUGAUCCUAGGAUGCACCUACAACAUCUUCGGGAAGUUUUGACCGUGUUACGUAAAGAACAAUUCUUCGCAACAAAAAGAAAGUGUGUGUUCUUAAGUGACCAGGUCUUAUUUUUGGGAUACAUUGUAUCUUCUAAGGGGCUUUCGGUAGACGAGUCAAAAAUUGAAGCAAUCAAACAGUGGCCACAGCCUCAAACCAUGACUGACGUUCGAAGCUUCCACGGGCUGGCAUCAUUCUACCGCCGCUUCAUUCCCCACUUCAGCGGCAUCAUGGCCCCAGUGACUGAUUGUAUGAAGAACAAUAGUAAGUUUUAUGUGGACACAUGAGGCCGAAACAGCCUUCCAAGAAAUCAAAAGGAGAUUAACCACCGCCCCAGUACUUGUUUCCCAGACUUUUCAAACCCAUUUGAGCUACAUGUGACGCCUCAAAGCUAGGAAUCGGAGCAGUUCUGAGUCAAAAUGGCCGGCCUGUAGCCUUCUUCAGUGAGAAGCUUUCAGGGGCAAAAUUACGGUAUAGCACCUAUGAUACUGAAUUUUAUGCAGUGGUUCAAGCAGUGAGGCAUUGGCGACAUUAUCUGUUUCUUCAGGAGUUCGUCCUAUUUACUGACCACGAUGCCCUCAAACAUAUGGGGAGUCAAGAUAAGAUAUCAUCCCGGCAUGCAUCUUGGGCUGCGUAUUUACAACAAUUUACAUUUGUCAUCAAGCACAAGGCUGGUACACUGAACCGGGUGGCUGAUGCCCUCAGUCGCCGAAAGACUAUGCUGGUUGAUAUGCGAAUCACAGUAAUGGGUUUCGACUCUUUUCAAAAUUUGUAUGCAUCUGACCCUUUUUUUGCUGCUGUACUAGAGAACAUUCAGAACAACCAACAGAGUGACUUUGUCCUCCAUGAUGGAUUCGUCUUCAAAGGCACUCAGCUAUGUAUACCUGAGUGUAGUCUCCGAACCAAGAUCAUUCAAGAACUACACAGAGAAGGACAUGUAGGAAGAGACCGGACUUAUUUACUAGUGGCUGCGUCAUAUUUCUGGCCAUCCAUGCGGAAGGAGAUUGGUCGUUUUGUUGAACGUUGUAGGAUCUGUCACGUGGCCAAGGGAGGAGCCACCAAUGCUGGUUUAUACAUGCCACUUCCUGUUCCAGUACGACCAUGGACCGACAUCAGCAUGGAUUUUGUUCUAGGCCUCCCACGUACACAACGCGGAUUCGACUCCAUUUUCGUAGUAGUCGAUAGGUUUUCAAAAAUGGUUCACUUUAUACCAUGCAAGAAAACAACAGAUGCUGUUAAUGUGGCUGAGUUAUUCUUUCGCGAAGUUUAUCGAUUGCAUGGGCUGCCAGAGUCAAUUGUGUCAGAUAGGGACACUCGUUUCCUGAGCCAUUUCUGGCGGAGUCUUUGGAGAAUGGUUAAUACUCGCCUGAACUUCAGUAGUGCUUAUCAUCCUCAGUCCGAUGGACAAACCGAGGUGGUGAACCGGUCGUUGGGUAAUCUCCUUCGUAGUUUGGUGGGUGACCAGUUAAAAUCUUGGGACAAGAAACUUGGCCAAGCAGAGUUUGCUCAUAACCACGCAGUCAAUCGUAGCACCAAGCUCAGCCCCUUCAAAAUCGUGUACGACUUUCUCCCACGAUGUCCACUUGACUUGGCUAACCUCCCAAACAACACAAAAGUUCAUCACAAGGCAGAGGAUUUUGUCACCCAGCUGCAGGACAUUCACAACCUCACCCGAGAGAACUUACUGGAAUCUACUGCCAAAUUUAAACACGAUGCGGACCGCAAACGGCGUCUUGUCAAUUUUGAGGUGGGGGACCUUGUUUGGGCUGUGCUAACGAAGGAUCGCUUUCCUAUAGGCGAGUAUAAUAAACUAUCCGCACGCAAGAUUGGUCCAGUAGAGAUUAUUGAGAAAAUUAAUUCAAAUGCCUACCGCCUCAAGCUGCCCAGUCAUCUUCGAACAACAGAUGUAUUUAAUGUCAAACACUUGUUUCCUUUCCACGGGGAUUUGUCAUCAGAGGAGGAAGAUCUCCCGAAUUCGUGGUCGAAUUCUUCUCAGCUUGGGGAGGAUGAUGUGGACCGAAGAGACAAUCAAGCACGUUAAACUUUCUUACGUAACAGUUGGAGUUUCUUUUCAUUUCAGUAAUUAGCUUUUACUUUCUCUAAUAAUUCAGGACGUUUCUUUCCGUUAUUUUAGCUUUUAUUCCUCAUUAAUUCUGGACUGUUUCCCGACUUAAUGAGGCUGUUUUAGAACUCUAGGAAUUCUGUUUCCUCUAUUUAUUUGGUUGUAAGCUCUUGGUGAAGGGCAGAGAAUAAUAAACAAAAAAAACCCAAAACUCCUUUGAGUAGUUAACUCAAAUAUCUUUCUUUCUUUGUUUUUCUGCGGAAUUACAGAUUGAAAAAACCUUGUGUGUUAGAACGCGUGUAAGUUCCGUUAUUGUCUGCAUCAGCUAGGUUGGGCUGGACCCAGCCUAGCAUGUAUUUUUUUGGGGCUGGGCCACAGCACGCGUGAACUUGUUGAUGUAACCAUAUUAUUUGAUAGUUUCACCCGCAUUUAACUAGUGUUUUGCAUAUGUUAUUUAUAUAAAAUGCCUUGAUAUUCUUUGUUUUAUGUUUUGAAGGCAUUUUUGGAUGAAAGAUGCAAAAAGGAGUAAAUUGGAGGUAAUUGGCAGAUUUGACGUUCAGUCGGUAUUUUGUGCAGAGCGUGAGUUCCAGAGAUCGAAAUGAAGUGAUUCCAGUGGCAUUAAAAAGAUAACAUCCAUACCUUUUUGGAAAUGUAAUGCAAGAAAAAUAAAAAGAGAAAGAUCAUGGAAAUCACAUCCUUCAAAGUCAAAUCUCGCAGUCUGCCAAUGUUGACCUUUGCCCAUUAAAAAUUCAAUAUCUGGAGCUUCAGAAGUCCAAUUGAUGCAAACUAAAUUUUGUUGGAUUCCUUACUCAAAGAUCUAUAAACGCUCCAAAUUUCAGCCAAAAACGAUGUCAUAUGAGGGAUAUGAUUUUUCAAAGAUGACAGCUGAAUUCUGCCAGCAAGCAGGUUGCGUGAAGAAACGAAUCCAAAUUUCAUCUAGAAGCAUCCAAACCGACCAGCAAUUUAGCUCCUCUAGUAAAUAUUCUAGAAGGUCAAGGAAGGCAGCCACCAACCUCAUGGCAGCCACCAACCUCAUGGCAGCCACCAACCUCAACCCAGCAGCCAGCAGCCAGCAGCCAGCGCCUUCACACUACCACCAUCUAUUGAUGUUCACACUUGAGCUUUGAUUUUUCUUACUUACAAUUUGUGUAUAAAUAGAGGGUGAGUAGAAGGAGGUAAGAAAAGAAAAAGAAAGAAGGAAGAAACACAAACUCUCCUCUCUACAAAUCAGAAAUUAUGUAUUCUUUCAUCUUUAGGAGUAGUUGUUCAAUAGAUAUGCAAGGCUAAGCUCGUUUUCUUGGUUGCAAGGACACAACAAACCUUCGGAUUUCAAGAACCGUGAGAUUUAUUCUUCCUUUUAUUUUCAGUUUAUGUUAUGAAUGAGUAUGUUUGUUUUCCUAUGCAUAUUUCCUAUGAUUGUUUAUCUUAAUUGCUAGAGCGGACUCUAAGUUAUUAUUGUGAACAAUCUAUUGCUAAGUUUGAUAUCAAAACCGGAGUUGUGGUAUAUAAACUUGUGAAGCAACUAAGCUUGAUAAUUGUAGCGGAACUACGUUAUUAAACUUAGGGAGAACAUUCGAUCAUAGCAACACAAAUUGACAACUUGGUUGUUAAGAUUAAUGAAUUUAUCUGGAUCUUAAGGCUGCCAUUGGAUUAAAUCAUUAGUGCGGACACUGUGAUUGUUUGUUGGUUAGGGAUAGUUAUACGGCGGAUCCGUUAAUUAACCAAUAUUAAGAAAAGAUAAAAUUCAUAAUAUAAACUGGAGUUUCGUUUCAAGGAUCGGUUCUAAUUUCCGUUGGUGGAUGUGUGCUUGCAACCAAGGUUUGUUUUCUUGAUAUAUUUCAGUUUCAAUUGAUUUUGUUUGCUAGUUUAAUUUCUGCCAUAGUUUAAAUCAUUUCAAAUCAAUCCCCCCCAAUUACAUAACGUACAACAUAAAAAUCUAACUUCAAACUUCCUCGUGGGAUCGACCCCUUGCUUGCUCUAUACUAUCUUGUGUGUUUUAAGCUAGGGUAAUUAAUUUGUGCGACCGCGACAUCGCAACACUUGUUCACGUGUGCGUAGCGCUGUGCGAAGGUAAAUUGCCUUCGCGCAGUGUUCUUGCAAAUUAAACGAAUGCAAAAAAUGAAGAAACGAGCGUACCUGCUUCUGGAGACCGAAGAUGCUUGCAGCGCUGAUGGAUUCUCGCCCGCUGCUUCCCUUUAUCUUCCUUCUGCGCUCACCUGCCUGCGUGUUCCUUUAAUUUUCUCUGCAGCUUUUGAAGCCGAGAAGGUGAUGAAGAGGCCGACCUGCUUUGAAUUGGGUUUUGAUUCUGGGUCUUUCUCUAUCUGCAGGGACGAAAGCAAUGGCAAAGCCAAUCCUCCUCUCUGUGUUGCUCCUUUACUUUUCCUUCUCUUUUCUGCGUUUUUUAUUUUUUUGGUUUAUGCCCUGUUUUUUUUUUCACUCUGUUUUGGGUUGAUGUUCCUGUUCUUCUCUGUGUUUUUGGGCUAAUUACUCUCUUAACUCUAUUUUUCUUGUUCUUAACUCUGUUUUUUCUGGGUUUCUGCUUUGCUUUCUGGGUUUCUCUUUCGUUUUUUUCUGGGUUUCUGCCUCCGUCCUUUAGGCUCUCGAUGCCCCUCCUCUUUUUAUAGAGACCCAGCCGCUAGUCAGUCCUGCCUUUGCAGGACUGUUAUCUUCCAUGAACGAGAUCGUGGGUGAGAUUCGUGAUCCACGAUUGGAUCAAGUCCGUUGCAGAUUUUCAGCCUGUUGACUCGGGAUGGAGAAGACGAACACGGCUGUUCCACCAGCACCGACGACGUUUCGGCAACACUGGAUUCCCAGUAUCAACGACACCAUUUCGGCAACAGUGGCAUUUUCAUUUUGACCCCCUGAACUUUGGAAUUGUAACAGUUGGAUCUCAACAGAAUUAAAAAUUCCUUUUAAUUUUGCCCUUUUCUGGAUACAUUUCAAUUGAAUCCCUCAAUUGGUGCAAUGUUUACAAAACAGUCCUUAAUUCCUGGAUUAUUCAAUUUGGUCCUUAAUUAAUUCUUUCAAUUUUGCCCUUUUUGGAUAAAUUUCAAUUAAGUCCCUGAAUUUAUUUAAUUAAUUAAAUCAAAGUUUAAUUAAGUCCACAAACUUAAUAAUUCUUUUAAUUUCAUUAAUUAAACUAAUCCAAAUUUUAAAUAAAUUUUCAAACUUAUUAAUUCUUCAAUUUCUGACCAAUUUAUUCUCAAAUCUGAUAUUUUUAUUCCUAAACUUCAAAAUUUAUUGUCUUAACCCCAUUGUCAACUAUAUUUUUAAUCAUUAAAUUUGUAUUAUUUAUUCAAAAAAUUGAGUUAUAACAUAACUCAUAAUUUUGUAGGAUUACUCUCUUCACUCUACUCUUCUUCUCUCUUCCUUGGUGUGCAUUUAAGGCAAGGAUGCACUGCAUAUUUAUAGGCAAGCUUCCUUGCCUUUGCCUUGCAAAUGACAAGAGCAAGGCAAGUGGGCAAGUGGCACCAAUUCAUUUUGUUGACUUAGUUAGCACCAAUUGGUGCCAGCUAGCUUCACAAACAAACCAAUAAACACAAGUCACAUAGAUAAAAUAUAAUAGCCCCCACCUAAUGAUUUAUGUAUUGCACAGGAUUUUAUUUAAGUGUUUUAUUAACAUAGUUUAUGAAUAAUGCAGUAGAUUAAUCUGUGUAAUAAUUCCUCUCGUUCUCCAAGCCUUAACCCCCUCAACUCUUGCAGAGGUGGAAUAUAUUCACCGACGAUCCAAACAAAAUUCAAGCAAAAACAAAGAAAGUAGAACUGCACAUGCAUCUUUGAAAAAGCACAGGAAUCUGUUAGACAUACAUUUAUGCAAACAUCUCUACAGGCAAAGCGCAUCAAGUCAAGUAGAACAGAUUAAUUUUAGAGGAGCAUAUAUCAUCUGUGAAAUAGGCAUGACUAGUAGCUUGUAGCAGAAUCCCUGUGAAUUAAAGCAAGCGCGCUCGCCAUAAUAUAGAUGCGGUGUUCUAAAAUCUGCAAGUCCCUGCAGCACCAGUGAAGAAUCAUUUCCCCACCGUUAGGCCCCUUGUCUUUAAAUGCGAAGGCAAGUCGUGUCAUUAUCACACUAAUGCUUCACGUGCGCUGUCUUGAAUGAUCAGAGCGAUGAAGUUUCACUUGAUGUCAAUGAGUUAGCCAAUUCUUUGAAGGAGCGAUUGAAGAUCGAGAAGGCUUUCUCCCCGGCAUGCUGCAUCUAGAGAGUCCCCGAACGAUUGCGGAAGUUAAAUGAAAAGGCAUAUACACCUCGAGGAGUCUCAGUAGGCCCUAUUCACCAUGGUAAGGAAAAUCUAAAAGCUAUAGAAGACCACAAAAUAAUGUACCUGCAGCAGUUUCUUGAACAGAACAAGGUAAGUGUGGAGGAUUUAAUUAACAUUAUCAAGGAGAAUGAAACAAAAUUACGUGAUUGUUAUGCAGAGACCAUUGAUCUUAGUAGGAAAGACUUCGCAACAAUGAUCUUACUGGAUGCUGUCUUCAUUAUUAUGGUCUUACUGAACUACAAGUACUUGAGAGGGUUUUUUGCCAGUGGACGUAGUGACCACAUUUUCUAUCGUCCAUUUAAGUUAGCUGACGUAAUGUUUGAUAUCAGCUUGCUUGAAAAUCAGCUUCCAUUCUUCAUCCUUGAGGAGUUGUUUGAGCUAUCCAGUGUAGCUUCCAAUCCUGAGAAUUGUACCCUUACUGAGCUUACCUGUGGGUUAUUAGAAGGACCAUGGUCUGACUGGGUAAAAGAAGACAGUUGGAAAAUAAUCGAUUCCUCUGAGGUACUUCAUUUCGUUGACUUCCUAAGAAAGUGUCAGCAGCCAACAGAGACGCACCGUCCAGCGAAAGAAGAAGUUCUUUUAAGCGCGCCCACUGCGACGGAGCUCCAUCAAUCUGGAGUGAAGUUUAAGCGUCCCGAAAAAAGCUCAUUAUUAUACAUAAGAUUCAGUAAGAGGAUUCUAGAAAUUCCACAAUUAAAAAUAGAUGACAACACAGAAAUCUUAUUCAGAAAUCUCCAGGCCUUUGAGCAAUGCCAUCUAUAUAUGGAUAAUUUCGUAAGUAACUAUAUUACUUUCAUCAGCUGCCUCGUCAAGGCUCCUAAUGAUGUGGAAGUACUUGCUCGUAAAGGGAAUUUGGAAAAUAUGCUAAACAGUGACGAAGCAGUGUCAAAUCUUCUUUACAAUCUUGACCAAGAAAAUGUUGUGAGUGAUGAUGGUUAUCUUUCGGACGUCGGCGAAAGACUGAAGUUAUAUUGCACAAAGCGUAGGCACAAGUGGAAGGCAACCUUGAAGCAGGUUUAUUUCAACAAUCCAUGGACUGGCAUCUCUGUUUUUGCCGCUACUUUUCUCCUUAUUCUCACUGUCAAGUUGUCAAAAACGCUUUUUUGACACGACAUGAAAUGUAUAAUAUAAACUCGGAUCGUAAAUUAACUCAAAUCGUAAAAUUGUAAGAAAAAUAUUUUAACUAAUUAUAUAUUGACAAUUUUAGUCAAGCGAUAAAUAAUAAUAUAACACAAUUAAAAUAAAAAUGAAAUAAACAAUACAAGUAUUCAAAUACCUUGAAAUAUAUAAUUCAAAUAAAAUUUCAUUUAUGGUUUAAAUAACUUAAAAAUAUGAAAAGAAAAAAAAUAAGAUUGAACAACUAUGUUUUAUUGAUAGAGUUUUAGAACAUUUUCUAGAGGACUGAUCUUGAAACACACUGCAGGCAACUAGUGAGAUGAUACAACAUUAUAAGAUAUAUCACCAACUUCAAAAAAAAAAUUAAUAGAGACCAAUACAGUGAACCCGUGACAACAAGAAUGAAAACAUACAAAAUAACAUCAAUUUAAUCUCAUGCCAUCUCACCUUCCACUUUUUUAUGUUAGUAACACUUUGUCGUCUCUCUUUAAAGUUAACAAAUAGUUAGUCUAAAACACAAUAUUUCUCUCUAUACAAAUAUUCCUAUCUCUUAUUUUACUCUUUUGAUUCAUCACCAUCUACCUCUAUCUUCCCAUGGUUUCGAUCCUCCGAUCAUGCCUUUCAAACCUAAAAUACAAUAUAAGGCUUUCCCAUAUCCAAGAUCCUCUAAUGCUGGUGUUAGCCUGCUAAGAUUGAAAAUUUGAGAUUUGGGGCAACGGGGAAAGGGAAGAUUGAGGAGUGGGGACUAUGUAGUGAAGUGCCAGGGGACUCGGACAUAAAGGUAGUAAAUUUUUUAACUUUUGCGGGUUAAAACUCGAAAUUGAUCAAACUCGGUCAAAAUCGGUCAAACUCAUAAAAUCGGUUCGAUUUUACCGAUUUUAAUCGAGUUUGACCGAGUUUGAUCGAUUUCGAGUUUUAACCCGAUUUGACACGUUUUAUACAUGUUGACUCGUAAAAUUGUAAGAUUUUAAGAGUCAACUCAUAAUUUUAACAACCUUGCUCAUUGUCAUAGAAAUAGUGUGCUCUAUUCUUCAAUUGCCAUAAAUAUUUAACCCCUUUGUACUUCUAUUUCUUUUUUAUGAUUGCAAUGUACUUAAAAUCAUAAAUUAAUCUCCCUUCAUUUCUUGUUGCUGAAUAAAUUAAUCUCCCUCCUAAGGCAAUACAACUUGGGAAUUUAAAAAAUGCCACUCUACACAUUAAAAAAUGCCACUCUACACAUUAAUUUAUGAUUUUAAGUACAUUGCAAUCAUAAAAGGAAAUAAAAGUACAAAUGGGUUAAAUAUUUACGGCAACUGAAGGAUAGAGCACACUGUUUGUAUGACAGUAAGAAUAAGGAGAAAAGUAGCGGCAAAAACAGAGAUGCCAGUCCAUGGAUUGUUGAAAUAAACCUGCUUCAAGGUUGCCAUCCACUCGUGCCUACGCUUUCUGCAAUAUGACUUCAAAUCUUCGCCGACAUCCGAAAGAUAACCAUCAGUGACAAAAAUUUCUUUUUGAAGAUUGUAAAAGAGAUUUGACACUGCUCCUUCACUGUUUAGCAUAUUUUUAAAAUUCCCUUCACGAUCAAGUACUUUCACAUCAUUAGGAUCCCUGACGAGGCGGCUGAUGAAAGUAAUAUAGUUAGUUACGAAAGCAUCCAAUAACCUAUGAUGGCAUUGCUCAAAGGCCUGGAGAUUUCUGAAUAAAAUUUCUGUGCUGUCUUGUAUUUCUAGCUGUGGAAAUUCCAGAAUCCCAUUACUGAAUGUUAUGUCUAAUAAUGAGCCUUUUUUUGGAUUCUUAAACUUCAUGCCAGAUUGAUGGAGCUCCGUUGCGGUUGGUGCGUCAAAAAAAGUAUUUGCUUUCGGUGCACGGCGCUGUUCCUUUGGCUGCUGACACUUUCUUAGGAAGUCAAUGAAAUGCAGGACUCCAGAGGAAUCGAUUUUUUUCCAGCUGUCUUCUUUUACCCAGUCAGACCAUGGUUCUCUUAAUAACCCACAGGUAAGCUCAGUAAGGGUACAAUUCUCAGGAUUGGCAGCUACACUAUAUAGCUCAAACAACUUCUGGAGGAUGAAGAAUGGAAGCUGAUUUUCAAGCAAGCACAUAUCAUACACUACGUCAGAGAGUCUACUUUCAUAAGAUUCUCCAACGCAAUUCAACUUCAGUAAGAACAUAAUAAUGAAGACAGCAUCCAGUAAGAUCAUUGUUGCGAAGUCUUUCCUACUAAGAUUAAUGGUGUCUGCAUAACAAUCACGUACUUCUGUUUCAUUCUCCUUAAUAAUGUUAAUUAAAUGCUCCACACUUGCCUUGCUCCGCUCAAGAAAUUGUUGCAGGUACAUUAUUUUGUGGUCUUCCAUAGCUUCUAGAUUUUCUUUACCAUGGUGAAUUGGCCCUAUUGAGACCACUCGAGGUGUAUAUGCCUUUUCAUUUAACUCCCGCAAUCGUUCCGGGACUCUGUAGAUGCAGCAUGCCCGGGAGAAAGCCUUCUUGAUCUUCAAUUGCUCCCUCAAAGAAUUGGCUAACUCAUUGACAUCAAGUGAAACUUCAUCGCUCUGAUCCAUUAUCUGCUGAUCAGUACUUGAUGUUCCUGUAAAGGAUAAAGCAGUUAAUUAGUUAACAUUCGGUUAAAGGAUGAAACAGUUAAUUAGUUAACAUUCUGUUAGACAGUUAAAGCAGUUAGUAUUGUUAGCUGUUAACAUUGUUAGCAUGCAGUUAGAAACAGUUGAAGAAGCUGUUACAUGAUGAGGGAAAGCCAAUGCUUUACGUCUGUAAUAUCUGCUAUAAAUACAGCAUCAAUCAUGUACUAUUGCAAAAAGAAAAUACAGAGAUUAAAUUCGUUUCUCUUCUCUUUCUGUUGUCUCUACAUCCUUCACUUCUCUUCUCAAAUUCUCUUAUCAAUUCUGUAAUCUUCACAUGGUAUCAGAGCCAAGCUCCUAAUCCUCUGCUUCCGCACAUCUUACACUUACUUCAUUUCUUCUCUUAUAUCAUCAAAGAACAAAUCUUUCUAAGCUGCUUCUUUGCUUCUACAUUCCAAAAACAGAAAAAAUGGUGACAACUUCUCAACUCCAAAUCAUCCAAUCUCCUAUAACCUCCUUACUUUCUACAGUUGCUACUGCUGUGACAAUUAAGCUUGAUGAUACCAAUUAUCUCACAUGGCACUUUCAGAUGCAAAUCCUUCUUGAAAGUCAUGGUAUUUUUGGUUUUGUUGAUGGUUCAAGACAGUGUCCUAGCCGAUUCAAUGCAGACUCUGAUCUUGAGGCAAUUGAAACUGAUGAUUAUCAAGUAUGGAAAAUGCAUGAUCGUGCAUUAAUGCAACUGCUCAUAGCAACUCUUUCCUCUACUGCAAUCUCCUAUGUCAUUGGAUGUGUUAGUGCUAGUGAUAUGUGGACUCAGCUGAAGGAUCGAUUCUCUACAGUCACUAAAGCAAGAAUUUUCCAGAUGAAAAGUGAGCUUCAGAAUAUUAAGAAGGGAUCAGAACCAAUUUCUCACUAUCUGCAGAAAAUUAAAGAUGCCAGAGAUCAUCUUUCUGCAGCAGGAGUCUUCUUUGAGGAUGAUGACAUUGUGAUCCUAGCUCUCAAUGGCCUACCUUCUGAUUACAACACAUUUAGAUGCAUGAUCAGAGGCAGAGAUAAUACAUUAUCUCUCAGAGACUUUAGAUCUCAGUUACUUGCUGAAGAAGCCACUCUUGAUCACACACAGUCUGCAUCUCCCUUUGUCUCUGCAAUGUUGGCGCAAAAUCACACAUUUCAAGGCAAGGCCCUUGUUCUUAAUGAGGGAUCUUCUCCUUCUCAUUCUCAUUUUCAAACUCAGGGAAACUCUUCAAACCUGAAAAACUUCCCCUCAUCUCACCUAUCUUCUGGUUUUAAUAACCAUAAUGGAGGCUUUCACAGUUCCACAGGUGGUGUCAAUAGUCACUCUAACAAUAGAGGCUCUUACUUUAAAGGACGUGGUCGAAGUCGUGGUCAUUAUCAAUCAAAUCCACGACCUCAUCCAGUUCCUUCUUCUAAUCCUGGUAUUCUUGGUCCAGGCAGUGAUCUUCCCAUAUGUCAAAUUUGCAGCAAAAAGGGUCAUGUAGCUGCAGAUUGCUAUCAACGACAUAAUCAGUCUCCUUCUUCUACCUCUCCAAUCCAAUGUCAGAUUUGUUGGAAAUUUGGUCAUUCGGCUAUCCAGUGCUAUCACAGAGGCAACUUUUCUUAUCAAGGCAGACCACCUUCCUCUAAUCUCAGUGCAAUGCAUGCACAUUUCCCUUGUUCUGAUUCCACUGAGCAGGCCAUUGAGCAGUUUUGGGUUGCUGAUACUGGAGCAACUACUCAUAUGACUUCUGAUUUAGCUCACCUCAAUCUAGCCACUCCUUUCACUGGCUCAGAAACUGUUGCUACUGCAGAUGGUACAGGUUUGAGUAUUUCUAAUGUUGGCUCUUCCAUUUUGAAUGUCCCACAGUGCUCCUUCAAAUUAUCACAAGUUCUGCAUGUUCCUAAGCUAUCACAGCAUCUACUAUCAGUUCAUAGGCUAUGUACAGACAACAAUUGUCGUUUUAUUUGUGAUACCUUUGGUUUUUGCAUUCAGGACAAGCUUACAGGACAUAUUCUUCUCAAGGGAAUGUGUAGUGAUGGUUUAUAUCCUAUCCCUUUAUCAGGUCCACCUUCUCAACUCUCGCAGUCCUUCUCUUCUUCUAAACAUCAGUCUUGCUAUCUUGGUCACAAAGUAAACACCAGUCUUUGGCAUCAACGUCUUGGCCAUCCCUCCAACAAAAUAACUUCAGCCCUUUUACACCAGUCUAACAUUCCUUUUACCUCAGACCAUUCCCAAUCUGUCUGCACUGCUUGGUUGGAAGGCAAAUUUGCCAAACUUCCUUUCCCUUAUCCAGCCAUCAAAUCUACAACACCUUUAGCAGUUAUUCACAGUGAUGUGUGGGGACCUUCCCCUACUGUUUCUAUUGAUGGAUUUCGUUACUAUGUUAGCUUCAUAGAUGAGUGUACUCGGUUCACAUGGAUUUUUCCAAUGAAAAAUAAAGGAGAAGUUUAUUCCAUCUUUGUUUCAUUUCAUGCUUUUUGGCUACUCAAUUCUCUGCUAAUCUCCGAAUUUUUCAAAGUGAUGGUGGGGGUGAGUUCCUCAAUCAUUCCUUCAAAGCAUAUCUCCUUACUAAAGGCAUUAUUCAUCACAUUUCUUGUCCAUACACCCUUGAACAGAAUGGUCUUGUUGAAAGGAAGCAUCGCCACAUUCUAGAAACAGCAAUCACUCUAUUACAGACUGCUCAUCUCCCUUCUCAGUUUUGGUUUCAUGCCUGUGCUACAUCCAUUUACCUGAUCAAUCGGAUGCCUUGUCCAAUUCUUCAGCUAAAAUCUCCUUAUCUUUUACUCUAUGGUUCUCUACCUGUUCUUACUCAUUUAAAGAUUUUCGGCUGUGCAUGCUUCCCUCUGCUCAAACCUUACAAUACUCACAAACUUCAGCCUAAAACUUCCACCUGCCUUUUUCUGGGAUAUGCAGGUCAAUACAAGGGUUAUAUAUGUUUUUCUCUUCUUACUCAUAGGUGUUUUGUAACUCGUCAUGUCAUCUUUGAUGAGUCUACAUUCCCAUACACCUCUCCUUCUUACUCAUCCUCUGCUAAAAUACAGCUACAUGCUCCCCCUCUUAUUUCCCCUUCUGUCUCAUUACACAAUGCUGUUUUGCCUGUGUGCUCUCCUUCCCCAUCCAAUGUGAGCACUACUGCUACUUUGGAAAACUUAUCUUCUUCAUCCAUAUUGGAUACUGCUACACAGUUCUCUGCCCCUACAGAUCCUGAUUUUCAUCAAGAGCAACUUUCUGUUGUCUUGCCUCUAUCUCCACAAAAUCUUCAUCCCAUGACAACCAGGUCCAAGAAUGGCAUAUCCAAAAAGAAAGCUUAUUCCACUACAGUUUAAUCUCCUGACAUUUCUCUAGUUGAACCAAAUUCCUUCAGGAUUGCCUCUAAAGUUUCUGCAUGGCAAUCUGCUAUGCAAGACGAAAUUAAUGCUCUUCAUGCCCAGGGAACUUGGGAUUUAGUUCCCCUGCCACAUGCCAAGAAUCUGGAAGGCUGCAAAUGGGUUUAUCGUAUCAAGAAACAUGCAGAUGGAUCUAUUGCUCGGUAUAAGGCACGUCUUGUUGCCAAAGGUUUCAGUCAAGAAGAGGGCAUUGAUUAUAAUGAAACCUUUAGCCCAGUAGUAAAACCAACUACUGUCCGGUUAGUAUUGGCCCUUGCAGCUCAGUUCCAUUGGCCUUUAAGGCAGCUUGAUGUUACAAAUGCUUUUCUGCAUGGCCUUCUUCAAGAGGAGGUGUAUAUGUCUCAGCCUCAAGGUUUUACAAGCCAGCUCUAUCCUGACUUUGUUUGCAGACUUCGCAAAUCCUUAUAUGGAUUAAAAUAGGCCCCUCGUGCUUGGAAUGACAGGUUUACAAGUUUUCUGCCUAGCUUGGGUUUUCAAGCGUCUCUUGCUGAUCCUUCUUUAUUUGUCCAACAUUCUUCCACUAGCACUGUGAUCUUACUACUUUAUGUAGACGAUAUUCUUCUCACAGGAAGUCAUUCAUCUCUCCUUACAACCGUUAUUGAUGCCUUAGCUCAGGAGUUUGAUAUGAAGGAUUUAGGCCCGUUGACAUAUUUUUUGGGACUGCAGAUCUCUUCUUCUUCAUCAGGCCUGUUUAUAUCACAGUCUAAGUAUAUCUAGGAAUUGCUUGAUCGGGUUGAAUUACAGAACUCCAAAUCCUGUGCCACUCCUUGUCUCCCCUAUCAUCAUCUACUCAAGGAUGAUGGGAAGCCUUACUCUCAUCCUCAACAGUAUAGAAGCAUUGUUGGCGCUCUGCAAUAUCUAACCUUCACACGUCCUGACAUUGCCUUCUCUGUUAAUCAGGCUUGUCAAUUCAUGCAUCAUCCCAUGGAAUCUCAUGUUGUUGCAGUUAAACGAAUCUUAAGAUAUCUCAGGGGUACUAUUGAUUAUGGCAUUCAUUUUCAGCCUGGCACCUUAAAUUUACAAGCAUACAGUGAUGCUGAUUGGGCAGGUGAUCCCAAUGAUCGUCGUUCUGUGUCUGGCUAUGUUGUUUACUUAGGAUCCAGCCCUAUUUCCUGGGCUUCCAAGAAGCAACACAUUGUCUCACGUUCGUCUGCUGAGGCUGAAUAUAGAGCUCUUGCCAUUGCUGCUGCUGAGCUUGCAUGGCUUCGUCAACUUUUUUGUGAUAUGCAUGUUCCAUUGCUUAUUCCUCCUUUAAUUCACUGUGAUAACAUCUCUGCCAUUUCUCUCGCUUCCAAUCCAGUCUUUCAUUCCAGGAUGAAGUAUCUUCAGAUUGAUUAUCACUUUGUUAGAGAACGUGUUAUCAAAGGAGACUUGCUUGUUCAACAUGUUUCCUCUGCAUAUUAGUUCGCAGACAUCCUCACUAAGGGUCUUUCUUCUCCAUUAUUUCGUCACCAUUGCUCCAAUCUUAUGCUUGGUUCCACCAUGCAUACGAUUGCGGGGGAAUGUAAAGGAUAAAGCAGUUAAUUAGUUAACAUUCGGUUAAAGGAUGAAACAGUUAAUUAGUUAACAUUCUGUUAGACAGUUAAAGCAGUUAGUAUUGUUAGCUGUUAACAUUGUUAGCAUGCAGUUAGAAACAGUUGAAGAAGCUGUUACAUGAUGAGGGAAAGCAAAUGCUUUACGUCUGUAAUAUCUGCUAUAAAUACAGCAUCAAUCAUGUACUAUUGCAAAAAGAAAAUACAGAGAUUAAAUUCGUUUCUCUUCUCCUUCUGUUGUCUCUACAUCCUUCACUUCUCUUCUCAAAUUCUCUUAUCAAUUCUGUAAUCUUCACAGUUCCAACAAUUUCCAUCCUGUGAUUGAACUGAUACAAUGGCUAGCUGGUGCUUAGAAACAGCACGUAUAUACUAUCACUAAGUCAUGAAAAAAACAUAUUCUGAAAACAACCACAAUAAUAGUUUGCAUGAAAUCAAUCUUAACUUGUGGUUAUUUCUAUCUGUGUUAGUUUUCAAGGGGUUUCUAGUGACGUGCUUUUUACUCAUGUUUUAUUAUGGAAUGCAAAGUAGUGGUGUCUUGCUGUAAAAUAAAAGGGUAAACUUCAAUUAUUUUCCUUGUAAUAGAUUCAUUUAUAUUCUACUUCUACUCCUACUCUUAUAGUUUUCAUAAAAUCCUGUUAAUAUUACUCUUAACUAUGAAAUAUCUAAUUCUUUUUAAUUUUGGUUUUUAAGUAUUUUAGGUUUCGGAUUUUUGUUGUAAGAUACUAUGACAUGCAUAAAGACUUGAGAGGAAAUAAUAAGAGAAGAAUUAAAAAUAUAUAUAUAUAUAUAUAUAUGAAAAGCAUCAGAUUAUCACACGGUUAUUUAGUAGUAAAUAAACUAUCAUGAUAGAAGUGAAAACAUUGAAUAGAAACUUACAGGCAGUUGUAGAAGUUUUGCUCGUUGUCAACCUGCCUCCAGCGUCCAAAAAGAUCUGCCAAGAAUGGUACUAGACUCUCCCUAUUUAAUAUGAAAAUUCCAAAAUGUUCUAUUGCUCCUUUACAAUUGCUACAAUGGCAAGCAAAGGAUAAGAUUCCCAAACACUUGUGUGAAUCAAGGUUGUCAAAAACUUUUUUUGACACGACAUGCAAUUUAUAAUAUAAACUUAUAUUGUAAAUUUAAAUUGUAAAAUCAUAAAUAAAAUUAUUUAAUUAAUUAUAUAUUAACAAACUUUGAAUAGAAUUAAAAUGCUACUGGAAUUGGAAUUCUGACUGAUUUGAUCUUUCUGUUCAAAUUCAAGUCCGGCAUUUUCAGCAAGAAGAAGAGUACUAGUACUAUUCUCUCUUGAAGAGCACAUUGCUUAAUCUAUAGAACUCUUGUCAACAUAUUAGAAUUUUAGGCUUAAAGUCUUAGAUUAGAAUAAAUGUUAAAAAUUACAGGGAAUAUUCAGCAAUAUAAUAUAUAUUCUCAGCCCUCUCAAACGAGGUUUUUUUUUUAUUAUUUUAAUAUUUUCGUAUUUCAUUUUAACUAUUGGCUUUAUGGCCUUUUCAAUAUACUCUUGAUAAUUAUCCAAAAAAAAGUAUAGGAUAUAGCAAAUGCAUCAAAGGUGGAAGCAUUUUCUACAGUGGCUUUAAAGCAUUUCAAUUAAAAUGGUUUGCACGUUAACAAUAUUCUAUUAUAAACCUCGUUUGAAGUAUAGCAUAAAGCAAACACUCAUGGCACAUUAUAGAGCAUAAUUUAUUAAAAAAAUUCUUGAUGCUUUUUCGUUGAGAAAUACAGCAGGUAAAUUUAAGAAGCUAACAAUGACUAGAUAGUGAGGUACACAGAGUUUAAGUCAUACGAAACAAUUGAGAUAGCAUAAUCAAACAGCUUGAUCGAUCGAACACGCUGUCUGUAUGAUAUGAGUAUGACUACAACAGCAGCUGCUACAACAGAGAUUAUAGCCCAUGGAUUACGGAAAUACUUCUGUUUCAAGAAUGCCUUCCAUUUGUGUCCCCGCUUUCGGUAGUACUUGUUCAGAUCUUCGAAGAUCUAGAAUUCAACUACACCAGAAAAGUAGAAAUUUUCGACGCUGAUAAGAUUUUCCAUUGAACUAUUGCGGAAAAGGAUUGAAACUGCAUGCAUCGUUAUCAGAGAUCAAAGCUUGUGAUGCACCCAUAAAAGAUAAAACGAAAACCCGUUAAUUGAACUCCAUUACAAAGCAAGCCUUUCCUGUUAUCCUGAUAAUUAACACCUUCACUUAUCACUCCUACUACGCUAUUCUCCAUCCAUGCAAGCUCCUCCUCUUCUGGAUCAUGUGUUAUAACGAGUGAAGGCACUGGUUGAACAACUGGGACCGCAUUAAUAAUAUUAUCUUGGAUGACAAGGGCUACGUUUAUAUCCACUGUUUGAGUAACAGGGUAUGCAUUGCUUUGGAGUUGACGAGUGCUAGCUGAAUCACUGCUGAUUUUCCCUUUUCGCGCAACCAUAUAAUAACUUCUGCAGUCGCACUCCCUGACUGAUACACGCUGAACAUGCUUUUUUUUUAUCGGAAUCCGAUGCUGCGAAUUUGUAUAUUUCCCCAGUUGAAACCGCUUCAAAUUUGCACGUAGACGAUAAGACCCAAACCAUAUUCCAUUAAGCUUUCCAAGGCGAUCCUGUUGUUCAGAAUCUGUUUGCAUUGUAACACAGCCAGACCUCCAGUUUCUUCCGUUGUGUCGUCGUGAUAUGUACAUAACAAUUACUACGCCAUAUUUGUUAAAAGUUCUGCGGAGGGUUUGAUAAUCUAACCAAGAGGUGAAUCGCUCUAGGAAAAUCUGAGACAGUGGUGUAUUAGGCGAGGUUGAUGGUGACAGGGUAGCGGCUUGGUUGGAUUUCGAUGCUGUAAGUGUUUUUUUAGGUGUUAUAGAGGAAACGAGAUGGUUGCAUAUUAUUUUCCUUAGGAGGGGGAUUAAUUUAUUAUGCAACAAGAUCAGGAAAACAAGAAACGAAAAAGAUCUGUUAUUACUCAGGAUUUUAAUUACAUUGCAAUCAUAAGGCGGGGAAACAGUACAAAGGGAUUAAAUAUUUAAACUUGACUCAUAACACAUCAUCAGCUUAUACUUUCUAGAAGCGGGUGGGUGCAAUUGUGAAAGAAAGAGGCAACCGCCAGUAUUAAAGAAUGCAAUAGCCAUUAAUGAAGGAGGUGCAGUAAUAGAACAAAAAUGAAGAAAAUACAAGGGGUGAUGUAAUCAAUAAGGUUUCUUAGUGUUUUGUUUUCCUAUAAUCAGGCAUGUGGUUUGGGAGUUUAGAUGUGUGGAUUGAUCAAGAGAGUGUUAGAGAGCAUUGUAAUCUUGAGUAUUGUUUGAAAGAAUUCUGAAUUUAGUGUUUGUUUGUGUGUAUUUGUCUCUCAUGGAGGUGCACAGCUAGUAACCUCAAUCAUCCACUCCACCAACUAUGGUAUCAAAGCCUAAGAAGCAAAAUUAGAAGGUGUUCUUGAUUUUUUACCCUGAAAUACUAAUGUUUGAAAGUGUAUUCUGAAUGCAUCAUUGAAAAGUACUCAAUAAAAAAAUUAUAAUGAGGCAAAAAUCAGCCCAAAUAGAGAUUAGAUGAGCCUCUUGAAGUUUCACCGUGAAAAAUCACCUUCAUUAAAAAAACAAUCUGAAAAAACCAGACCGGUCAAUGUUCUGAAAUUACAAAACAACCAUAUAAUUUUCAUAAAUGUCAGAAUGGACACUAAAUAUUUCAAAGGCACCCAAAAUUUUCAUAAUUUUCAUAACAAUUCCUCAUGUUUCUUAAAUGUAAUAAACACCCCAACAAUUUUAAAAAUUGCAAAAUAACCCUAGAAGUUCUAAAGUUCUUAGCGAUCUCAAGAAUUGCUACUCUUCCAUAACCAAUAGACCAAAUAUUAGUCUACAUUACCUCAUUUUAGCAAAUCUUGUGAGACAUAAUUAAUGAUUGAAAAAUAAUUUUUAUUUCAUUUAAUUUUGAGUGCUUAAAGAUGUAACUUUAUUUGAUAGUUAUUCUCAAAAAAAACGAAAAACGAAAAAGCAAAUUUCAUUUAUUUUUGAAGAGUAAAAUACGUGUCAUCACAUAUUUCUAAACACGAAGCAUUAAUUAUAAAAAGUAUUACGCGGCCUAUUUUCAAUUGUCUACUUGCAUACAAUUACAGUAUGCGAGACAAAGUUCGGCCUAUUUUCUUGAAUAGAAGUUGUGCAAAACAAGAAAGAAAAUCUUCAUCUCCCAAACUUGUGCAUACAAUUACAUGAUAUACAAUUACAUGUUCCCUUCUAUUUUUACAGUUUCUUUUCUUUCAAUAUUCCUGAACUUUGUCUGCUUUUCUUUGGUGGGUCUCUAGGUAUUGCAAAGAAACAAAUUUUCUCUUCCAUUGAUGUCUCUUUUAAUAAUCAUUACUUUUCUUUAUCUUUUUAUUCAUAGUUGUUUUGAUUUUCUUACUGUUUUGGUUUAUGGUUUGUGUUUUUAUAAGGUAAAAGAAGGAAUUAUUUUGGUUUCAAGAGAGGGCAAGGUGAUUGAAACGGUUGAUGACCCAAAAUCUUGAUCCUGUUGUUUUUCCAUCUGCUGCAACAAAUAACAUGUUAUGUUAUUACUAGGUUGUGGUAGUCAAGUUAGAGAAAAUUAGUGUUUUUUUUUGUCAUAUUUUGUGAGCUUAAUUUCCUUGUCUCUUAGGAUUCUUGUGUUUCUUUUUUCGCCUUUGAUAGUUCAAUCCCAUAAAUAUUUUGUAUUGAUUAACCUAACCGUGAAACUGAGAUAUAUAUCAGUGCAGUUUAAAGAAACUGUGAAAAUAAAAGUAUUCAAUUUGGAUACUUGAAACUGGUCAGGUUGAAUUUGGAUAUCUAACAUUUAUACUCAUAUUGGAUAUGAAUAUUAGUUUUGGAUUUGGGCUUAGUACUAAAACCAAACCUAUGUAUAUAUACCCAUUGUUAUUUCUAAUGACAUGACAACUAAUUAGCUCCAUACUCUUAUGACUCGAAAUUAUGUCAAGACUAUUUGGAAUAGGAAGGACAGUGGAAUUCCAAGAGUAUUUUGUUUGCCACCAUGUAUAAUGGGUUAGACAUAAAUUUUCAUAUUAAGAUGGAAAAACUUAAUUGUAAAAUUCAAAGGAAACUUAUUUUAACAUGAAAAUCUGUUUUAUUUUUUGUUCUUGGAUCAACACUUCAGUGUCACUUCUAGUAAUAUAUUUAUAAAUUUUGUUAAUGUAGAGAGUCCAAAAUAAAAAUAAAAAGAAAAAGAGAACUAUGUUCACUUGCAAGCCUCAACAAAGAAAUUAAAAAAAAAACUAUUUCACUAAUUUUUUAUUGAGAUAUUUAUUUUAGUUUGCAGCAAAUAAUAAAAUUUUAUCAUUAUUGAGAUUUUAUAUAUAGUUUAUCACCUUUGCGAUGGAAAAGUGUAAUAUUAAGUUUUGAUUAUUGAGAAUAAAAUUUAAAGUAUUUUUCCUUCUAUUAUGAGAAUUGUGCAAGGUAAGCUUUCUCAAGCUUCUUUUGUAUAGCCUUUCCUGAUAACCUUACAAUCUUAAUUUGUGGUUUUUUCUGUCUGCGUUAGUUUUUAAGGGGUUUCAGAUUAAUGCAAAAAAAAAUUCAAGAACAAAUGUAAAAGGAGAUGAAAAAUGCACAAUCAAACACAAGAUUCCAAGACAACCCGUAAGAGCAUCUGUAAGGAAUCAAAUCUGAUUUUUUCUUUCUUUUUCUAAUUGUAAAUGUUUCACCUGAAUGCAUGUCUUUGACUACUUGAAAGAGCUAAACAUUAAAAAUCCAUAGCUUCUCUAAAUUAAAACUUGCAAGCAUUUUUCUGAACAAAAAAUAGAAAGGACUCUAGUGUCUGCUACUUACACAAACUCUGAAAUUCUGAAGUUUUUUUGAAGAGUUUUCUUGUCUGCUACUUUUUUUCCUGCAAUUCAGCACCUCUUCUAAUUCUACACAAAAUUCUUCGUCAACGUUUUCGGACUUGGAAGUCAACUUGAAAAGUUAGAAAAACUACCUCUCUUUUUUUUUAGUUAUUUAGUAGUAAAUAAACUAUAGGGAUAGAAGUGAAAACAUUGGAUAAUUUUAAACUAUAGGAAUACAAGUGAAACAUUGAUAAAUCUAUAAAGGCCAUGGUGUCUAUGCUAUGUUGACUCAAAUUGGGUGUUCUUGAACUGUGAUUUAUGCAAAUGGAAAAAGAAAUGAAGGGUUUGUUAGCUUUGGCCAUGGUGUCUAUGCUAUGUAGUUUUGGUAUCAGCAAGGAGUGUACAAACAUCCCGACUCAGUUAUCGUCACAUUCAUUUCGAUAUGAACUGUUAUCAUCACAGAAUGAAACAUGGAAACAAGAAAUGUUUGAACAUUAUCAUUUGAUACCUACCGAUGAUUCAGCUUGGGCCAGUUUGCUGCCACGAAAGAUACCGAGAGAAGAAGAUGAGCAUAGUUGGGAAAUGAUGUAUAGAAAUUUGAAAAGUCCUUUGAAAUCCUCUGGAAAUUUCCUUAACGAAAUGUCAUUGCAUAAUGUGAGAUUGGAUCCAAGUUCAAUCCAUUGGAAGGCUCAACAAACAAACUUGGAGUACUUGUUGAUGUUGGAUGUGAAUAACUUGGUGUGGAGCUUUAGGAAAACUGCAGGUUCGUCUACACCAGGAAAAGCUUAUGGUGGUUGGGAGGCACCGGAUUCCGAGCUUCGAGGACAUUUUGUAGGUUAGUUUUUUGCUGAUGAUCUUGAAUUUAGUGUUGAUCAAUAUUAGUACAUAUAUUUUUAUGACAAACAAAUUUGAUUUGGCUUGUUGAAGGGCACUAUUUGAGUGCAUCAGCACAGAUGUGGGCUAGUACUCAUAAUGUAACUCUAAAGAAGAAAAUGUCUGCAGUAGUUUCUGCUCUAUCUGCCUGUCAGGUGAAAAUGGGAACAGGAUACCUUUCUGCUUUCCCAUCUAAAUUAUUUGAUCGGUUUGAAGCUAUAAAGCCAGUCUGGGCUCCUUAUUACACCAUUCAUAAGGUAGUAUCUACUUCAAAAUGGUUCACUGUAGUGAUUCUUCAGAAAAUCAUACGACUAACCAUUUGUGUUGUUGACUUUGACAGAUCCUAGCAGGUCUUUUGGACCAAUAUACAUUGGCAGAUAAUGCUCAAGCUUUAAAAAUGGUUAAGUGGAUGGUUGAUUACUUUUACAAUCGAGUUAGAAACGUUAUAACCAAUUACAGUGUUGAAAGGCAUUAUCUAUCACUCAACGAGGAAACUGGUGGUAUGAAUGAUGUCCUUUACAAGUUAUUUAGCAUAACAGUAAGUACACUAAUCUGUGCAGUUUCCUUUGCUUCUCCUGAUUCUUCACUUUACGAGUCCUAUGAAUUGUCUCCCUGGAGCUGGAAUGGAUAUAUUUUUUGAAUUUACUCUGUUCCGUGGAAGAUAAACCUCUGGAUAUCUUUAACUCGAGCCUUAAAUUUUACUUUGAUGCAGGGAGAUCCAAAGCAUUUGGUGCUGGCUCACCUGUUUGACAAGCCUUGCUUCCUUGGUUUGCUUGCAGUACAGGUAAUUUAUGACUAUCAAUUGUUGUUUAUCAGCUUUUGGCUGGUGUUGUAGUCUUCUGGUUUUUCAGGUCAUUUCCCUCCUUUAGCCGGUAAGAAUAGUUUCCCUUUGAGAAAACAAGCUUCUGAUUUUGUAAAAUGAAAUGUUAUCAUCUUUGACAUAACAAUUCCAAUCAGUUAGAGCAAGCCUAAUUUAAGAUGAACUUCUGAGUUUUUUAUAUUGCAAAUAGAAUGAAUUUGGAAUGCAGGCUAUUUUAUAGCAGCUUCUUCUCUUCCUUGUAGGCCGAUGUCAUAUCAGGUUUCCACGCCAAUACACAUAUCCCUGUUGUCAUCGGUGCACAGAUGCGAUAUGAAAUCACUGGCGAUCCUCUUUAUAAGGUUAAUGCUUUAUAUUAAUCAUAGAUUACCUGAGCAGCAUUUUCUAUGAAAUGUUGUAGCAUUUUGAUUACUGUUCUACUGAGCUAUUGCAGUUCAUGUUAGAGUAGUCAUGCAUGCAUGAUCUCUGAUCUUAAAACUGCCUAAGACAGAUUUGAUCUUCCAGGAUAUAGGAGCAUUCUUCAUGGAUGUAGUCAACUCUUCUCACAGCUAUGCAACUGGAGGAACUUCUGUUAGCGAGUUCUGGUACUGAUUGUUGUUUUUCGUUCAAUAAUAAUAGUGAUAUUCUGAAUUAGGUUUAAUGCCUCCAUAUAGAAGAAUCUUGCUUCUACUUUCAUAAAAAAGCUUGCUACGAUCUUAUCCUGUGUUGGUUGACACCUUGCCUGAUGUGUGAGUACGUCAGAUCCAAAGCGACUGGCUAGCACGUUACAGACAGAAAAUGAGGAAUCAUGCACAACUUAUAAUAUGCUGAAGGUGUGUUUCAUCUCAUAUCUCUGCUUACUGAUUUAGAUUUUAUGUGUAUUUGAUGAAUAGAAUUUGUUUCGAUCUUUUCAAAAACUUAUUUUGACUCCAAGGUCUGUAUGUCAGUAAACAUUUUGGCAUCUAUACGGCAUUUACCUGGCAGUUUUUUCAUCUUCGUGUUACAUAAAUUUUCCUGCUUAAAUACUCUGCACUUUUUUUUGCAACCUGUAGGUCUCUCGCCACCUGUUCAGAUGGACCAAAGAAAUGGCUUAUGCAGAUUAUUACGAGCGAGCUCUGACAAACGGUGUGAUUCUAAUGAUUUACAUGCUUCCACAAUAUCCUGGAAGUUCCAAAAAGAGGAACAGAACCUGAAGUGAUGAUUUACAUGCUUCCACAAUAUCCUGGAAGUUCCAAAGCCAAUAGCUAUCAUGGAUGGGGGACUUCGUAUGAUUCUUUUUGGUGCUGCUAUGGAACAGGUGUGGAAACUGUUACCUGCCUCAUCCUUUCUUAGCUGCUAAUUGUCACAAUUAUCAGAUUUCAAUGUAAAGUUCUCUGUAUUUUCAUUGAUUCUGAAAGGAAGAAUUCAGUCCUAUAAAUACAUGUAAAAUAAUCCCUAAUUUGUAGUCUAUAAUCCCUGAUUUGUAGUCUAUAAUAAAUACAAUAAAUACAAUAUAUUCUGUUACAAUUUGGUUGCCAUAUAUUGUUGAUAUUCUUGCCAUAUACAUUGACAUCCCCCCUCAAAUUGAUGCUGGUCGAUCAAGAAGCAUCAAUUUGUCAAUCAUGAGUUGAUGUCGAGGCCGAGACAAGGCCUUCGUAAAGACAUCAGCGGUCUGAUGCUCGGUGGAAAUAUGAGGUAGUGUAAGAAUAUUAUGAUCAAGAGCUUCACGAAUAUAGUGACAAUCGACUUCAAUAUGUUUGGUGCGUUCAUGAAACACAGGAUUAGUAGCAAUCUGAAUAGCACUUGUGUUAUCAGCAUGAAGAGGUGUAGGAGUGUGCUGAGGAAAACCAAGUUCACGUAGCAAACCCUGGAGCCACACAAUUUCAGAACAUGCGGAGGACAUAGCUCGAUACUCAGAUUCUGUGGAAGAUUUUGAGAUUCGGUCUUGCUUUUUGCUUUUCCAUGAAAUUAAAGCAUUUCCAAGAAACAUACACCCCAGUAACAGACCGACGUGUAUCCAUGCACCCUGCCCAAUCUGCAUCACUAUAACCUGUUAAUUGUAAUGAAUUAUCAGCAGGAAAAAAUAAUCCUCGCCCAGAUGUGCCUUUAAGAUAGCGAAGAAUUCUUCGGACAACAGCUAAAUGAGGUUGACGAGGAGCCUGUAAAAACUGACUGACUUGUUGUACUACAAAAGAAAUAUCUGGCCGAGUAAUGGUUAGAUAAUUCAAACUGCCCACCAAUUGCCUGUAUAUGGAGGGAUCAGGUAACAGGUCACCAUCAUUCUGACAAAGUUUUAAAUUAAUCUCGAGAGGUGUAAGAACGAUAUUCCCUGAUUCAAGACCGCCCAAGAGAAGAAUCUCUUGGGUGUAUUUGUGCUGAUGUAGAGAAAUCCCAUUGGACAUAGAGUGCACCUGUAGACCAAGGAAAUAGUGAAGGUGUCCCAGAUCCUUCAUAUGAAAUUCACUGUUAAGAGAACGCUGUAAAUCCUCAAUGAGUGGAAUGUCAGAUCCUGUAAUGAUAAUAUCAUCCACAUAUACCAGAAGAGCAACAAUACCAGUAGUAGUUUGCUGAAGAAACAGAGAGGAAUCAUAUUGGCUCUGAAUAAAUUUAAGUUUCAGAAGAGUAGUGCGAAAUUUUUCAAACCAUGCCCGGGGUGCCUGUUUUAGACCAUACAGGGACCGUUUCAACCAGCAGACUUUAUCAGAUGGGUGAGUAAACAUACCAGGAGGAGGAGUCAUAUAAAUAUUCUCUUUCAGAUCUCCAUGUAAAAAUGCAUUUUUUACAUCCAUUUGACGAAGUGGCCAUCUCUUGGAAGCAGCAAUUGCCAUAAUGGUGCGUAUGGUAGUCAUUUUAGCCACAGGUGCAAAGUCUCCUCAUAAUUAAUACCAUAUGCCUGACAAUUUCCAAGAGCCACCAACCGUGCUUUAUAUCGUUCCACAGAUCCAUCAGGUUGGAAUUUAAUAGUGUAUACCCAUUUGCAGCCAAUAGGUUUAAUACCGGUAGGACAAGAAACAAUAUCCCAUGUGUGAUUAUCCUGAAGAGCCUGAAGUUCCUCUUUCAUGGCCUGUUGCCAACAUUCUUGGGUACAAGCCUGCGCAUAAGUCUUAGGCACAAAAGUACUAUCAAUAGUGGUUGCUGAGUAUCCAUACCUGUUUGGGGCACGUGAAACUCUAGUUGAUCGUCUUAGUUGAGGGAAUGAUCAGAUGUCGGUUCCGUGUCCGGAAGGGGCAAAGUGGAUGGUGGAUGACGUCUUUGAUAUACAAUUCCUGGCUUAAAACGUUCAAAGAUAUAAGAUGGACUAUCAUCAUCAAAUGUGGGAAGCUGGAUAGGAGUGGAUUCUGUAGAGGACAAGAAGGGAAAAAAUUCUGAUUUUCAAAGAAAAUCACAUUUCGAGAGAUACGAAUUUUAUGAGCAUUUGCAUCAUAACAUACAAACCCUUUAUGAGAAUUACUAUAUCCUAGAAAAGCACAACGAGCAGCUUGGGCUGAGAGUUUAUUACGUUCAGUAAAUGGUAAGUGAACAAAACAAACACACCCAAAAACAUGGAGAGAAUCAUACUCAGGAAGAACACCAAAUAAAAUAGAGUAUGGAGAUGCAAAGUUUAGAACUUGAGAAGGCAAACGAUUGAUUAGAUGAACGGCUGUGAUAGAGCUUCUACCCAAAAUCGAGUAGGUACUGAAGAAUCAAUUAAUAAAGUGCGAACAACAUCUAAAAGAUGACGAUUCUUACGCUCAGCAAGUCCAUUUUGUUGAGGAGUGUAAGGACAAGAUCUUUGAGAGAGAAUCCCUUUGUUUUUGAGAUAUUCCUGAAAUUCUUUGGACACAUAUUCCCCCCCGGAGUCAGAACGAAGUAUUUUAAUAUGAGCAGAAAAUUGAUUUUCAACAAAUACUACGAAAGUCUGAAAUGUUGAGAAUACAUCAGCUUUAGAUCGGAGAAAAUAUAUCCAAGUGAAACGACUGAAAUCAUCAAUAAACGUGACAAAAUAUUUAUACUGAGCAUGAGAGAUAACAGGCUUAUACCCCAUACAUCAGUAUGAAUAAUUUCAAAACAUUUAGAAGCACGACUACCAUGUGAAGGAAAUGAUAAUGCUUUGCUUUUACCCAAUUUGCAAGAACUACAGUCCAAAAAUUCUGUGGAAAAAGAAUUUUUAUUCCCCAAAUAUCCAUGUUUCAUAAGAUGAGUCAAUACAUUAGAAUUGGGAUGUCCCAAUUUCUUAUGCCAAAAAUGAGGAUUAUUAAUGACAGUAGAAUAAGCACAAGAAUUAAUACUAGGAAUAGAAAAUUGUAUUGGAAAAAACCCCACUUUAGGCCCCUUCGCGAUCACCUUCCCCGACACUUGAUCCUGCACACAACAACCAUGACGAUUAAAGAGAAUUUCACAGUUAUUUUCUACCAUUUGACCAACAGAGAGUAAACUUGUUGAUAAUUUCGGUGACACAAAAAUAUUGUUGAAAUAAGACCCCAAAUUACCAAUGAUAAAAUCGGCAGAUUAUCACCAUUUGCUACCUGUAUAUGUUGAUUACCCAUGUAUUUUCGCACAUUACACAACCAUUUUCACUGCUGGUCAUGAUUCGACGCUGCCGAAUCCAUUAACCAUGGUUUAUUAUAUGCCGAAUCCAAAGAAAGUUAAGUUUAUUACCAGAAAUCCAAGUGCAGAGAAGGCAGAGAUGAUCAUCUGCUGCACCAUCUCGGGAGUGAUCGUGCCUGACGAAGAGCUCACCGACGAUGAAGAUUCUGGUGCCAACGGUGAGGACACGGCUGCGGCAGCCAUAGAAGUAGCCCCCAAUUUUGACUGCACAGUAAACCCUUGCGAUUCUGUGGUCGCAGACGCAUUCCCUGAUUACAUGCCCCUCCUUCUUACAAUAAUUGCAGAAUUUCUUACUGCAAUUUCUGGCAAUGUGCCCUAAUUCCUUGCAAUUAAAACACUGCACACUCCCACCCCUCUGUCGUCCCCUUCCUUGAGCCAUGUAAGCCACAUUCAUCUCGUGACAGUGUCCUGAGUCAACUCGUGUUGAGUGGCGAGUCGUUGUUCUUCCCGUAACAGUUCCCCCAAACAUUCAUCCAAGGUGGGUACUGGACUUCGGUUGAUCAAGCUAGCUCUCACAGCCUCAAAUUCUGGCCGGAGCUUCAUCAAGAACUGGUCCCUCUGGCUCUCGGCAUAAACAAGGUAUAGUGCUUCUAAACUAUCCUUCGGUAUUUUAGAGUAAAUUAUGCCAGUAUAUUCACUCCAUAGGUUUAGAAAUCCAGCAUAGAAUUGUUCAAUUGAAAGAUUACCUUGUUUGUAAUUGGCAAUACCCAUUUCGACCUGAAAUUUUUGAGCCGAAUUGUUCUGGGAAUAAAUGCGUCUGAAGUAGUCCCAAAUCUCCUUCCCUGUGCCAAACGAUCGAAGAUUGUUGAUCAUAUGGGGUUCAACAGACCCCAGUAUCCAGGAGACAAUUUUCGCAUCCUUGGUAGUCCAUAUACCCAGCUCCUGUGGUUCGGUUGGUGCUGGUGAAGAUCCAUCAAGAUGCCCCCAUAAUUCCUUCCCUUUAACAAACAUACGAAACUGAAACUCCCAACUGGCAUAGUUUUUGCCAUUGAAUCGAGUAAGAAAAGCCUCUCCAGACAUCCUAGGAAUCUCAAAAAAAAUAUCACCAAAUACUGAUGAAUUCAGUCUAUAGACUUAAGAAAAGAACAAAAGAUCUAGAUUAGAGAAUAACCGGCUCUGAUACCAUGUCACAAUUAUCAGAUUUCAAUGUAAAGUUCUCUGUAUUUUCAUUGAUUCUGAAAGGAAGAAUUCAGUCCUAUAAAUACAUGUAAUAAUCCCUAAUUUGUAGUCUAUAAUCCCUGAUUUGUAGUCUAUAAUAAAUACAAUAAAUACAAGAUAUUCUGUUACAAUUUGGUUGCCAUAUAUUGUUGAUAUUCUUGCCAUAUACAUUGACACUAAUACAGUUCACUGUUUUUAAUCAUUUUUUACUUGUAAGAGGAGAAACAUACCUCUGCUUCUGUGCUAACAAUUUGAUAUUAUCUUUUGUUGCUGUACCCACAGGAAUUGAAUCAUUUUCAAAGCUGGGAGAUUCCAUAUAUUUUGAAGAAGGAGAAGCCCCAGGCCUUUACAUCAUUCAGUAUAUAUCAAGCUCUCUUGAUUGGAAAUCUGGACAGAUUGUGCUCAAUCAGAAAGUUGAUCCUAUCGUUUCUUCGGAUCCAUAUCUUCGGGUGACAUUAACCUUUUCUCCUAAGAAGGUAUUUGCUGAAUCGAUCUAUCAUAUGAGCAUACGGAAACUAGUGUUACUUUUGAAGGAGUUACUUCCCAAUAAAAAAAAAAAAAUCAACCUGGAUCCUCCUUGGCUGGGAAAAGGAUGUUAAAAAGUGGCUAAAUCUACUGGAAAUUUAUAAUUAUUUUUAUAGUGUGAAAGUGCACAGAGAAUAGAAAGUCUUAACAAGAGGUGGGAAAAAAAAGGCUUACCUGUGAUCAUAAUGGAUCUGAUUUGUGCAGGGGACUAGCCAAGCAUCGACCUUGUAUUUGCGGAUACCAAUUUGGACAAAUUCAUAAGGUGCUACUGCAACAAUAAAUUCUCAGAGUUUGCGUCUACCAGCUCCAGGUGUGAAGUAUAAUCUUGACUAUUUGCAUCUGUUAAUCUACAUGUUUCUUAUAUUUUGAUUUAAUCCAUUUUAUAAGUGCUAAUAGGAGAGUUCAUUUGGCAUCUUCCGAGUGAUACCUGGAAUAGUCUCUAAUACUCUGCUUCUAAUGAAGGUAGUUUCUUAUCAGUCAAUAGAAAAUGGCGCAGCAGUGACAAGCUAACCCUUCAGAUUCCUAUCAGUUUGAGAACAGAGGCCAGUAAAGGUAUUUUCUUCGGAUUCCUGCUUGAAAUGUAAAAUAUUUUCGUAAAUGUCUAUAAUGAUGAUGGACAUAGAGCUGACAAAGUCCUCUGAACAACAUUCAGAUGACCGGCAAGAGUAUGCUUCUGUUCAGGCAAUACUAUAUGAUCCUUACCUACUUGCUGGUCAUACAAGUGGUGACUGGAACCUCAAAACCGGGUCAGGAAAUUCUCUUUCAGACUCAAUAACACCAAUCCCUGGCUCUUAUAAUGGACAAUUAGUAUCUUUUUCCCAAGAGUCUGGAAUUUCGACUUUUGUGUUAACAAAUUCAAACCAAUCAAUAUCUAUGGAAAAGCUCCCGGAAUCAGGCACCGAUGCUUCUCUUCAAGCCACCUUUAGACUUGUAUUAAAAGACUCUUCUUCCUCGAAACUCUCAAGUGUUAAAGAUGUUAUUGGAAAAUCAGUCAUGCUUGAACCCUUUCAUCUUCCUGGAAUGCUUUUAGUGCAGCAAGGAAAAGACAGAAGCUUUGCACUCACAAACUCUGCUGAUGGUGAUGGACCAUCCAUCUUCCGCGUGGUUUCUGGAUUGGAUGGAAAAGACGGAACUGUAUCCCUGGAAUCAGGUAUCCAGAAUGGUUGCUACGUGUACAGUGGUGUGGAUUAUAAGUCAGGUCAAAGCAUGAAGCUUAGCUGCAAAUCGGAGACAUCAUCAGAUACUGGUUUUAAUCAGGGAGCCAGCUUUGUAAUGAACAAAGGACUAAGUCAAUAUCAUCCAAUCAGCUUCGUUGCAAAGGGGGACAAAAGAAAUUUUCUUCUUGCACCAUUACAUAGUCUGAGAGAUGAAUCUUACACUAUUUAUUUUAACAUUCAACCUUAACAAGUGUUGAUAGAGCUAUUGAUUAGUGACUCUGCUUUUAGAUAAAUUAAGUUCAAUACAUAAAGAGAACUUGAAACCUCUUACGAGGAAAGGGUGUCCUAAUUGGUGUGGGGCACUUUCUUCAUUAGUUUAGUAUAAUUAUUUUUAUUAUAUUACUUCCUUAACUGUUAAGAUUUUUUUGGUGUUUGAAAAGACUCUAGUGUAAGAACAUGCUUAUCCUUUGAUUCCAUCAAGCUAAAAUGUUUUUACAAUGUUUUAAAUGUCUAAUUAUAUAGGAUAACCAGCUUACAGGCUGUUUUUCUUUGAGGCUCAAAUUAAGCUCGAAAGCUACCAUUUAAUUUUUUUUUUGUUGUUGUUUUUGAAUUAUUUUUUCCUAUUUAGAAUAGGAUUUUUGAUGUGGGACAACCAAUCCAAGAUUUCAUGGAUCAAAUCGACAAAUAAAAAUGGUUCAAGGCUCAAAAUAAUUAUAAUUUUUUAUUUGAUUACUAGAUCAAAUUCAAAUUUUACAGUGAAUUCUUGAUAAAAAAACAAUUUGAACUUACGAUCAGCAUCUUUCGCACUCCAAACUUGAUCAUUGCUCAUAUUCACCAAAUUCCACUUCAAAAAUCCUGAAUUCCACUUCAAAAGUCCUUAAAAUUGCCUUCAAAGUUUUGGACCCUAUUUGGAACCUUUUCCUUGUUAAUUUUGGAUGUUAGCUUUAUUAUUUUUCAAAAUUACUUGUUUUCUUGCUAUUUAUGAAUGUUUACGGUAUUUAAAUUUAUAUUCUCAGAUUUUAUGACUUUUUGAUUAAUAAAACUAUAGUCUUGUAGAACUUUGAUUGUGUUUAUAUCUUAUCGUGUGUUAAAUUCAAAUCCUUAGCUUUCUCUACAUCAAUUUUUAAUUUAAUUAUGAUUUUACAAAUUGAGUUUUUUUCUUGUAUUGAAACAGCUUUUUAAGCUAUUUUUUUUUAGAUUUAAGAACACCAAUUUUUUUCUCUAUAUAUAGAGCCGCAAAAUCUUAGGAAUUAAAGAUCCUAUCUAUGUAAUAAUAAUUAGUAGAAAAUUAAUCCUAUUCCUUAUACAUACUCAAGAUUUUCAUUUUCCAUUUAAAUCAUAAUUUUCUAAUUCCUUUAACAUAUAAUCCAUAUUUCUUUGCUAAAGCAGGCAGUUCGAUCAAGAGGUCAGCUUUAUUUUUUUAAUUAUUAGUUUUUUUUAGCACUCACAUUUUUUUAUAAGCCAGAUCAUAUAUAUAUAUAUAUAUAUAUAUAUAUAUAUAUAUAUAUAUAUAUAUAUAUAUUCUCUCUCUCUUGAUUCUCUACCUCGUUUGCCUAUCUCUUUACUAUAGAGUAAUUACGGUGGUUAAUGCUCUAAAUUGUUUUGUUUCUGAUAAGACUGUGACAAGAGGCAAAUGAUGAUUUAAUAUACAGCAAAUAAUGUUUUUGCUUGAAUGAUAGAACACACUGUUUGUAUGACAGUAGAAUUCCACCUGCAAUAACAGAGACUAUGGAUUAUUCACAAACAUCUGUUUCAAAGCUGCCUUCAAGGUCAUUAACUUAUUAUGCCUACGCCUUCUGCAAUGUGAAUUCAGAGCUUCGCAGACACCCCAAAGAAAACUAUUUGUAGUGACACCAAUAUUGUCGUGGUCAUGACUGUAAAGAAGAUUCGACACUACUUCAUCACUGUUUAGCAUAUUUUUCGAAUUCCAUUUACGAGCAAGUACUCCCACAUCAUUAGGGGCCCUGACGAGGCAGCUGAUGAAAGUAAUGUAGUCAUCUACGAAAGUAUCCUCAAUCCAAUUAUAGCAUUCCUCAAAGGCCAGGAGAUUUCUGAAUAAGAUUUCCGUGCCUUCAUCUAUUUGCAGUUGUGGGAUUUCUAGAAUCCCUUUCCUGAAUGUUAUGUCAAACAGUGAGCUUCUUUCUGGAUUCCUAAAUUUCACUCCAGAUUGAUGGAGCUCUGUUGCAGUGGGUGCUCUUGAAAAGGUUGUUUCCAGUGGACGAUGGCACAAUGCCGGUGGCUGCUGACACCUUCUUAGGAAGUCAACGAAAUGUAGGACUCCAGAGAAAUCAAUUGCUUUCGAACAGUCCUCUUUCACCCAGCCAGCCCAUUGACUUCUUAGAAACCCACAGGUAAGCUCAAUAAUGGUACAAUUCUCAGCUUCACUGGAUAGCUCAAAAAACUUCUCGAGGAUGAAGAAUGGAAGCUGAUUUUCAAGCAAUAGCAUAUCGAACACUACGUUAUGUAGCAUAAAUGGACGAUAGAAAAUCCGAUCACUACGUCCAUUUCUAAAAACCAAUCUCCUGUACUUCAACUUCAGUAAGACCAUAAUAAUAAAGACGGCAUCCAGUGCGAAUUCUUUUAUAGUAAGUUGAAUGGUCUCUGCAUAACAAUCACGUAAUGCUGCUUCAUUCUCCUUGAUAAUGUUAUAUAAAUUCUCCUUACCUACCUUGUUCUGGUCAAGAAACUGCUGCAGGUACGUUUCUUUUUGGUCUUCCAUAGCUUUGAGAUUUUCCUUACCAUGGUGAAAAGGGCCUAUUGAGACUACUCGAGGUGUAAAUGCCUUUCUAUGUAACUUCCGCGAUCGUUCGGGGACUCUAUAGAUGCAGCAUUCCGGGGAGGGAGCCUUCUCGAUCUUCAAUUGCUCCCUCCUAGAAUUGGCUAACUCAUUGAUAUCAAGUGAAACUUCAUCGCUCUGAUCCAUUAUCUGCUGAUCAGUACAAUCGCGCUGGUGUUCAGAAACAGCACGUAUAUACUAACACUAAGUCAUGAAAUAAAACAUAUUCUGACAACAACCACAAUAAUAGUUUGCAUGAAAUCAAUCAUAAUUUGUGGUUAUUUCUACCUCUGUUAAUUUUCAAGGGGUUUCUAGUGACGAGCUUUUUACUCAUGUUUUAUUAUGGAAUGCAAAUUAGUGGUGUCUUGCUGUGAAAUAAAAGGGUAAACUUCAUUUAUUUUCCUUGUAAUAGAUUCAUUAAUAUUCUACUUCUACUCCUACUCCUACUCCUACUCUUAUAGUUUUCAUAAAAUCCUGUUAAUAUUACUCUUAACCAUUUAAUAUCUUCUUUUUAUUUUGGUUUUUCAGUUUUUUAGGUUUCGAAUUUUUGUUGUAAGAUACUAUGACAUGCAUAAGGACCUGAGAGGAAAUAAUAUUGCUGCAUAACAAUCACGUAAUUCUUUUUCAUUAUCCUUGAUAACGUAAAAUAAACCCUCCACACUUACCUUCCUCUGUUCAAGAGAUGGUUGCGCCGAUCCACGGUGCCUAUUUUUGUAUUCUCCCGCCCAGCAUUCCAUCGGGGGUCUUUCAUUGCUCCGAUCCAUUAUCCUUUGAUCAGUACUUGAUGUUUCGCCAAAUAUUUCCCUCUGAUCAUUGAACUGAGAUAAUCAAUGGCGUUAGAACCAGCACGUAUAAUUAAUCACUAUUUGAUAAAACAAACUGAAAUACCAUAUUUAAGAAUAACAUUUUCAGGAAACAAACACAAAAUAUUUGCAAGAAAUCAAAAUUGAAACAAGUGAAACUUCAUCGCUCUGACCCAUUAUCUGCUGAUCAGUAAUUGAUGCAAUCGCUGGUGUUUAGAAACAGCACGUAUAUAUACACUAUCACUAAGUCAUGAAGAAAAACAUAUUCUGAAAACAACCACAAUAAUAGUUUGCAUGAAAUCAAUCUUAAUUUGUGGUUAUUUCUAUCUGUGUUAGUUUUCAUGGGGUUUCUAGUGACGAGCUUUUUACUCAUGUUUUAUUAUGGAAUGCAAACUAGUGGUGUCUUGCUGUGAAAUAAAAGGGUAAACUUCAUUUAUUUUCCUUGUAAUAGAUUCAUUAAUAUUCUACUUCUACUCCUACUCUUAUAGUUUUCAUAAAAUCCUGUUAAUAUUUCUCUUAACUAUUUAAUAUCUUCUUUUUAUUUUGGUUUUUCAGUUUUUUAGGUUUCGAAUUUUUGUUGUAAGAUACUAUGACAUGCAUAAGGACCUGAGAGGAAAUAAUAUUGCUGCAUAACAAUCACGUAAUUCUUUUUCAUUAUCCUUGAUAACGUAAAAUAAACCCUCCACACUUACCUUCCUCUGUUCAAGAGAUGGUUGCGCCGAUCCACGGUGCCUAUUUUUUAUUCUCCGCCCAGCAUUCCAUCGGGGGUCUUUCAUUGCUCCGAUCCAUUAUCCUUUGAUCAGUACUUGAUGUUUCGCCAAAUAUUUCCCUCUGAUCAUUGAACUGAGAUAAUCAAUGGCGUUAGAACCAGCACGUAUAAUUAAUCACUAUUUGAUAAAACAAACUGAAAUACCAUAUUUAAGAAUAACAUUUUCAGGAAACAAACACAAAAUAUUUGCAAGAAAUCAAAAUUGAAACAAGUGAAACUUCAUCGCUCUGACCCAUUAUCUGCUGAUCAGUAAUUGAUGCAAUCGCUGGUGUUUAGAAACAGCACGUAUAUAUACACUAUCACUAAGUCAUGAAGAAAAACAUAUUCUGAAAACAACCACAAUAAUAGUUUGCAUGAAAUCAAUCUUAAUUUGUGGUUAUUUCUAUCUGUGUUAGUUUUCAUGGGGUUUCUAGUGACGAGCUUUUUACUCAUGUUUUAUUAUGGAAUGCAAACUAGUGGUGUCUUGCUGUGAAAUAAAAGGGUAAACUUCAUUUAUUUUCCUUGUAAUAGAUUCAUUAAUAUUCUACUUCUACUCCUACUCUUAUAGUUUUCAUAAAAUCCUGUUAAUAUUUCUCUUAACUAUUUAAUAUCUUCUUUUUAUUUUGGUUUUUCAGUUUUUAGGUUUCGAAUUUUUGUUGUAAGAUACUAUGACAUGCAUAAGGACCUGAGAGGAAAUAAUAUUGCUGCAUAACAAUCACGUAAUUCUUUUUCAUUAUCCUUGAUAACGUAAAAUAAACCCUCCACACUUACCUUCCUCUGUUCAAGAGAUGGUUGCGCCGAUCCACGGUGCCUAUUUUUGUAUUCUCCCGCCCAGCAUUCCAUCGGGGGUCUUUCAUUGCUCCGAUCCAUUAUCCUUUGAUCAGUACUUGAUGUUUCGCCAAAUAUUUCCCUCUGAUCAUUGAACUGAGAUAAUCAAUGGCGUUAGAACCAGCACGUAUAAUUAAUCACUAUUUGAUAAAACAAACUGAAAUACCAUAUUUAAGAAUAACAUUUUCAGGAAACAAACACAAAAUAUUUGCAAGAAAUCAAAAUUGAAACAAGUGAAACUUCAUCGCUCUGACCCAUUAUCUGCUGAUCAGUAAUUGAUGCAAUCGCUGGUGUUUAGAAACAGCACGUAUAUAUACACUAUCACUAAGUCAUGAAGAAAAACAUAUUCUGAAAACAACCACAAUAAUAGUUUGCAUGAAAUCAAUCUUAAUUUGUGGUUAUUUCUAUCUGUGUUAGUUUUCAUGGGGUUUCUAGUGACGAGCUUUUUACUCAUGUUUUAUUAUGGAAUGCAAACUAGUGGUGUCUUGCUGUGAAAUAAAAGGGUAAACUUCAUUUAUUUUCCUUGUAAUAGAUUCAUUAAUAUUCUACUUCUACUCCUACUCUUAUAGUUUUCAUAAAAUCCUGUUAAUAUUUCUCUUAACUAUUUAAUAUCUUCUUUUUAUUUUGGUUUUUCAGUUUUUUAGGUUUCGAAUUUUUGUUGUAAGAUACUAUGACAUGCAUAAGGACCUGAGAGGAAAUAAUAUUGCUGCAUAACAAUCACGUAAUUCUUUUUCAUUAUCCUUGAUAACGUAAAAUAAACCCUCCACACUUACCUUCCUCUGUUCAAGAGAUGGUUGCGCCGAUCCACGGUGCCUAUUUUUGUAUUCUCCCGCCCAGCAUUCCAUCGGGGGUCUUUCAUUGCUCCGAUCCAUUAUCCUUUGAUCAGUACUUGAUGUUUCGCCAAAUAUUUCCCUCUGAUCAUUGAACUGAGAUAAUCAAUGGCGUUAGAACCAGCACGUAUAAUUAAUCACUAUUUGAUAAAACAAACUGAAAUACCAUAUUUAAGAAUAACAUUUUCAGGAAACAAACACAAAAUAUUUGCAAGAAAUCAAAAUUGAAACAAGUGAAACUUCAUCGCUCUGACCCAUUAUCUGCUGAUCAGUAAUUGAUGCAAUCGCUGGUGUUUAGAAACAGCACGUAUAUAUACACUAUCACUAAGUCAUGAAGAAAAACAUAUUCUGAAAACAACCACAAUAAUAGUUUGCAUGAAAUCAAUCUUAAUUUGUGGUUAUUUCUAUCUGUGUUAGUUUUCAUGGGGUUUCUAGUGACGAGCUUUUUACUCAUGUUUUAUUAUGGAAUGCAAACUAGUGGUGUCUUGCUGUGAAAUAAAAGGGUAAACUUCAUUUAUUUUCCUUGUAAUAGAUUCAUUAAUAUUCUACUUCUACUCCUACUCCUACUCCUACUCUUAUAGUUUUCAUAAAAUCCUGUUAAUAUUACUCUUAACCAUUUAAUAUCUUCUUUUUAUUUUGGUUUUUCAGUUUUUUAGGUUUCGAAUUUUUGUUGUAAGAUACUAUGACAUGCAUAAGGACUUGAGAGGAAAUAAUAAGAGAAAAGUUAUAAAAAAACAAAAAUAAUUCUGCAUAGCAAUCACGUAAUUCUUUUUCAUUAUCCUUGAUAACGUAAAAUAAACCCUCCACACUUACCUCGCUCGUUUUAGGAACUAGUGGAGGUGGAGGUGGAGGUUGUGGCAUAGCUAGUACAAUUGGAGGCUUCUCCGCUGGGGAAGCCCUCUUCUUUUUUGAUUGCUCCCCCGGAUCCAUUAUCCUUUGAUCAGUACUUGAUGUUCCGCCAAUUUCCCUCAUAUGAUUGAACUGAGAUAAUCUAUGGCGUUAGAACCAGCACGUAUAAUUAAUCACUAUUUGAUAAAACAAACACAAAAUAUUUGCAAGAAAUCAAAAUUGAACAAUAUUCUCUUAAAUCAUGUCUUUUCACAUGUUCACCCGCUCAAAAGAAAAAGAAAAGAAAAAAAAAAAACGGGUAUCCAGUUCUAUAUGUUACCCAAUUUUGGACUCGAAAAUUUCAGUUUUCUGAGGGGUUUUAGCGACAAGCUUUUCACUUAUGUUUGAUUAUGGAAUGCAAAUUAGUGGUGUCUUCUUGUAAAAUAAAAGGGUAAACUUCAAUAAUUAUCCUUAUAGAUUCAUCAUUGCUCUACUUUACUCUUAUAAUUUCAAUUUUUCCGCUAUAACCCUUGUAGUUUUCAUAAAAUUCCAUUAAUAUUACUCUAAAAGCAAUUAACAAACGCAUCAAAAGCCUGUUGGAUAGAAACUUACAUACCUAAAAGCUCUCGACAACCGGCAGUUUUAGAAGUUCUUCUCGUUUCAAUGAUGACAAUCCACCUCUAGUGUCCAAAAAGAUGUGCCAAGAAUGGUAGGCUCUCCCUCUUUAAUAUACCUUCCAAAAUGUUCUAUUGCCCCUUAUUCACCACACACGUACUUAUCAAUAAUCCUUAAUCACCACAUCCGACACAGUACAAUUGUAAUAUCCCUAUUAUUUUAUCUAGAUAAUUUCUCAAUUAAAUAUAAAAAUUUAAAGUAAUUUUUAUUUUUAUUUUACUAAUCAUAUGAACAAUUAAGAUGCAAUUACUUAAUUUAGCAUAAAAAAAAUUUAACAUGACAUUCACAUUAGUUACAUAUAAAAAUUAUAUCUAUAACCAAAAGGAUUCGAUUAAUAUCAUUUACAUAAUUUAUUCAUCCCAUAAUAUUGAUUAAUUAUCAUAAAUAUAUAAAAAAUAUCUAAUAUUCAAACAAGAUCUAUUUUAUUAUUACAAGGAUCUCAAAAUCAAAUUAAUAUUCUAUCAACAUAAUUAUUAAAAAAUACAAAACAUCAUUUCAUUACAUCCAUAUAAAAUAUUUUAUAUAUAUAUAUUUUAUAAGGAGUCAUUAAUAUCUCGGGAUCUCAAUACCUUCUUAUCCAGCAAGAUUCUCCUUCUGUUCAUGUAGAAAAGAAUAAGUAAAACAUUUGGAGUUAAUUUCUCCUCCUAAAAUGUUAAACACUUUAUUUUUAUUUUUUUAAAUAAAACUUGGUAUGGGUAGAGAAACCAAAACAUAUAUUUGGUUUCUUUAAUGUAAAAUGAUAUUUUUUUUCAUUAGAAAAACAAAAGUAUGAUAAAGAAAUGUGAAAAAUAAUAAUGUGCAAAAAAACUAUUGUGGUAAAAAAACUGGUCUCAUUCUCAGUCCUUUUUUUCUGAGGAUUUUUUCUCACAUCUCUAAAAAAAUAAAAAACCAAAACAUUACAAAAAAAAUUAAGACCCAAAUAUAAAUUGCUUAAAUAAUAAAGAUUAAAUAACACAAAAAUUAAAACCUUUUAAACAAAAACAAAGUUUUUCGCCUGGAAAUGAAAAAGGUUCUUUAUUUAUUUAUUUUUGUUUACUUUUGUCCUGUUCAUUCAACUUUUCUUAAACUAUAGUUUUGGACUCUAUUUCAUAAAAUUGAUCAUUAAUUAAUUUAAUUUCAAAAUCUAUAGAAACACUUUUAAUUUGAAAAAUCAUGCAAAGAAAAGUAAAUCUCAACAUAUAACAUGUAAGAUCAUUGUUGCGAAGGCUUUCCUACUCAGACUAAUGGUCUCUGCAUAAUAACAAUCACGUAAUGCUGCUUCAUUCCCCUCGAUAACAUAAACUAAGUCCUCCACACUUACUAAUAAAUUCUGUUCGAGAAAUUGUUGCAGGUACAUUAUUUUGUGGUCUUCCAUAGCUUUUAGAUUUUCCUUACCAUGGUGAAUAGGGCCUAUUGAGACUACUCGAGGUGUAUAUGCCUUUCUAUGUAACUUCCGCAAUCGUUCCGGGACUCUAUAGAUGCAGC
Molecule: long non-coding RNA, 105486 nt
Filed under: Populus tremula
Lineage: Eukaryota; Viridiplantae; Streptophyta; Magnoliopsida; Malpighiales; Salicaceae
Description: long non-coding RNA (PTRE_LNC003028)
Source: RNAcentral